This 118316-nucleotide long non-coding RNA is filed under the name Vitis vinifera (wine grape). Its description in RNAcentral is "long non-coding RNA (VVIN_LNC006253)". The record is from RNAcentral. Lineage: Eukaryota; Viridiplantae; Streptophyta; Magnoliopsida; Vitales; Vitaceae.
AUAUUUAAGGUUUUGUUUUUUAGAGCGUGUGGUUGUAAUUAAAAGGUUUUUUUCCAACAGCGUGUAAUGUAUUUUGUGGAUGUAAGAAUCCCAUUAAUCAUCGAAUCAUGUUAAAAAUUUUAUUUUUUUCUUUAUUUUCUACUCAUGUGUAUACGUGGUUUGAUUAAUAUUUUCACUAGUAUUACUAAAUAUUAUAUAAAUUAAUUGUGUAAAAGUUGAAAAAUAAAACCGACUUUUGGAUAAAGAAAGUAUUAAAAUAAUUAAAAAUAAAACAAAAAUAAAUUCAACUUGAGUUCUUUGUUUUGGCACAAAUAAAAAUAAUUUUUUAAUUCAAAUUAUUUAAAAAUUCAUAUAUUUUCAAAAUUUUCAAUUUUUGUCAGAGAUAAGAUGAAAGAGAAAUAAAUGUUAAGAAGCAUGUGAAAAGAAACUACUAAUUAAAAACUUAUUUAUUGUUAUCAACUUUUUAUUUAUUUAUUUAUUUAUUUAUGUUUCUUCUCUCCUGUACUUUGAAAAUUUCCAAAAUCCUAAUCAAAAUCCUUAUAAUUUUUUUUUAUCUGAUUUGAUUGUCUAUAAAAAAAAAAAAAAAAAAAGUUGAAUAUGUAAAGCUUGUUUGGCUUGUUUUUAAAAAAAUUUAACAUCAUUUGGCUGUUGUUAUCUGAAAACAAUUUUUAAAAACAAAGUGAAAUAAAGAAUAAUUUUUAAAGAACAAGUAUAAGUUGUUUUCACUAAUUUAUAAAAAUAAAAAGAAAAUAUAGACUUGUUUGACCAUAUUUAAAUAAAAAAAAAACAAGUUUUUAAAAACUGUACAUAUAAAGAUAUGAACAUUUUACAAUUUUUUCUUUCUUUUUCUCUUAUAGUCCAUGGUAUGAAUGAAAGUUUUCCAAGUCGUCCAUAAUUUCCAAGUCUUCUAUCAUUUUCUAUCGAUCAUUGCUUUUUGACCUCCUUAUAUUUUUAAGAUCUUGUCCUCCAUUCACGCCAUCAUACUGAUGGACUAGAGAUAUCAUUAUUAUAUUCUUUUAUUCCCAUUAUUGUAAAAUAGAUAUUUUAAAUUUUAUUUUUCAUUUUUUGAAUUUAAUAAUAUCUAGUAGCAAAAUAAAGUAAUUUAAAUCCUAAAAAUGUGUGUUUAUAGGAUAUUUGCUAUUAUUACUAAUCAUAGAUAACAAAACUGUUGAUUGUAUUAAUUGUAUACAAGUUAAAAAAAUAAAAUUGACCUUUGGAUCAAAGAAAAUAUUAAAAUGAUUAAAACUAAAAUAAAAAUAAAUUCAAUGAUUUAAACACAAAUAAAAAUGUAAUUCAAAUUAUUUGAAGUUCAUAUAUUUUCAAAAAUAAAAAUAAAAAUUGUGAAAGAUGUGUUGGGCUUUGUGGAGCCUAGUUUUCUUUGAUCUAGUUUGAUGACCCGACUCGAAUAAUAUUGCAUGACUUUUUAAUGGGAGAUUUAUUGAGGCUUGUUGGGCCCGUUUAGCCCAUUGUGGAACCACCUUUUGUAAUUAGGGUUUUUUAGUAUGGUGGGGUUGCCGUGUUAUAUAUAUAGAGAGAAUAUUGUAGCCGCUAGGUUGUACUCUAUAUUCUUCUCUAAUAAUAGUGAUAUCCCUGCAAUUCCGUGGACGUAGGCAAAUUGCCGAACCACGUAAAUACUGUCUUGUGCGUGUGAUUGUUUUUUUUUUCUUUGGCGUGUGUUUUCUCUAAUUUUUGUUUCUCAUGGGUUGGGAAUUCGGUUUAAUUCCCUACAACUAGUAUCAGAGCCUAGGGUUAGGUUUGAGUGGGAGCAAUGGCAGAGGAAGCAGGAAAGGCAUCUGGAAUAGAAAAUUUUGAUAGCACAAACUUUGCGUAUUGGAGGAUGUAGAUUGAAGACUAUCUCUAUGGGAGGAAAUUGCAUCUGCCUCUUUUGGGGACAAAACCUGAGAGUAUGAAGGCUGAGGAAUGGACGCUUCUUGACAGACAAGUUCUAGGAGUUAUUAGGUUAACUCUGUCUAGGUCUGUUGCACAUAAUGUUGUAAAGGAGAAGAUCACAACAGAUUUAAUGAAGGCUUUGUCCGAUAUGUAUGAAAAGCUGUCCGCAAACAAUAAGGUGCAUCUGAUGAAGAAAUUGUUCAAUUUGAAGAUGGCAGAGAAUGCAUCAGUAACACAACAUUUGAAUGAAUUUAAUAUAAUCACAAAUCAAUUGUCGUCUAUAGAAAUUGAUUUUGAAGAUGAGAUUCGUGUUCUGAUCGUCUUGGCUUCUUUGCCAAACAGUUGGGAGGCAAUGAGGAUGGCAGUAAGCAAUUCUAUGGGAAAGGAAAAACUCAAGUACAAUGAUAUACGAGAUUUAAUUCUAGCUGAGGAGAUUCGCCGAAGAGAUGCAGGUGAAACCUCAGGAUCUGGUUCUACCUUAAACCUUGAGACAAAAGGCAAAUGUAAUGACAGAAAUUCAAAUCGGGGUAGAUCAAAUUCCAGAAAUUCUAAUCGAAACAGAAGCAAAUCUACAUCAGGCCAACAAGUACAAUGCUGGAAUUGUGGGAAAACAGGCCACUUUAAAAGACAAUGCAAAAGCCCUAAGAAGAAGAAUGAAGAUGAUUCUGCUAAUGCUGUAACAGAAAAGGUACAUGAUGCAUUACUUCUUGCAGUAGACAGUCCACUUGAUGAUUGGGUUUUGGAUUCAGGAGCUUCGUUUCAUACCACUUAACACCGAGAAAUCAUACAGAAUUAUGUUACAGGUUAUUUUGGUAAGGUGUAUUUAGCUGAUGGUUGGAUGUUGUGGGUCUAGGAGACGUCCGGAUAUCAUUGCCCAAUGGGUCUGUUUGGUUACUGGAGAAGGUUUGACAUAUUCCUGACCUGAGGAGGAAUCUGAUUUCUGUUAGACAACUUGAUGAUGAAGGACAUGCAAUACUAUUUGUUGGUGGUACUUGGAAGGUUACAAAGGGAUCUAGGGUAUUGGUUCGUGGAAAGAAGACUAGUACUUUGUAUAUGACCUCAUGUCCAAGAGACACAAUUGCAGUUGCUUAUGCAAGUACUGAUACAAGCCUAUGGCACCGCAGACUUGGUCACAUGAGUGAGAAAGGGAUGAAGAUGUUGCUGUCAAAAGAAAAACUACCAAAAUUGAAGUCCAUUGAUUUUGACAUGUGUGAAAGUUGCAUAUUAGGAAAGCAAAAAAAGGUGAGCUUCUUGAAAAUUGGCAGGACACCGAAGGCUAAAAAAUUAGAACUAGUACACACUGAUUUGUGGGGGCCUUCUCCGGUUGCAUAGCUAGGAGGUUCAAGGUACUACAUCACUUUUAUUGAUGACUCAAGUAGAAAGGUAUGAGUUUAUUUUCUGAAAAAUAAAUCUGAUGUAUUUGAAACUUUUAAGAAGUGGAAGGCCAUGGUUGAGACAGAAACAGGUUUGAAAAUAAAAUGUUUGAGGUCAGAUAAUGGAGGAGAGUACAUAGAUGGAGGGUUCAGUGAGUAUUGUGCUACACAGGGAAUUAGGAUGGAGAAAACCAUUCUUGGGACACCAUAGCAGAAUGGUGUGGUUGAGCGCAUGAACAGAACUCUCAAUGAGCGUGCUAGAAGUAUGAGGUUGCAUGUUGGACUAUCAAAAACUUUUUGGGUUGAUGCUGUUAGCACUGCAGCUUACCUGAUAAACCGAGGACCAUCAGUUCCCAUGGAGUUCAGACUUCCUAAGGAGGUUUGGAGCGGUAAAGAGGUGAAGUUUUCACAUUUAAAAGUUUUUGGUUGUGUAUCUUAUGUUCAUAUUGAUUUUGAUGCUCGUAGUAAACUUGAUGCAAAGUCAAAAAUAUGUUUUUUCAUUGGCUAUGGUGAUGAGAAAUUUGGCUAUAGGUUUUGGGAUGAACAAAAUAGGAAAAUCAUCAGAAGUAGAAAUGUGAUAUUUAAUGAACAGGUUAUGUACGAGGACAGGUCAAUUGUAGUGUCAGAUGUUAUAGAGAUAGAUCAAAAGAAAUCUGAGUUUGUCAACUUAGAUGAAUUGACUGAAAGUACUGUCCAAAAAGGGGGUAAAGAAGAUAAGGAGAAUGAAAAUUCACAGGUAGAUUUGAGUACACCUGUAGCUGAAGUUCGCAAAUCUUCCAGGAACAUUAGACCUUCGCAGCGUUAUUCACCUGUUUUAAAUUAUCUCCUGUUGAUUUAUGGUGGUGAGCCAAAGUGUUAUGAUGAAGCCUUGCAAGAUGAGAAUUCAAGCAAGUGGGAGUUAGCCAUGAAGGAUGAGAUGGAUUCCCUGUUGGGGAAUCAGACAUGGGAACUGACUGAAUUGUCAGUAGGAAAGAAGGCUUUGCACAACAAGUGGGUAUACAAAAUAAAGAAUGAGCAUGAUGGUAACAAACGUUACAAGGCCAGAUUAGUUGUUAAAGGGUUCCAGUAGAAGGAGGGCAUUGACUACACAGAGAUAUUUUCUCCAGUUGUGAAGAUGUCAACAAUUAGACUUAUACUUGGAAUGGUAGCUACAGAAAACUUACAUCUUGAGCGGUUAGAUGUGAAGACAGCAUUCCUUCAUGGUGACUUGGAGGAAGACCUUUACAUGAUUCAGCCAGAAGGAUUCAUUGUUCAGGGACAAGAGAAUCUAGUCUGCAAACUAAGAAAGAGCUUGUAUGGCCUUAAACAAGCUCCUAGACAGUGGUACAAGAAGUUUGACAAUUUUAUGCAUAGAAUUGGGUUCAAGAGAUGUGAAGCUGAUCACUGUUGCUAUGUUAAGUCCUUUGACAAUUCUUACAUCAUAUUACUGUUGUAUGUGGAUGAUAUGCUUAUUGCAGGGUCUGACAUUGAGAAGAUUAAUAAUCUGAAGAAGCAAUUGUCCAAACAGUUUGCAAUGAAGGAUUUGGGAGCUGCAAAGCAAAUCCUUGGUAUGAGAAUCAUUAGAGACAAGGCUAAUGGUACAUUAAAGCUUUCACAGUCAGAGUAUGUGAAGAAAGUUCUCAACAGGUUCAACAUAAAUGAAGCUAAACCAGUGAGCACACCCUUGGGUAGUCAUUUCAAACUAAGCAAAGAAUAGUCACCGAAGACAGAAGAAGAAAUGGACCAUAUGAGCAAGGUGCCAUAUGCCUCAACUAUUGACAGCUUGAUGUAUGCUAUGGUGUGUACAAGGCCAGACAUUGCACAUGUAGUGGGAAUUGUGAGCAUAUUCAUGAGUAGGCUUGGAAAGCAGCAUUGGGAGGCAGUCAAGUGGAUUUUAAGAUAUCUGAAGGGUUCAUUAGAUACAUGUCUUUGCUUUACAGGUGCAAGUUUAAAACUGCAGGGUUAUGUAGAUGCUGAUUUUGCUGGUGAUAUUGAUAGUAGAAAGAGUACUACUGGGUUUGUUUUUACUCUAGGUGGUACAAUUAUAUCAUGGAGUUCAAAUCUACAGAAGAUUGUUACUUUGUCUACUAUAGAAGUUGAGUAUGUUGCAACAAUUGAAGUUGGAAAGGAGAUGAUUUGGCUACAUGGUUUCUUAGAUGAAUUGGGUAAGAAGCAGGAGAUGGGCAUUCUACAUAGUGAUAGUCAGAGUGCAAUUUUUCUUGCCAAAAAUUCAGCUUUUCAUUCAAAGUCGAAAAAUAUACAAACAAAAUACCACUUUAUCCGUUAUCUUGUUGAGGAUAAACUGGUAAUAAUUGAGAAGAUUUGUGGAUCUAAGAACCCUACAGACAUGUUGACUAAGGGUGUCACCAUUGAGAAGCUGAAUUUGUGCGCAGUUUCAAUUGGUCUUCUAGCUUGAGGACAGGAGGAUGAGUUGUAGGGAUGAGGGAUUGUUUCUUGGAGGAUAGCGGUUUGAUGUUGGUGAUUGGACUAGUCUCCAAGUGGGAGAUUUGUUGAGCUUUGUGGAGCUUAGUUUUCUUUGAUCUAGUUUGACGACCCAACCUGAAUAAUAUUGCAUGGCUUUUUAAUGGGAGAUUUAUUGAGGUCUGUUGGGCCCGUUUAGCCCAUUGUGGAACCACCUUUUGUAAUUAGGGUUUUUUAGUAUGGUGGGGUUGCCGUGUUAUAUAUAUAGAGAGAAUAUUGUAGCCGCUAGGUUGUACUAUGUAUUCUUCCCUGAUAAUAGUGAUAUCCCUGCAACUCCGUGGACGUAGGCAAAUUGCCGAACUACGUAAAUACUGUCUUGUGCGUGUGAUUGUUUUUUUUUCUUUGGCGUGUGUUUUCUCUAAUUUUUGUUUCUCACGGGUUGGGAAUUCGGUUUAAUUCCCUACAAGAUGGAGAGGAAAAUAAACAAAAUUUAAAAAGUAUGUGGAAAAAACAAACUACUGAUCAUAAACUUAUUCCUUUUUUAUCAGUUUUCUUUAACAAAAAAAAAAAAAAAAAAUUCUCUCAUCUACUACCCACCAUGGUAGCCUAAUGGGGCAGUUAACACCCCCCGAAGGUUCAAGUCCCAUAGAGAGUCCCUAACAGAGCUGGUUGUCGAUUGUUAUGAUUUUUGAGCUGGUUUUUCCGACACUGGUAUGAGCAUUCUACUCGAUGGUGACUUAUGACAUGGGUGGCUCAAUCCUAUCCACUAUUAGAGGAGUUGAGAUUCGCUUAGACCUGAAGAGCAUUUGUUAUACAUAUCUUUGAUAUUGCUCCUGUUGAACUUAGAAUAUACAAGUCCAAGAUCUGGCCCACUCUGUUGGGAUUUGAGCAUAAAGAGACUAUUAAGAGGAUUUGUAAACUGUCAGAUGACGGGAUGGGCAAGCCAUCAGCACAAAACUUGACAAUCAUCAAUCGAGUGUUACAUCAUAUAUUGCGCUUCAUUUUCCUACCACAGGGUAGACACCGAGAUGAAGUCUCCUAUUACGAGACAUUUCUUAUAGAUUCCAUUUUGAUUGGGAGACGGAUCCAUUUAGGAUAUCUAAUGAUAAUGCAGAUGAUUGCAUGUUGUGAGAGCAUCACUCAAGCACUCCCCUAUGACUGCUUCUUUUCCCGAGUAUUCAAGGAUGUUAGCAUUAACCUUAGCAGAGAGAUAGACUUUGAGGCUCCCAGUACAUAUGAUACAUAUGAUGAUCAAUCCAUGGGGUGGAUGAAAUUUGAGAAGACUCCAAAUUGUUCUUGGAUCAGAAAAGCAGAGAGAGCACAACCAUAGGGACAGGGACAGGGACAGGGAUAGGCACACCUUAGAGUUGAGGAGGAGGUAGAGAUUAGGGAGAUGCAGGGUGGAGUAAACCUUGAGGGUGGACUAGACCCUCAGAGUGGCCACUAGUAAAGAGGGCCCGAGCUUGAUAUUCUCCCAAUUCAAAUAGAGAUUCCUUCAUAAAUCGGGGGUGUUCCGUUUGAGUCACCUUCUUUGAGUCAAUGAUGACUAAAUCAACUUUUACAAAGGAACCAUCUACUCAAACAUCAUACACUGAGACCACCUAUACUGAGAUACCACAGUCUCAGGCACCUCCUACUCCUAACCAUGCUCCUUAGAUGGAUUUAUCCGCUCAAAUUAAAUCCCUUGGUGACACAUGAUUUUAUUAUAUAGGAGGAUAGGAUGGACCAAUAUCAGACUAGGUUCACUUAUCAAUUUGAGUAUCUUUAACAGAGGAUUGAUCACAUUGAGGAUUACAUAGUGUGUCAGCAUGAUGAGAUGAUGGCAUACUUGCAUUCCAUAUUUCCACCUCCACCUUCUUAGCCUUGAUUCGUUGGAUACCCCACCCCCCCUCCCCCCCUCCCCCCUCCCCCUUCUUUUUUUUUUAUGUUGCCAAAGGAGAAGAUAUUUUAGGAUCUAAGAGGCUAGAUAUAGGAGACAUGCAUAUCAUUUUUUUUUUGUUUGGAUCAUAUAUUGCUUAUCUCUAGUUACUUUAGCUUAUUGGACAUAUGAUGUACUGACUGAUACAUUUGACAUUAUAUAUGAUAUGUGUAUAUAUUUGAUGAGUUACAUUGUUUCUUGUUGCAAUACUAUCCAACAUGUCUUGAUCAUCUUAUUUUUAAUUCUUAAAAUAUUGAUUGUUGAUCCAUGAUUAGUUUUGAGGGAGAGAUUCUUUUCCUCUUAGAUAACCAAGGUUUGUCAUCAUAAAAAAGAGGAAGAUUGUUAGCCCAAGGAUUCUCCUAAUCGUUUUUUUUUAUGAUAACAAACUAUGGUUAAGUGGCUAAUUGGUUUGAAUUAUAAAAAAUUUCAAGUGUUAAUUUGGAAAUUCAUCAAAGGACCCAAUGGAUGCAAGAUCAAAACAUUUGGAAGACCUUUAAUCAUAGGAAACAUAUGUAAGAUAAAUGCAUGAGUUCACUUAAGAUUUUUAUAUCUUUUCAUGCAUCUUUAAAAACUUGGUUUAUGCAUUAAAGUUACAUUUCUAUCAAAACCCGAGUUUUAUCAAAUGAACCUUAGGAAAAUCUGUGGACAAGCAUUUUUUACAUGCGUCCCCACUCAAUGGCAAAACUCAUUUUUGUUGGUGAAAAAUUAGUUUUGGAAAAGAUAGAGUCACCACUUAUUUUAUUUUAUUUUUAAAAGGAAAAUAAAACAAAAAAGAAAAACCCUAAAGAAGUAACUCCAUGAUUUUGGAAAAGCAUGUCUUUGAACAAACUCGAGUUUAGGUCCAAGGAUCAGGUUAUUUAUUGGGAAGGUACCUCAAAGAGGUAGCACCCCUCUAAGCCUUAAAAAGGUCUCUAAUGGCUAAGUCGAGGGAAAUGUGGCAAUUAAUCAAUUGAUUGAAGGUACCUAGGUAGACUAAGGUGAUUUCAAGAUUCUAUUAAUACUAGCAUGUCAAAUAGGAAAUCAAAUUACAAUCAUAAAGGAGAGUUAGGGUGUGUACUUGAACUGCUUUUUAAGCGCAAUCAUAAGACAAUCAAAGUUAAUUUGAAUAGUAUAUCACUCCACAUGCAUUUUAUUAGUAUCAAAUAAGUGUCAAGGUAAUCAAGGACAUCAUUCAAACAUGGAUUUAGCUCAUGAUAACAUGCAUUUUCAUAAAAUUUUGGAAUUGGGAGAUAGAGAGCAUACUUAGAUAGCAAGUUGAGCGCUUUAAUGGGAAACAAGGUUAGCUCAACAAUAAAUACAAAAUAAAUUCAUGUAUAUCAUCAAGGAGAAUUAAAUAUCAAGCGAAUAUCCAGCAAUCAUCUCAUUUGAAUCAUAAUCAGAGGAGAAAUCAAGGAUGUUGGGCUCCUACCAAGGCCCAUUUUACUUUUGCAUGAAUUGAUGUUGGUCUCCGAUUCAUCGAAGAACCCCAAUCCCCCAUUUAUCACAAACGUCCAGAAUCCAUAUUCCUAUCGGCCAUGUGAGAAACCAACAGCUUGGUUUCGCCUUUCAUGGUGUAUCAAUCAAUCUCAUUUACCCACUGAAACGCAACAACCCACAUGAUAAAUUACAAGGGCACUUAAAAAAUGGCCAUGCAAGAGUGAGACCCGAGGUGCAAUCUGGAGUGCGCCAUCUUCAAGUGGUAGGGGGUCCCGCCUACCUUCUGAUUCCAAGGGCUCCAGAAUAUGGACUCCAUUGUCGGUCAAUCCCAUUGCAAACCGAUUAAGUUCAAAUGGAUGGGGUUUCCGUCUUCAAAGCUUAGGAAGGUUGAUUGGCUGUCACUAUGAAUAUGUGGCAUUUGGGGUUGAACUACUCGACCCACAGGGAGCUCAGUGCUUAAUGUUUUCUAGUCUUGAUGCUUCAUGUCAAGGGUUCAUCUCAAGUCAUGGAAAGGCAUUCCUUCUUCAUACUUGAUGAGGAUUGAUGGCUUGAAGCAUGUUGAUGCAUCUUAUCAUAUAGAUAUAGGGUUAUGGUAUAUGACACACCAUUCUGAAGCAAGCGUUGUGAUCUAGAAAACUGCAUCUGUCAAUUGGACCACUUCCUGCGGUAUUCACAAGUGCUUGAGAACUCCCAGAAACGAUGGCGGCCUCUGAAUCUAUCUAACCCCAAACAACCCAUUAUAUACAAUCUUUAUAAAGUUUCCACCUUUCUAGAAAUACUCAUGCUAUUAUGGUCUCCGUGUACCAAAGGGAGACGAGAAAUAUAGAUGUUGAAGCAUAGAAAAAUAAUCCAAGAAAAACAGAGGAAGGAAGACAAAGGAUGGGCAAACAGACAAGCCGCAUUCCAUUAUUUUGUCAAAAGGCUUGAAAACAGGUGGAGGAUAUUAGAGAGCAAGAGCUAGCACAACUCUUAGAUACCAGUAUUAGCGAUAAUUAUAUGCAUCACCCAUUAACAGUAGAGAUUUUUUUUUAAAAAAAAAACUACACUUCAAGCCAGGACAGAGCAUGCACAUAUUUAAAAUCAUUCCACAGAAGAAACAAUCAACCUUAAAUAUUCACAACAAUCAACAAGAUAACACCAGAAUUUGUAAAAAUGGAUGAUGUUGAAUCAUAUAGAGAUAAGAAGAUACUAAUUUCAUCUGACCAUACCUGGAGAAAUUCCUCUCAAGAAAUAUUGUUUGGCUUCAAGCGAGCUUUGUCCUCCUCUAAAGAUCCCCCUAACAAUCCCAACGAGCUCUCUCAUUUUCUUUGACCAGACCUGAUGACCCAGGUGAACUCCUCUUUCUGCUUCCUUCUUUCCUCCUCUUUUCGAUGCGUGCUGAAAGUCCCUGCUUUGAAAACUUCUCCCCCCUUCCAAAACCACCAGCCUGUGUUUUUAUGGCAAUUGGCAGCCGUCCUUCCUGAGGAGUCCUCUUCUCUCCGAAUUCUAUGUCUCCUCCACCAGAAAAAUUCUUUCUGAAUUUCAAAAAGAGCCUUUCACCCCAUGAGUCCCACAUUUUUCAAAAGCUUCUUCAUCCAUCCUUUAACUCUCCAAAGGAUCUUCAAUAACACCUAAAAGAAUUUCUUUCCUUCUCAAAGUCUUACAAAUUUCAAAAAUUCUUCCUCAUCUGCUUGGUAGAUUUCCCUGUAAAGACAUCAAAUUAUUGAAUUAGAUAAAUGAAUAAAGAUUUUAGAGAAUGAUCAGAUGAUAAUAAUAAAUAAAUGAGUAAAUAGCAAGAUAAUAAACAAACAAAUAAAUAAUAGUAAAUAAAUAAGUAGAUAAAAAAAUAGGUGAUUGAUAAUAAUAAAUAUCAAAAAUAAAAAUAGAUAAACAAAUGAAUAAAAAAUGAGUCACACAAGUCAUGCAACCAUACAAGUUAUACAAGUCAUGUCUAAAAUGUCUAAUAAGUCAAGUGUGUCUAAGUGAGCCUAAGUGACCUAGGUGGUGCCUAAUAGGUCAAGUGUACCUAAAUGGGCCUAAGGUGGACCUAAUGAGUCUUAAUGGGCUUAGGUGGUGCCUAAUGGGCCGAGUGGACCUAAAUGGGCCUAAGAUGAGUCCAUGUAGGCUUAAGUGACCUAGCAAGAGUCUAACCUAAAGUGCACUUAAGUGAAGCCAAAUCUAAACUCGAAUGGCAGCCAAGGUCACAAUGAGGAGUUGAAUAAACCCCUUAAUCAAAGUGACUCAGAAAAGAUAAGCUAUUGAGUAGCAAUAGGGCACCUGGAAUUGCUGUAAAAUGUCAAAUGAACACCUAAUAUGACAUGUGCUAAAAGAACAAAAUGGAGGGUCUACAAAAUCGUUUCAAAAUUUGAAUAUUAAUUUACCUAAAGACCUUACCUAAGUGUUAGAAGAGAAAAUACAAGACAAAUAUAAGUUGUCGGGCCAAAAAAUAUGAAUUGGUCGAGGUAGUGGCCAAUCGACUCAACUGACUAAGGUAUUGGUCAAUCGGUUACGCUUUCCUGAUUGAAGUUCAGUCGAGAAAAGCAAAAAAUCUUCUCUUUUCCAGUAGCCUUUCUUUCCCAGUUGAGGGAUAUGUUUUCCCGAUCGAGGAAUAGUCGAGGCCUAAUAAUCACCUGCCGUGCAUUUAUUGCCCAACGUCUAGUGAAUCAGAUGACCCCUAACUCGAUCAGUUAAGGCUAUUUUUGGCAUUUUGGCUCUCAAGGCUAGAAACCUAUAAAUUUUGAGCUCCACUUCAUUUAUGAGAAAGAGAACACUUGCAUUUAUUUGUUUACCUACUUAUUAUUGCCUUAAAAACUCUCAUUCUUUUAUUGGUGCAUUAAAUCUCCAUUUUUUUUUAUUCUUUAGUGCACAUUUGUGAUUCAUCCUACUUUUGAGUUGUAUUUGAGUCAUUGUUGAGUUAGGUUGAGAUAUUCAAACUUGUUAUUUGAGUGUUAGAAGCUUCAAGUAAGUAGAGACUUGAAAGGAUUGUGUAAGAGUCCAUUGGAGUUGGAAUCCAAUUGUAAAGGUAUUGAAAGCUUGGUUGAAGCUUUAGUGAAACUCUUACUCGGUUAAGAGCUUAAGGAGAGUGGACGUAGACAAAGGGUCCCAAACCACUAUAAAUUACGAGUUUACUUCCUCUAAUUCUAUUUUUUUAUAUUUGUGCUUUUUUUUACUUGAAUUUGUGGUGCUUGAAUUUUUUUUUUUUUAAAAAAACCAAUUCACACCCCCUCUUAGGUGUUUUCUCUAUUAAAAUUAACCUUUAUUUUCUCAGUUGUUUUGAAAAUGUUAUUUAUUAUUUUUGUAUUAGAACUAUUAUUAUAUUUAACUAAUUGAUGGCAUAUUAUAUAAUUCCCAAUAAAUGUAGUUAAGAGAAAAGUAUAAAAGAAAAUGAGGUUUACCUUUACCUUUAAAGCUCUUAAAAUUGGUAAUUCACUCCAUCGAUGAAAAAUGAAAGAAAAAAAAUAUUAUGUUGGGAUUCUAGCUAUACCAACUUAAAGUAAUAGCCCUCGAAUGGAGGAGAAGAGAGGGCAAAAAUGAUAAAUAGGGUGAUAGUUAUUUUUUUUAAAAUUUGAAAAUUAUAAGAUAGAAGUAAUAAUAUAAAUAAUACUAUGAUAAAAUUAAUAUAAGAGUAAUUGUAAAUAAAUAAAGAGAGUAGGGAAGAGAAAUGUAAAUUCAAGAUUUAUAGUAAUUAGAACUUAAGCUUUCACUAUACCGAGAGUUAUAGACUAAUCUUUCAAGCUUUAUUAUUGGAUUAAUCAACGUGUACUUACAAUUUUCUUCAAAAGAUGUCUUACUUUUGAACUCUCAAAUAAUACACUACACUUAGUAAAUUCUAAGUGAUACUCCGUACUUAGAGACUUUUUCCGUUCAUCUCACAAGAUAUACAAGAACAACUUUCAUAAGAAUAAAAUUCUUAGUUUAUGAUUUGAGACAAUGGAAUAUGAGGAAACUAGAGUUGAAUUGUAAAUUAAGAUAAAAUACAAUUUUGAAAUCAAGCACACUCUACAGUACCCUUCUUCUAACUUUCUUUAAUUCUCCUCCAAUAUCCCAACUAUUAUUUCUAUUCUCCCGUUUUUAACUCUAUCAACUCAAUUUCUGACUCUUCAAUGCCCCAAUUCUUCGUCAUGACUUCAUGAAUUUAAUCUUGUAACAGUGCAACAUUGAUAAAUCAGUUGGUCUCAAAUAUAUUAUAUUAUAAAUUAAAUAAAAAUCAAUAAAAAAUAAUUAAAGAUGAUACCCCUAUUAUCAGUCAAACUUUUGGGCAACUUGUUAAAGAAAUGGUGAAGGAUCACGGAAAAUGGAUGAAUUGUGAUUUUUUUUUGUGAUGUAUAUUCAUGUUCAUGCAUUUUUUACUCUCACACAAUUGAAUGACAAUUGAAUGUGUUUAUGGCCUUGGUGCUCUAAUUCCAUCUUCUACUCAUGUAAAUUUGGCUUGUAGCCUUCAACGUUACACUAAAAAGAAAUUGGGUCAAAUACUUCAUCGACAGGUACCUGAGAAUUAAAAUUUUAAUCUUAAAAAAUGUUUUUAAAAACUAGAAAAAAAUAAUUAUAAAAAAUAGAUUAGAAAAUAGAUAAUUGUAAAAAAAAAAAAAAAAAAUUAGUAGACAACAAAAAUAAUUAUAAAAAACUAGAAUAAAUAAAUAAAAUAGAAAAACAUAAAAAUGGAAUAAAAAUAAAUUAUUUGCAUAAAAAAUUAUACAUAAAAAAAAAAAAAAAGAACUUAAGUCAUGUCUUGAACACUUAAAUUUAUAAUAAAAAACUGAAAUAGUAUCUUAAAAUGAUUUUAAGAUAAGUUAUGAUGUUCACAAAAUAUCAUAAUUUUAUUGAUGGUUUUGAAACUACCAAAUUUUAUAAAUAUAUAUAUAUUUUUUAAUUUACCAUAAAUUUAUCAAAAAUCCGGUGGAAAGCAAUUGCUUGGACCGCAGCCACUUCAAGCUCAACCGAGAUUUUAUAAUUUGAGGCCAUCGCUUGCCUUGGCUUUGGCAGUCACAAAAUAUCAUGGGCAUAUAAUCUUCUACAUUGGCCUUACCAUAACUCCCAUACUUCUCAUCCAUCAUUUUUCGAUUUUAUAUAAUUUUAACCAAUUCUAAUAUAAAAUUAUUAAUUUCCUCCUUAAACAAACAAGUUAAUAAAUGUAAUUUUUUAAAUAUAUAAACUCUUAAAUAAUUGAAAGAAAGCCUUAAAAUUACCCCAUUAAAAAAAAGAAAAAAAAGUGAGUUUUUAUAUGUAAAAAUAAUUAUAAAAUAAAAUAUUUUAAAAUUAAUUUAAAUUUCAUAUAUUUACCUAUUAAAAUUAGUAUUUAAUACGGUCAAAGUUAGUAUUUAUAUUAUUAAAAAUAUUUUUCUUUGACAACGAGAUAGAUGUGGGAAAAUGAUAAAGAAAAAUAACUUUCUUAUAUUUGAUUUUAUUAUAAAAAAAAAUAUGAAAAAUAAAUAAAUGUCUAUAUUUUUAAAUUAUUUGACUUUUAUAAAAAAAUUAAAAUAAAUAAAAUAAAUUUAAAAUAAUAUACAAAAAUAAGUUAUUCAAUUAUAAAUGGAUUUUCCCUCUAUUUUCUUUUUCCUCAAUUUUUGGAAGCCUACGUGGAAAAUAAACAGGAUAAAUUUAGUCCCUACAUGAGAUUUUGUGGGAGAGAAAGAAAGAAAAUCCGAAGGCCAGUUGUAUGCAUAUGGUUAGGCAAUUGGUGGCAGCGAGUGUGAGACUGAAUAGACUUGUGGGCUUCUGGGUGAAGUGAAGGGAGGGAGAGAGAGAUAUGGGGUUGGCCAUGACAACAAACACACUACCUCCUGCUUUGCUUUCAGCCUCCUCAAUCAGCAGUAGCUUCAGAAGGCCACUCUACUGCCACUACUCCUCAAUCUCUGCUUCUCCUCGGAUUCUCUCUUCUGUACGUCUAUUAUUUAUUUUUAUUUCUGUUUUGUUUAUUCAAUUCUUGUUUUUAUUGUUCAAUUUCUCUCCGUUUCAUUACAAUUUCUUUUCAUGUUUUUCUUUUUGAUGUGAAAGAUGUUAUAAAGAAAUAUCAAACUAUGCACGUUUUUCUCUGUUUUUCUUGAUGAGUGGUGGGGAAACUGUGCUGCAGAUUAUGUAUAUGCCCUUUUGCCUGUUUGGUUGUUGAGAAAAUGUGAUAAAGCAAUUUGAGAUUUGAAAUUGAGCGGGUUUUUUUUUUUUAAAAAAAAAAUUAAUUAGUUUUUUUUUAUUUUUUGAGAUCCCAAGAAAGUAAACCUCCCUUGGAAGAGAUUCAACCAAUCGUUUGGGUUAGUUGAGUUGAUUCUUUGUUUUCAGUGUUUCCUUUCUUUUCUGUCAUUUUCUGGGCUACCAAGCAGAGGGGUUUGGGGUUUUUUAUCCCCUUUUAAAAGUUGCAAUUUUGAAGUAAGACACAAUGGUAUGUAAUUAGAGUACAUUUAACAUUUUCUCUCUCUCUCUCUCUCUCUCUCUCUCUCUUUUGUUACUCUUUUUGAUUGAGGAUUGUGUUGAUACUGAUAGAAAGAAACUUCAUACUGAACUUGUUUCAUGAAUUCCCUUCUGUAAUUUUCUUUUAAUUUAAUUUGGAAUAUACCCUUGUUAAAAUAGAACAAAUUGAACUGGAUUUGAUUACAUAUGGGCAAUGUUACCAAAAAAAAAAUUUCAAGGAAAAAAAGAAGCAUUUCCAGUUGAUCCAAAUCAGCCACACAACUCAUUCCAUCAUCUCAAAAACCUAAAUAGUUAAAAACAUUACUGAAAAUGAUACCCGGGAGAUAACCCAAACCCAAUCAAUCAAUUUUUGAUCUGGUUGUAUUCAGGGUUAUGAAAAACCCUUUUGUUUGGCUCAAUGCCAGGCUCAACCUAAGAAUUCUUGUAAGUGUAAUAGAGGGAUUAAUGAGACUACAGUUUUGAUACAAUUAGGUUGCCCCAGUUGGAUGGAAGAGGGAAAGGAUAAGUAAAGUCCAGUUCUCGGUAGGUCAGCUACUAGGAAACCUUUAGUCUAUUAUAAUUGGACCUUUUUCAAACUUUACUAGUAGGGAGUUUUUAAUAGGUCCCAUGUUUUAAGUUCUGUUGUCCUCUUAGGAUAGACUAAAAUUUGGCUAUUCCCCUGUAUUUCUAACUUGUUUUUGAGUAAAACUUGCUCAGUCAUCUUCUUGGAUCUUAACUAUCAGCAAUGGCAACACUCUUUAGGAUUGUAAAGAUGAGUAAAUUUUGGAAAGUAAUUAGUUGAUAGGGAUCUUGGUGGCUUUUGAAGAACCAGUGGGUUUAUCAAUGAAUCUAGUUUUCGGUAUUUUCUCUUGGGUGUGUUUGGAUGUAGCAGAAAAGGCAUGCCAUCUGCUGAAUUCUGUAGAAGGGGAAAGGGUUCUGUAUCGUUUCACUUUUUGAUCAAGGGAAGAAAAAUCCAUGCUUUAAAUCCCUCUUCAAUAUCCUUAAUCAGUGAUGUUCUAAAUAUUAAUUUCACAGUUUGGAGGUUUUAGCAUAGCACUUUGACCACAACCAUUACAUCCAUCGCAACUAUCACAACUUUCCCCUCUCAGUAUAACCAUGUGUUCACACUUGCUGCUGCCACUCUCAGUUCUACUUCCACUCUCAGUUCUUCUUCCACUUCCACUUCCACUGCACUGCCUAAGCUGCUGUUACUAUGGCACCAUCACUGCUGCCAUACGAGCAGCCCUGCCACCUGUAGCCCACAUCCAUCACUGGUGCUGCUGCUGCUUUCAUAUCUCCACAACACUGCUUACUGAUGCCAAUACCACCUCCACCUAUUCUGAUUCCCUCAACAGCCUUGCUCCAGCCAUGAACUGCACCACCACAUCCUUCAGCAGCAACUCCUGCACUGAGCCAUGGAAUUCAAUCUUCUCAUAGAAGACAUGGAUUUUUUUUUUUUUUUUUCUUUUUUGAACUCCAUAUAAGUCAAUGCAGUGGAUUUAAGUUGUUGGCUGAAAGGAAGUCCUGAGGCCACCACCAUUUCUGCUCAUCCAAACAGAAUAUUUUGGGUAGUGAUAUUGGUAUAUUUUUUGGUGACCUCGUAUAUUUGUGCUUUAAGACAAGAAAAUCUGAAACCUAAAAUUAGCAUCAAAUUAUAAUCAAUCUCAUAUUCAGUGAGAUUUUGCAGAAGUUUUUCAUACUGGAACAGUUUCUUUACUUGGUUUUUUAGAAAUUCUGCAGCUUUUGACACUAAACCUUCAGUUUAUGUUCAGAGAAUAUGCAAAUCUUUGCCAUCACUUACAAAGAACACAGCAUGCAGAGUAUCCAGCGGCCAAGUGAAAGUGGAAGAUAGCGUAGAUGAUGAGGCCUGUGAAUUAGUCAAUGGAGUGGAGCUUUCCAUAGGGGAGGGUGAUGAUAGCAUCAAUGCUUAUCUCCUCAAGGCUGUUAAGAACAAUAAUGGUACAGGGAUACUGCUCUUGUCUGAUGUCUUUGGCUUUGAAGAUUCAUCCACAAGGGACUUUGCAUAUCGCGUUGCCUGCAAUGGUUACAAGUAUGUUAUUGACCUUCAUUAACAAUCUUAUAAUCCCUUUUGAAGAACUGAUUCUUUAGUAGAGUUGAAAUUUGAAUCUUUAAUUCCGUAACACUUCUUUCCUAUGCUUUUAAAACAACUGCAGUGUUCUGGUACCAGAUUUAUUUCGCGGGAAUCCAUGGGUGAAGGACCAGCCGAAGAUCAUGUUUCAACAAUGGCUAGCUACACAAGACCGCCAAAGGGUUGCUCGAGACAUUGACAUGUCAGUAAAAUGGCUGGUUGAUGAAUUCAUAGCUGCAGGAGUCACAGAGAAGCUCGGUGUCAUCGGGUUUUGCUUUGGAGGCGGCCGCGUGAUAGACGUUCUAGCCCAAGACCAGGGUGCUCAUUUUGGUACCGGUGUCUCCUUCUAUGGGACAAGAAUCAACCCAUCUGCAGCAGCCAAUGUAAAGGUACCCGUAUUGUUCAUUUCAGGGGACGAGGACCCACUUUGUCCAGUCAAUUUGCUGAAAGAUAUUGAGAAGAGCAUCGGCAGGGGGUCAAGAUUGGUAAUAUUUGAGGGAAGAGGCCAUGGGUUUGCUCACCGGCCAGAAUCUCCCGAAGAUGAUGAAGACGCAGAGCAGGCGUUUGCGGUCCUGAGAAGUUGGUUGCAGGAAGGUUUGGCUGUAAAUAACUGAAUGCCAGUUAGUUUUGGUUAGUUCCCUGUGUGUAUUCAUCUUGAAGAAGAAACCAACGAUAACCCUGCUGCUUGUUAUUAUGAUAAUAGGCCAUUUUCAGUUCUUUUAUCGGGAAUUUUGAUAGUGAUGAAAGUGAUUUGUCAGUAUCAUAUUUUCAUUAUAUUCCAUGUUGCUUUCAUUCAAGGAACCAUUGAUGAAGAACCCUUUGAUGUACCAGACCUGUGAUAUAGCUCAAAGGUACAUUGGUUUUCCGGUUUUUGGUCGAUGGUGAAACUGAAACACUGCUUUGAUAUGCUCCUGUUCAGGUAACUUCUGAGACACUGCUGCACCCGAGAUCUGAGGCACAUUCCAUUGAGGAGUUCUUGUUUUGGUAGCUCAACACAAGUAUCACAACGAGCGCAGGUGUUACAGGUUUUGGUUUGAGGUCUAGAAAAAGACCUAUGAAGUUACAAUUAAUGGCCUGUGUAAUUUUGUUGUUGGAAAAUUGAAUUUAUGUAUGAGAAUUAUAUUUUAAAAUUAUUUUUAUUAAAACUAAGGAUAAUUUUGAUAUUUUUAAAAAUUGUAAACAAAAUACAAGUGGAUUUUAGAAAUAGCGGGUUUUUAUGCUUUAAACAUGUAUCUAAGAGUUUUAUCUAAAAAUGUCAUAUUUGAUUGAUAGGAUAUAAUAUAGGACAAAUAAAUGGUGAGAUAUAUUAUCUAUUUUUUUUUCUAUAUGUUAAUUUUAUGGUAAGAUAUGGAAUAUGUAUAUCCCAUAUAUUAAAAAUUUAUUUUUUAUAUGCUCAUUUUACAAAAUAAAUUAUAUAUAUAUAAAUUUAUAGUUAAAAAAGAAAAACUAAAAAAAUAUAAACUAAUAUUAAUAAAUAAUAUAUAAAUUAUUUUAAUAUAUUAAAUAAUGUAAUAUAAAUUUUUAUUUAUUUAUAAAAUUUAAAUAUUUUAAUUAUAAAUAUUGUUAAAUAUAAGAGAAUUUUUAAAUUUUUAAAUAGUAAUUAUUAGUGAUAUAAUUUUUAUUUUAAACAUUAAAAAAUGAAUAUUCUUUUAUAUUAUUUUUUUAUUCAUUUUAUAAAUUAAAUAUAAACAUAAUAUAAUAAAACAUAUUCACGUAUAAGUAUAUUUAAAGAUAUCAUAUUUCAUUGAAAAUCAUAUCUAUAUAUUUCUUAUCUAAUGGGAUAUGAUAACCUAAAAAAUGCAUAUUUUAUUCUAUCCUAUUUCGUCAAUAAAAAAUAGCCUUUAAAUAAAUCUAAUAUUUAAACACUACUUCAAUAUUUAUAGAAAGGGGAAAAAUGUUCUGUCUUACACUUGGGAAAUAAAAAAUAAAAAAAAAUAAUUAAACUUAGAUUUCUCAUAUCAAAACUAGUAUCUAUUCCAGCUAUGUAUUGUAAGCUUAGUUAUUUUUUGUUGAAUAUAUUAAAUUUAAAUUUUACAAAUUCAUUUUUCCGUUUUUCCAUUUUCUUUUUCCAAAACUCUAUACCGAAAUACCUCUAAAAAAACUCUACCAGACAGUCCUGCUUGGGAAUUGGUUAAAUAGGAUGGUGCCUCGGAAAGGGAAUGGAUAGAGCAUUUGUUUUAGCAUAGAAUGGAGAAUUUGGACCAUUAGAGAGAGAUAUUUGGCAAUUGGUGGUCCUUAGUUGUUGUGGCUUGUAGUGUAAGGCAACUGGCUUUGUGAUAUAACUGAUAAGAGGGGGUAGCCUGGGUCUUAGCAAACACCCAAAAAGACAAUUUUAUCACUUUCAGUUGUCAAAAAAUCCUUUGGUUCUCCAUCUACCUAGUCAUGGUGAGGUAACAGUGAGUUAAAUUCUAGUUUACUUUUUGAGACAUGAUGGUGAAGGAAAGAACAGUAGAAUAUGAAUGUCCAUAACUACAAAAACCACUGCAGAACAUCCAUGAAUUAUGGUUGCUACCUCAUUACCCUUCAAGAUUCAUCAGCAAAGUUAUCAAUAGGAACCAUUCACCAUAGCCAUUAACCAGUAAUGGUCUUCUCAUAAAAUGAAAAAGAAAUAAAACAUAUAUAUAUUGAAAUUAAGAAACUCUUCCUGCCAAACAUCUUCCCUGUGAAGCAAUGUACAUCACAACUGAUAAUCAAACAAAAGUCGAGUUAACCCAUGCUAUAGAGGGAUUUCACAAGCCGGUAACCAACUUAAAAUCAAAAUUUUUGCACAAAGUUUCAAGGAAGAUUUCCUUUUCUCAGGAACCAUAACAAAAGUGAAAUGAAACAAUGAGGAAAUAUGCAGAAGAUUCAGUAGCAAAAGAAAAUCAAUUAUUUCUUCCUUUUUUUUUUUCUUCCUACUACACUCCAUUUGGUCAUAGGAUUACAGAGCAAAAGGCAGUAGGGAGAUCAUAACUAAUAAUGUACUCAUAACAAUGUUGUACUACAUGGCUGAAAGCCAUUGCAGGGGGAUUAGGAAAAAACUGGCAACAAUAAUCUCAACUUCUGAAAAUUCUGAUUUGAAACCCAACCAACUCCAGGGUUUUGAUAUCUUCUAAUCAGUCCUGUCCCUCCUGGCAACAACAACAGAAUUACUAACCUUGAAUAAAUUGCUUACAAUUCAUAUAAAGUUCACAACAACAAGAAGGAAAUAUAAAACAAAAAGAUCAAAAUAUUUUGAACAACCUAAAGAACUGGUAAUACAGUUGAAAUAUUAGUGUGGCUAGGGAUCCUUGGUUUGUGGUCCCCAGAAGUGAAAACAAAGGGAUUACAUAAAACACAAUAUAAGGGAACAGCUGGUGACAACUGAAAGCUCUAUGAGGAACCUAAGAGAAUGUGUCAUAAUAGAUAAACAAGUUACAACAAAGAAACUACACAUGGGAUUUUACCUAAAUGAUAUGAAAAAACGGGAACUUGAAUGAUUCAUUGCCCAUUUCACCGUCAUGGAUUGACAGGGUUUAGGGGUUGUCCUUCCAAGUAGUCUUUGCAUCUCAUUCAAGUGGAUUCUUUUUUCCAUCUGAAAGUGGUGACUUGGAAAAUCUUUUGCACAAGGUUUCAGAAAAGACUUCCAGAAGUAAACACUUCCAUGCAUCUUGAAUCCAGGUAGGUUUCAGAAACAGAUUUCAGAGACGUAUUUGUCAAUGAGUUUUCAGAAGUUUUCCAAGGUCUAUUAUAAGUUUUGGAGAUGCUCUAAGCCUUGCAGACCAAAGGUAUUGAGAGGCUUCCCAAGGGACUCAGUUGUGACCUUUAGAGCAAAAGCCUAUCCGCUAGAGUAUGCUAUGUUCUAUUUAUAGUUUUUGAAGACAUCACAGUUCAAACCCUUUAUCAAGACAUGACUUCCACUAAAUAUCAAGAAGUAGAUUCCACUAAAGGGUGAUAGGUUGUAUUGUAAUUCAAUCUAUUAGAUGUCAUUUCUGGCGAAUCACCACCACCAACUUCUGAGCCCUCCAUUAGCAUAUAUAACAACUAAUAAUCACAUUCAUAGACCCACAACAGUACAUGUCACAGUAGUUAUUACUCUUGAUUUUGCAAUGUUUCUUAGUUAAACCAACAAGGAAAUGGAAACCUAAUUUCUUAUUCUGUUUGGUCUCAAUUUGCAUUGGCCUUUUUGGAAGCUAAAAGCACUUUUCUAAAAAAAAAAGAAACGGAUUUUAUUUGUAUGUAAGAUAAUUUAAUAACAAUACUUUUGACUUUAAAAAGAGCUUAACCUGGAAGUAAAGACAAGAUUGCUUCUCGUUAAAGUCCUUUCUCAGCUUAUGUAGGAAAUUGUUUCAUGUUUAACAAAAUUUUGUAGCACCAAAAUUGUCCCUUUGAAAUCAUGGUUUAUGGUUUGGCUUUAACCUAAAAGCAAAAGCAAAAAGCUAUCUAAAACAAGGCCUUAGUUUCAACUCAUAACUUGCUUCUUUUCUAACCCAGAUAUAUAUUCUUUUUUUUGAUAGGUAAGUGCAAAUUGUAUUAAAACACCAAAGUUUUCUAACCCACAUUAUAAUAUGUAACUAGAUUAAAAUUUAUCAGUGUCUGCUAAACUGAAUUUCCUACAAUUAUAAUAAAGAGCUAAAAUUAAUUUUAAAUCAAGUUGUAUCAAAUAAUGAUAUUUCUCUUCAGAGAAGCAGCUAUAAAACUAUUCAUUGUCUCUUAAUUUGCUUGCCAGUCUUGCUUUUUGGAAGUGCAUAUCUAGGAACUGAUUUCUAGGAUUAUCCUAUUCUAGUCCACUUGUUCCACCAGGCCACCACCCUAACCUUCCAGGUUCAAUUAUACUUCAUAUCCCUUCUGUAUUCACUGUUUCACCUUCUACCAAACUCACCUAUCUUUUACAUAUCUAACUUCAAUAAACUCUGUUCCUUCACAAUAUGAAUUCCUCAACAUACACUAGAUCAAGCUCAAAGGAUUUCCUGCAGAUUAGGUCUUUAGAAAAUAACAUUUUGGUGCUGUUUUCUCAGGCAUAUGUACCCAAGACUAGCCCUAGAGUCAAAUAUAGAAGAGAAUAAGAGAAUACAACUAAAAGAUUCCACAAAUUAAAACCAAUGUAGAACAAACCCACCUGAGAAGCAGGAGCAUCUGAAAUCUUAGGAGGCAGAAACAUUGCAGGGUAGCCACCAAACUUUUGAGAACACUCUGUAUAUGCAGAUCCAAGUCCCAGUCCAGCACCAAAAGCUACAGAUGCCCAGCGUGUCACAGGACUCCCUGACAUGACAAAUCAGAAUAAAAAUUCAAUUUUUUUUUUUUCAUUUUUAUUAUCCUGGUAUGGGAGAAGGGACUGCUUAGAGAUUCAAAUGUUAAUGUGAAGCGAAGGCUGCUGAUCUUAUGAUUUUAAAAUAUGCUUAUACUUAGGGCCUCAACUGACAUUAGAGUGAACAAUGCCUAGGAAAACUAGUUCAUGCACAAUAUUUGCUUAGAAAAUUAAAUGUCAAAAAAUUAUCAGAUUUAGUUCCAUCAUAAAGUAUUUAGAUGACUAACUCUUAAUUAAAACAUAAUUUAUUGGGUGUGAAAGUGGUAAAAAAACAUGUUAGUAUACCAAUUAACAAGUCAAAACAUGAUAUUACUUAACAUGACUGUCUAAAUUGUACACUACUGUACCAUCAGAAAAUUGCACUGACAACAGUAACUUUGUUUCUCCUUCACUAACCAGAUUCAGCUGAAUGAUUGUCAUUCUUGGUAAUAAUUUUGGUAAUCCCAUUGAGUGUGGAGGAACCGUAGUGUUCAAGUAUAUUGAGGACAUUGGAACAUUUGCUUUAUGGGACCAAAUUAGAGAUUCGAUUCCCUUUGGAUUCUAAGGAGGACCCACAAAACCUUUGUGAACAUUUUGCAAUGAGGCUAAGGCUUUGCAAGAUCCACCCAGGAAAUUGGGUCUUCAAUAGAAGAAAUCCAAGUAGACCCUUCUAAAUAGCAGAGGGCUAAGAGUGUUAACAAAGUCACUCGGGAUUCCUCUGCAGGGGGCAAAAGGAAGCCAGAGAGUUAAAAGAACCUUCAAACAGUAUGCUAUGCUGCUUCAGGCUCUAAAAGGUGUAUAGGAAGCAAUAAAGUUUGGGGUAAUCCACAAUUACAUUGCAAUGAAGUUUGAAUUUAGAUGGUAAAGAUGUUAAAAGCAUUUGAGAAGCUAGGCAAAAGGUGUGUAUCCUUACCUUGUUUAGGUGCUUGGGGAGAACAUCACUAUCAUCUAAACAACAGUUUUGUUGAAGAUGUCAGGGGCCUAGAAGAUUCCCUCACUUUAUCAAUAAAUUACACUUUGGGAAUGUUUGAAGGGUUGGUAAUUGAGUGCUACAUAUGGCUCCAGCAAACCUAGAUUGAGGUCAGAUUUGUGAGAAACCCUCUGGUUUCCAUGAUCUGAUGCUUUCACAUAAAUUGGAUUGCUAAACAAAUAACUUUUAGGAUACAAGAGGAAUUUUUCCCUUUUAUGCUUUGAUAAAUUAUAGUCAUCCUUUUAAGAAAAGAACUCUAAUUAUUCAUGCACAGUCACAAGAAUUUAUACCAUUAAGUUUCCCAUUUAAGUUAAAAUGAAUAAUUUAAGAAAAAUUUAUGCUUUGUUUAUUUUAUUUUAUUUUUUUUAAUGAAAUCAAAACCUUCUUUUGGUAUAAAGAAAGAGCCAAAGUUCAUGUAUGUGAGAGGUCUACACCAAGGAAAAGAGUAAACAGAAAGGAAGAAUGUAUUAAAAAACUAUAAGAAAAACAAAGAGGUUAAUUUAACUCCAUGCCAAUGAAGAUACACAUACACUUGGCAAAAAGGAACUUCAACUUUGCCAAAGGAAAUUCUUUAUCUUCAAAGAUUCAUUUCUACCUCACCUUCCAAAUCUUCCAAAACAUAGCAUGUGGAACACCAUUCCAACCUCUCCUUAGCCUUUUAUCACAAGCAAUACUCCACCCAAAAGAAAAUAAACCAACAUUCACAAGAUUGCCUGCUAAAUACCAAAAAAAUGAAGAAAUUGAAAAGCCCCAAGACCUGAAGGCAACCAAGGAAAAAUGAUCAACAAAUGCCUCAUGUUCUUCACACAUAAUGCACCAAUUAGAAAUGGCCCACUUCAUAUUUAUCAAGCAACUCAUUGUUAGAUGAUCACUGAAGGCAACCAUCCACAAACUGAAACUCACAGAAUAAAUUAACAAAAGAUACUCCUAUAAAAUCUUUAGCCUUGGACACUCCAAGAAAGAAAGGAAUAACCAAAAGCCUACUUAAGAUUAGAGAGAGGAACUCUGCUCCUUCAAAAGAAAAAUCUUCAUGUUUUGCACUUUCCAAAUGUUCCAUUAGAGAAAAACAGGGUUGUUGGCAAAAUAAUGCUACCCUCCCUCAUUGGAACCUCAAAGAAGCAUCCUAUGAUGGCCAACCUGGAUGAAACCUUUAGGCUUAUCAAACCCUAUGCCACAAGGUGGAGAACAUCUUAUGAUUGAUAACCAUUUGAUUUAGGCCUAAAUUAAGGGUCAUAGACAAGAAGGCCUAGAAUCUCAUGGUUCAAAGUCGUAGUAUCAAUCAUUGGUAUGAGACAUUCUGAGGCACACUGAUCUCAACCUAUGUUGUAUAGGUUUGGAUAUGAUUGUUGGAUGCAAGCACGUGUCUAAGUGUCUAAUCCUUCACAACUCAAAUUUUAGGAUAUGGGGACUUGACUAAAAAGGAUCCAAUACACAUGCACAGGUGCUAAGAUACAAUAUAAUAAAAGAAAAAUCAAUUAAAUGUAGAUUGGAAGUUGAAAGAAUAAAAGAAUAUCAAUGAAAGAAUCAAACACUCACAUCCAAAGUAAAACAGGAGUGUCCGACAAAGAUCCCAUAUCCAUCCCCAUAUCAUGUUAUGUUGACAUGGGUAUGUUGGGUGAAAUUGAAAGAUCUGGGAAUCAUAGAUCUCAACAUCUCAUUAGUAUCAGGUGAUACAUAAAAGAUGAAAAGAAUAAAAUGGAAUUUAUUUUUUUAUCUUUUCAAAAAAAAUGUUUAAAAUAAACAUUUUUUAAAUUUAAAAAUGCAUUUUUAACUAUUAAAAAAUACAACCAUUUUAAAACAAUAAAUCAUUUUAAAAAAAAUUAACAUUAUUUUUCCUAUCAAAUAUGCCCAAAAUAAAACAAUUAUAAAAUAUAAGAAUUUUUAUUAAUUUUAUUUUUAUUUGAAUAAGCAUAUCAUAAAAAAUAAAUAUGUUUUGUUAUACCUCAAUCCGUUAGUUUCCUAUUUUUAUAUCAAUUUCAUACAAACCCAAAUACCCAAAUACCUAUGCAAUCCAAUUUUCAACAUAUCGCUACACCCAACAAUAUAAAUCUGAUUACUACAUUUAAUCUCAUUCAAUCUCCAAGGUUAGGUCCUUUAGGAAACCUUUGACUGAAAGCCAACACCACCAAAGUUUCACCACAGCUCCACUCAACUUCUGAUCCACCUCCCCUAUUCCUAAACAGACCGAAAAGACCACAAAAUUACAUUUACAACUAAUUUCUCAUGCUUAAACCUUAUCCUCUUUCUUUCCUUUCAGGUCUCUUUUCCUCAGUACUGUUCACAUAAUUGACAAUUAAUUUAAACAAAAUAUUAAUCAACUUUAAUUGUAAUCCACAUUCCUAUCAUUUUCUGCCCAUGGAUCGGGACAAAAAUACUCAUUCAGUAACAGGACAAUGCUUGGCAGACCUCCUUGCCCAUGGAAACGACCUUGGGAGUACCAAAUAACUACUUGAAGGUUGGUUUCAAAGGUGACCAAGCUAUCUCAAGUAAGCAGAAAUCAAUAUUUGUUUAAGUGAAUGCUAAGGCGCCUGAGCUAACACAGGGCCUCAAGUAUAAGACUUAGUGAUCGAGGCAUAAUACCUCCAGCACAUUGAGUGUAACACCAUGGCCUUUGAGCCUGAGCCAAAGCUACUAAUGAUUUGACACCCUAGUACACUAGUUCUACAUGGUCCUAUUAUUAGGGUACAUCACCAUUCACCACCACAUGCACUUGGAGCCAACUAAGUUCCUAGCUAAGGUGCCAUACUCCUGAACAAAAAACGUGGAGGAUUCCCCACAAUUCUGAGAAUGCCAAAAAUGGGGAGGAUGAAAGUAGGAGCCCAAUGAAAUGAAAAUCACCAGCACUGGUCACUCUUGUCCAAUCAAAGUGAAUCAUCAAACCAGCUAAAAGGCGUCAUUUCAAUCCAAUAUAAAUUUUUUGCAAAGCAUGCAAACAUAAGGAGAAAAGAAAAGGGAUUCCUAGUGCAUAAUCUUAGUUCCAAAUGUUUCCAAUCUAAUAAACACCAUAUCUAUUAGAAAAUGCGGAAAAACUCCAUAAUAGGUUAAUUGAGCAUUACGUCCUGCUUGGUUGCCAAGAAAAUGUAGGAAAAAACAAACAAACGAAAUUCCCUCACUAAAAAUAAUAACUUUUUUUUUCCUCCAUAUUGAUUGAAAAUUACCCGGUUGGACCACCAAGAAAAUGCAGGAAAAAAAAAAAAAACAAACAAACAAAAACAGCCACAACUCAAAACUCUAAACAGUUCAUCUUCUUCAGGUUAGUUGAACUUUUACCCCGCCAAAAAAAUGCAGAAAAAUUAAUUAAAAAAAAAUAGAAUUUCAUGAAUUCCUUUUCCUUCCCUUUCCUUCAGCUUGAAUGAACAUGAAACCCCGGGUUGUGGGCCAGAAUAAAUUCGUAAUCCCGCACCGUUUGGUUGGUAAGACAAAGGAGUAAAAUAAAAAUUUAAAAUCAAACAAAUGAAAAUCCAUAGCUAAAAAGCCUAAUCCCCCCUUCCCUUCACGCAGAUUGAAGGAUAAGUCCCGUUUGUUUGCCAAGAAAAUGUGCGAAAACAAAAAUCCAAAAUUUUACAGGAAACCAAAAUGAUGAAUGAAUAGGAAGAUGAAUAAAAAAAAUAAAAGAGGAAGAAGACUGACUGAAGAGGAGGAGGCCGCCAAAAGCGCCCGCGAAGGAAGAGUAGACGAAGCGGCGGACGGUGAGAUCAAGACAGGCGUCCCAUUUGGCAUCCAGAUCGUAGGGUGGAGGGAUCUGCUUGUUCUCCGCCAUUGAUAUGAUCAAAUACAACCACUUUCUUCUUCCUCUUUUCUCUUUUUCUUCUGAUAGAAAGGAAUUGUUUGUUUAUUCUUUGGAGAAAUUGGGAAGAAGGGUUUGUUUCCCGUACGACUAGGGCUCAGCAUUGGGCUUGAGAGUAUUUGGCCCGGCCCAGUAAACACUUGGGCACGGUUUUCAUUCACAGGCCCAUAACUAUGUUCCUUUCACAGUAAUCAGGGAAAAUUACAUGGAUACCCUCGAGAUUAAUGACAAUUAAUCAGUGAGAACCUGAAUUUUCUGAAAUUACGGACCAAACCCUUGGCUAAUAGUGUGACCGUUGGAUUGCUGACGUGCUAAAAGUUAAGAAAAUGUCUAAAUGGCUUUAGUUUAGUUUAACCUGCAUAGAUAUUUAAAGGGUUAUUUUAUUAAAAGACUCAAUGAAAACCCAAUUUUAAAAAUUUAACGCUUCAUCGUUUUUUUUGUUUCAUUUGGAUGGAAAUGUUCUUGUUCUUUUCUUAUAAAAAUAACAAUUUUUUUUAAAACCUAUGUGUAAAUGUUUGAAAUAAUAAAAGACAUUUAUGUUAAAAAUAGGUUGAUCUUCAUGUCAAAAUGUGGUAAGGGUUAAAUUCAUAAGUUUGGAGAUUAUUUCAUCCAUUUUUAACCGAUUAAUUCAUAUCUAGAAUGUCUUUACAAUUUUAUCUUCUAUUAUCCUAUUUCCCUCUACUUAAUCAUGUCAUUAAUUAUAAUCAAAUUUCUUCAAAUUUUUAUAUACAUAACCUAAUUAACAAAAACCUAAUUAAUUUUAAUUAGAAUUAUUAAUUAAAUAGGAUUCCUAAAUAAACUUUAAUAACUAAUAAAAGUAACCCAAGAAUAUUCAUAUUGUAUAAUAAAAAAUAGAAUUAUGAAAUAAAAAUAUUUUCCUAUUUAAUUUUUUAAUAGGAAAUUAUUAAUAAAUAAUAGUAAUAUUAUACCAUAGAAAUCAAUGUAUAAACUAAAACCAAUUUCAUUUUUAAAAUUAAAUAUAACUUCAAAUAAUUAUUAAAUAACAUUGUCAAAUAAUUUGACGCUCCCAUCCCAUUCAACUCCUAAUGGAUAGAGUUUGAGAUAAAGAUAAACAAGAUUAGAAUGCAUUUGUGAGGUUAUUUAUGGCAUGCUCUAAGGCUAUUUUUCAUCAAGGGAUAUUGACAUAAAUUAUCUUAUUAUGAGAGAAAAAUAUAAAAUCAUAUAAUUUCAUUUGAACCCAUCAACAUGAGCAUAAUGAUUGUUUACAAAAUCUCUUUAUUGUUCAUAAGGACUAUGAUGCUCUAUCAUGUCUUCAUUAUGUGUAUAUCGUAAUGGAAUAAUAUUCAAAUAAGACAUGUUAUAUGUUUGACACUAAAGUUAGACCAUGAAAACUCAUGGGGAUAAUGAGAUUCUUUUAGUUAAGAUUCUCCAUUUAAACAUGUUUAAGAAAAAUGUUAAUAUACUAUGAGGCAUGUUUGGAAUUACAUUAUAUAUAUAUAUAUAUAUGAUUACUAUAAUCGCUAUUUAUAGUUUGCUUAUUUAAAUAAGUUAAACUUUUGAACUUAGAAUGAUUAUGGAUACACUUGACUACUUAUCGAGUCAUCAUUGUACAUCAAGUAAGAGAAUGUUUAGACCUUAAGUGGUCUUAAUGACCAUACUAAAUUUCCGUUUGGUAAAAUAAAAUAUUUCAUGGUAUCUUUUUGUUUCUAUGUGCAUGUAAAUACAAUUGAUAUCCUACAUUCACUUAUCCUUUUUCUAGUUCCCAUUCAUAUAUUCUUAUAAUGUUAACUAGAUUCAUUAUAAAUGAACUCAAAAUUCAUUAAAUUCAUGUUCCACAAUUUAUCACAAGGAAGAAAAUAUAAAGAACCUAAUUUUUGGUUCACUAAUAGAAGAAUCAUAAUGGAAUAUAUAUAAAAAGCUCUUGGUCCUCUCCUCCGUUAUCAUUCCUUCCAUUUGAAAGUUUUAUCCUUAUAGGCCCAUUAUUAAUGUUAAUCCUAAAUGAAUGUUUGAUAAAUCAACUUAAUACCUUAAAAUGAUUUAAUAACUUAAUUUAAGUUAUUAAGUAAAUUAAGUAGGUUUAAUAAAAUAAUUUAAUGAUAUGAUUUAAAGUAAAAAACAACUUUAAGUAAUACUAAAAAUAAUUAACUUAUUUUUAAAUUCAUAUAUUCAUUUUAUAUUUUUACCCUCAUUUGUUGUAGUUACCUCCAUGAUCUUUUUUGUUAUUCCAUAACUUUUACUGUUAUUUGAGUUUUUUUGCCUUAAUAAUAAUUUAUGAGGCUAAAUAUAUAAAUUUGAUGAUUUAAAAUAAAUUUUAAAUUAAUUUUAUCAAACAACCUUAAUACUUAAAAUAAUAAUUAAGAAAUAAGUUUUAAGUUAAUAACUUAAGUAUAAUUUAACUUGAAGUUAACUUAAAUCAUUAAGUAAUAAAUAUUAAGUUUCACCAAACGUAUGUUAAGAGAGAUCAAGAGAGUGAAGAUUGUCUGCAACCAUCAAAGCUUAGCAUUGUAUAUCAAGACUCAUUUUUUUAUAUUCAAAUCUUAAAAAGUUUUAUUGUUAUUAAUUAAAUAUCAUGAAAUUUACACGUUAAGAUAUUUUAACAUAUGAUUUUGGAAAUUUUGUACCAUUUUCUUAUAAAUUUGGAUAAAAAUAUGUUGCAGUAUAUGGUUUUAAACAGUAGUGACUAUAAUGAAUAUCAAAUUUAGAAAAACAUUGUUAUAGUAAUAUUAUUUCCACUAUUAUAUUCAUCAUGACUUUCUAUGAAUAGUAGAAAGAUGUCAGUUUGCUCUUGCAAAUUAAGGUGAUUUAAAGCUCAUAAUCACUCAAAGUCAUUGGCUGCUUCUCACAGAAUUCCAAAGCUACAUAUGAUCGAUCGACAGAGUGAAAUUUAUGUAUUUAAGUAGUUGUUCUAAGACUUGAUAUAUUCAAGCUGUUCUUAUUACAUUACAGCAACCAUUCCUCGCCAGUCUCCUUCCACCCUAGGAGUUUAUUUUGGUACAAUAUAUAGGAGGACUUUAUUUAUUUAUGGUAAACGAGGAUCUUUAGUUCCAUGGUCGCUCACACCUUAAAGCUCCUGAAAGGACAUCAGCUCAUUACACUGAUUAUGCUUCUUCCACACAAUUGCCUCGUAGUCGCCGGAGGUGCCGGCGAGAUCGGCUUUGAUAUGGAGUUUGUAAAUGUUUCCUGCCAGGUGCUGAAACCACCCCAUAGAAACUUUCUCGAAUGCCAGGUUCCAGUUUUCCUUCUUGUUCUGCUCCUCCACGGCGUAUUCUCCCAACUCCUGGAUGUGCUUCUCUUCCACGUCUUCGACCUUGGUCCAUCUGAUAGCUUGCGUGUGAGCCAUGAGACUUGUAGAACUUGUGGGUUUUGGAUGGGUUUUUGUGGGGUGGUGGUGGGUUGGAUUUAUAGACUGGAAAGAGACAGGGAUGCGAACUGCCUUUCCACUUUCUCGGAAGAAUACGAAUCUAGUUUUGUAUGGAAACUGACCUUCAUAUUAUCAGGUUUAUUUGCAUGGGAUAUAAUAAAAAGGAAAAAAAAAAAAAGAGAGAGAAAAAAGACCUAAAUAAAGAAAGAAAAAGCAAGUACAAUUUUUUAGGGGCUUUCUUUUUUUCUUUUCCUUUUCAAAUUAACAUUAACUUCUCUAAUUUAAAACUUGAUAAAAUUUUAGAAUAACAAAACCAUUAGAAAAAAGUUAUUCUCAAAGUCAUGUUUAAUAAUAGUUUUUUAAAACAAUCUUAUGUUAUUUAGAAAAAGGAAAACACGUUAGACAAUUAGAGAAUAUAAAAACAGUUUUCUAUUAUUAAAAAUCGAGAGCAAAUGUUUUUAGAAAAUAAUUUUAAAUUAUUUUUACUUAUUUUCUAAGGACAAUUCUAAAAAUAAUUAUAUAAAUAUGGAGACCAAUUAAAAAUAAACUAGUAUAAAUAAAAGUUAUUUUUAAAACUAAUUAAAAAAUAUAUUAAAAAUAUUUGAGAUUCUCAAACAAAUUUUUGUUUUAUAAAACUCUAAAAAACAAUUUUUAAAAACUAUGCUUUAAAUUCAUUUUAAAAAAACACUUUUCAAAGAUCAGCAAAGUUUUUCUUUUCUAAAAGGUAAAAUUAUAAUUAUUUUUUAAUAUAUAUAUAAUAAUUCUCCAUUGACACAAUAGCCACGUAGUGCGCCUUUACUAUGGAGAAUGAGCAUAUGGUCCGGGAUAGGAGUAGUGGGUUUCAAAAUAUUCUAUCACAUGAAGAAAUAGAUAGAAAAAUCGUCUGUUUCUAAUUUUUUAUUGAACUUCAUAUUCUUGUUUGGUGAUUGAUGUAGGACCAUGGAAUCCUUUAUACGUUUUUAUCUUCUCUUUUUCUAGUUGCUGCAGGAUAAGAGAAUGAAUGAACAAUUCUAAGGCCUAUCACAAAAGAAAUAGAUCAAAAGAAUUAUCUUUUUCCAAUCUUAUUACAUCUUUUUAUUUUUUAGUUAAUAAUGUACGAAAUAGAAUUAACGGUCUAUUUAUAUGCUCCUUCCCCACAAGUGAUGAAAGAAAAUGGAAUUAAUUCUUGAAGGAUAAUUGUUGUAGUAGUUGGAGUUAAUUUUGAGGAAGAAAGAAUAUGGGAAAAAAAAAAAUUAGGGAAGCAAAGAAGAUUGUUACAAGGGGAAUGAUAAAUAAUUUAUAAUUUGAUAAGUUGUAAAGAAAAAAAGACAAAGUAAUUGAAAGAAGGAGAUCGAGAAUCGUAUCCUUUUAAAUAUUUUGAGAUAUAUUAUUCAUAUGUGGACAAUGUCUAUACUAUCUCCUCAUCUCCACUUCUGAACUUAUUACCCAUCUCUAGCUUAUUUCUUAUCUUAGAUUGAACCGGAUUGAGAAUCUUUAUUAGGAAAACAAAUUCCUCAUCAAGACCAGGAAUCUUAUUUAGUUGGUUUUUAAAAUUUUAUAAUUUUAGUUUUAAAAAAGUUAAAAAUAAAAUUAUAUAUAAACUAGUAUAUCUAAAAUAAAAUCUUUUAUUAUAUUAAUAAUAAACUAGUAAUAAAAAAUAUUAUUGUAGACCCCCAUUUUGGGGAGCUAUCAUUCUUCUCACGUUUCCUUUCUUGCAGUUAGCUGUGGCCAAGUGUCACCAUCUUGCAUGGCCACGUGUCAUUCCCGGAUUAGUCAAUAUGAGAUCAAAAUAGUGGAAUUGAUGGACCAAUCAGAAGAAUAUUUGGCUGUUGAGAGGAGCGUAGGAGAGGGGUGCUUUUUCUGCCGGCUAAAAGAUAUUUUGAAGGGAUCUUUUUCUGUUAAGGGUGAGGCUUUUUGAGUGGAGUAAGGGAGGCUGGCAGCUGGGUGAGGUGCCGGGGAUGCAGUUAGGAUAUUUUUGGGCGGGAGGAGGUUUGGCAGAGGAUGGAGAGGCUGGUGACAGAGCAGAGAGCUUUAGAGAGAAAAGUGAGAGAGACAUUAGAGCUUUAAGGGAGGAUAGUUUAGCUUAAGGAAGGUGAGAGAAGGGAGAUUCUGGAGAAGCAAGCUGAGAGAACCAGAGUGCCUUUAGGAUGAGAGAGAGGUAACUGGGGGGAGGAUGUUUGCUGGAGAGUUGUGGACAACUUGAGGAAAAGAUGAGCCGAGAGUGAAGGAGAAAGGAUCUGAGAAAGAUAGAGUUGAAGAGGCGAGAGGAGGAACAACUCAAGAACUUUGAAAGACCAUCUCCAGGUACAUUGGUGGUAAUCUCUUGGACUAUUCUCACUCACUCUGUUUUCUUUCUAUCUCACAUUUUCUCUUGCUGUCUCUGUUUUCUUUUAUGAUCCUUGGUUAGUUGUUCGGGUAUAAGUGUGAUGCUGUAUUACUUUCCUCUGUACUUUUUGCUUAUUUGGAUAUGGCUCAUUCCCCUUUUGGUAUUUAUUUUAAACUCUCCUGAUGCACCACUGGCCAAAACCCCUGGAUCUCAAUAUGAAAGGGGAUCCCACUUAAUGCUUUGCUCACUCUGUUUACUCUGCCAUGGGUACACUAUAUCUUGUUUUAUUUCUUCCUCCAUUUCCGGUAUCUCAAUCCAUAUUUUGGUUUCUAGCUCAUGUUCCUGGAUUUGUUUUGGACUAUUGGUUUUGUGUUCUGGUUUGUGCUUGAGGGGAGAGGGUGGUGCUUUGGCUACUGCCACAGAUUCAGGGUUCCCAGUGGACGAGAUGCAGAUGAGUGAUACUGGUCCUUGAGGGUCUUGCACCGAGAUACAUUUUGGUAGAAUUGCUAAUAGUGAUGCUGUAUCAUUGGCCGACAAUGACGUUCCUCGUGUUAAGAUAUGGAACUUUUGUGUUUAUACAGUUCGACAGGGAAAGAGAUGGUUCUCUUAAAUCUCUGCCUGCUAAACAUGUCAACGCCGGAACGGGUUUUGAAAGAUUGACUUCCAUUCUUCAAGGCAAGACGAGUAAUUGUGAUAAUGAUGCACUCUUACUCGUCUUUGACGCUAUUCAACAGGCGACUAAUGCCUGAUCAUAUUCAGGGAAAGCUGGAUCAAAUUAUACAGAUAAAGUUGGCUUGGCAUACAGAGUUGUCGUUGAUCACUUAAGAACCUUUUCUUUUGUUAUUGUUGAUGGAUCUUGCCCAACUUAGAGCACUUUUGACUAGUGGUUUGGGUAUGGAUGGGAAACCACUAUGAAGGACGAUGCUGUUAUGAUGCUUGCCCGUUUUAAUGAUCAGGGAAUUUGGAUAUGGCAUUUUGUGUUUAUCAAGAAACCCAUGGGAUAUGGCAUAAAUGUUCCCUACAACAGCUUCAUGUCAAUCAAGAAACCCAUGCUCUGCUACAGAUGUUACUUAUCCUUACAAAAUUGCGUAUCUUACCAAUGGUUCUGGUGCACAUAUUAUAUUUGGUUGUAGUGAGGACCAGAUUGGCUCCUUUUUGGAUGGGGUUACUCUCAAUGGCAUAUUUGGAUUUGGUACGAGCGGUGUUCGUUCCUAUCAUUUUAGCAAAGGAAAGGCCAUUACUGUUGGGGUAUAUUGAGAAGGCGGGAACCCUUGACAAUGGAGUCUUCCCCUGCACGCAUUGUAUUGAGUGGAAGCCGAUAACCCCAACCCAGAUCAAUGGAGCCGACACCCAGACACUCAUGCCUGAAGCUUCAAAUUCCUAACCAAUCGGAACCCAUCUUCAUCAAGGCCACCUGGUUUCCUUCCCAUUUCCACCUCUCUAUCACCGACAGCCUCCACACCUGGCUCUGUAACGCAUCGGAAGACGAGGUCCGAGAGCGAGCCGCCCAGUGGGAUCAACCUGUUUCUGAUUACAUCGCCUUGGCUGAGCGGUUCCUAGGGUUUCAGCAGCCCGGUUCGGUUUACGGGUUCUCCGACGCGGGUGACGGCCAUAGAAGAUUGCCAUGGACAUUUGAGAAGGAAGGGACUAAGCUAGAAUGGCGGUGGAAAUGUGGACCCUUCAUUGGAGCUACUCUAGCUACCCUGCAGCCACGUGUUUCAUGCAGAAUGCUUGGAGCAGUUGACUCCAAAUCAAGCCUCCACCCUUGCAUGAACUAUGCAUGGCCACCUUUGACCACGUGUCACCUCCUUUUAUUCCUCUCAUUUCACCAUCCUUAGUUUUUGAAAAUAAUCUUCCUAAACUCUAGUUUGCGAAUAAUUUUUCAAAUUCCUUUUUUUCAAAUAAUUUCAUCUGUUUAAUUUUUCAUCCUUAGUUUUUUCGUUUAGGUUCCAAAAAUCAUCUUUUCAAUAAAAUUUGGCCAUCAUUCUCAUUCUGGUAGGUCACUUUCAAAUUUUCUUUGUUUUUUUAAAUGUUUUAAAAUAAGCAUGAAUUAAAUUCCGUAAUUCCGAAUAAUGGAAUUUAUGGAAUUAAUUCAUGCAAAAAUAAACGGGCUUUGGUGGGGACCCUACAUAAGUGAUUUCCUUAUGAUUAAUUUAUCGAUUGAUUUAAUUGCCAUGAAUGAUAGAUUUUAUUAUGCUCUGUGACAUGUCUCGUGAUUGUUAUUAUGCUUUCCUCUCUGGAUAGCGCAUGGUGGCUCGUUGAUCAGGUACACAUCUAUUCUCACUUUGGUCACUCUAUAUACAUGUAUUGAUUCCCAUAUGUGCAUGAUCAAUUCGGGUAUCCAUUGAUUUCUUUAUUAGAUGCCACGAUUGCUUCAUUUUAUUAGUAGAGACCCGACUUUAGGGACUUAAAGGGGUGCUACGGUCUUUACCGUACCUUCCUGAUAAGUAACCUGACCCCCGAACCCGAUCCGGUUUUUCAUGGACCGCAUUUUCCAAAACAAGGAGUCACACUUAGGGGUUUUCUUUCUUAUUUUGUUUACCCUUUAAAUAAUAAAACAAAAAUAAGUGGCGACUCCAAGUCAUUUCUUUUUAAUAAAUAAAAAUCAUUUUCAAAUAAAAAUCGAGCUCGCCAUCGAGUGGGAAACGCAAUGAGUUGAAAUGCGGGGUCCACAAAAUGGUGUGUCAAACUCGUACCGAUGCGGGGUCCACAAAAGGUGAUCCAACCGAUACCCAAACUCGUACCGAUCUCAGAGCACUCUCAACUGGAGACUAAAAAAAAGAGGGAGUGUCAAAUCCGAACUAUGACUACAGAGGCUACUAAAAGCCCUCAGAUGCACCCACGUGUAAAGAGGAAGUCCUAAUCGAAGGAUCUACGGCUCAACCUACGAGGUCAAUGGUGGCUCUAAAUGGAUAUGGGUGGACUUUAAAAGAUCCAUAGCAGAAGCGAUCAUACCUUCCAACGGUACGCAACCCUCUACACACCUCCUAAGAGACGGGACGCUUCCAUGCAAGGUGGUCAUCACCUCCACACAUGCACUACCUCGACAUCCCAAGGGAUUUCCUAUGGUGAGACCUCUCAAAACUCUCAACGCUUAAUGGUCGACUAGAGUGCACAGUGAACGGUGUGGGUGCAUCCGAAAACCUUAUGAAACUAAAAGAGAACACACUGGCCACACAAAUAUCCUGAAAUCUAACUCUGGGCUAUAUAAGUCUUCGAAGUUCGGACUCCAAUCAGCAUCAAUAUGUCGACCACCUCCAGAAUGCUCCCAAACAUAGAUAUAGCCCAUCGCUAGACCCUACUCCUAAUCACUAGCUCGGUCGAAGAGAAAACAAAGCAACAAGUCUCGUAUCAAAUAUGAGACCAAGGAAAACAAUGUCGACCGAGACUAGGGACUUGAAAAUAAGGAGAUAAGUGUGUGUCCCACAUAGACACGCAACUCAUGCAGUCACAUCAGAAGAAAGGCAGUCACGCGACAGGCAGUCAGGCAGAGUACAAGAUAUAUCACUCAUGCACACAUACAAGCUAUGACAAUCAGAUGAAAAAGUGAUACAAAUAUCAUGCUCAAAGACAAUCAAGAGAAUAUAUAAUCCAGACAAUCGACAUGUCAAAUCAAACGAUGUAUAACAAUGAAUCCAUAUAUGCAAGGUGGUCAAAACAAUCAUGGCAAAUAUCAGGAUGACUAUGCUAAGCAAGGCAAGAUGAUCAAUCAAUAUAAUCAGUAUGUCAGUGUACUCAACAAUCAUGGAAAUGAAGCAUAGAAAAAAAACAAAAUCCUCAAUCAAGAUAAUCAAUCUCAUAAUCAGCAUGUCAAAUAUCUCAUACAAAUAUAUCAAUGAAGCAUGAAGAAACUGGCUAUAUUAGAAUCCUCAAUCAAAAUAAUCAACCAACANNNNNNNNNNNNNNNNNNNNNNNNNNNNNNNNNNNNNNNNNNNNNNNNNNNNNNNNNNNNNNNNNNNNNNNNNNNNNNNNNNNNNNNNNNNNNNNNNNNNCCAUUUUGUGGACCCCGCAUUUCGGCUCAUUGCGUUUCCCACUCGAUGACGAGCUCGAUUUUUAUUUGAAAAUGAUUUUUAUUUAUUAAAAAUAAAUGACUUGGAGUCGCCACUUAUUUUUGUUUUAUUAUUUAAAGGGUAAACAAAAUAAGAAAGAAAAACCCUAAGUGUGACUCCUUAUUUUGGAAGAGGCGGUCUGUGAAAAAUCAGAUCGGGUUCAGGGGUUAGGUUACUUAUCAGGAAGGUACGGUAAAGAUCGUAGCACCCCCUAAGUCCCUAAAGUCGGGUCUCUACUAAUAAAAUGAAGCAAUCGUGGCAUCUAAUAAAGAAAUCAAUGGAUACCCGAAUUGAUCAUGCACAUAUGGGAAUCAAUACAUGUAUAUAGAGUGACCAAAGUGAGAAUAGAUGUGUACCUGAUCAACGAGCCACCAUGCGCUAUCCAGAGAGGAGGUUAGUGCAUAAUAACAAUCACGAGACAUGUCACAGAGCAUAAUAAAAUCUAUCAUUCAUGGCAAUUAAAUCAAUCGAUAAAUUAAUCAUAAGGAAAUCACUUAUGUAGGGCCCCCACCAAGGCCCGUUUAUUUUUGCAUGAAUUAAUUCCAUAAAUUCCAUUAUUCGGAAUUACGGAAUUUAAUUCAUGCUUAUUUUAAAACAUUUAAAAAAACAAAGAAAAUUUGAAAGUGACCUGCCAGAAUGAGAAUGACGGCCAAAUUUUAUUGAAAAGAUGAUUUUUGGAACCUAAACGAAAAAACUAAGGAUGAAAAAUUAAACAGAUGAAAUUAUUUGAAAAAAAGGAAUUUGAAAAAUUAUUCGCAAACUAGAGUUUAGGAAGAUUAUUUUCAAAAACUAAGGAUGGUGAAAUGAGAGGAAUAAAAGGAGGUGACACGUGGUCAAAGGUGGCCAUGCAUAGUUCAUGCAAGGGUGGAGGCUUGAUUUGGAGUCAACUGCUCCAAGCAUUCUGCAUGAAACACGUGGCUGCAGGGUAGCUAGAGUAGCUCCAAUGAAGGGUCCACAUUUUCACCGCCAUUCUAGCUUAGUCCCUUCCUUCUCAAAUGUCCAUGGCAAUCUUCUGUGGCCGUCACCCGCGUCGGAGAACCCGUAAACCGAACCGGGCUGCUGAAACCCUAGGAACCGCUCAGCCAAGGCGAUGUAUAUAGAGAAAUAUACUGCUGGAUUAAAUAAACUAUUUCCUCCUCUGUUAUUCAAUUGAUCUGUACGUAAAUACAUACAAUAUCACAGAGAACUAUUUUAGGAAAUAUUUACAGCAAUUACUAUGACAAAAUAACUAUAUACCAAUCUCGGCUAAUAAUCACAUAAAUAGAAACAGAUCAAAGACUUUAUUCAAAUGGCUUGAUUGUAGGCUGAAAUCAUGAAGGUUUGACUUGAUCUUGAUUUUGGCAAUCUUCCUUAAUACGCCCCCGCAAGAUUGAGCUUCCAUCGGCAAGACCAAUCUUGGUACAUAACAAUUCAGUCCGUUGCCGUGACAAGGGUUUUGUCAAGAGAUCAGCAAGUUGAUCUUGCGUGUGAACAUGACGAACAUGAAGGGUCCCAUUUUGAACAAGCUCUCGGACAAAGUGUAAAUCAAUCUGAAUAUACUUCAUGCGAGAAUGAUUAACUGGAUUAAAACUCAGAUGUGUGGCGCCAAGAUUGUCACAUAGCAACAAGGGAGGCACCUUGAGUGGAAAACCGAGUUCAUGAUGUAAGGAGUUCAGCCACACAGUUUCAGACGUAGCAUUGGCAAGAGCACGAUAUUCAGCUUCCGUCGAUGAGCGAGCAAUAGCUCGUUGUUUCUUGGAGCUCCAAGAAAUGGGAUUUGUGCCAAGAAAACUAAUAUAAGCCGAAGUAGAGGUUCUGUCAUCCACAUUCCCUACCCAGUCAGCAUCAGAGAACGUGGUUAAAACUGAAGUUGUGUUUCUAGUAAGCUGAAUACCAUGAAAAAUGGUUUGUUUCAAGUAACGAAGCAGUCUCUUCGUGGCUGUCCAGUGGGCUGUAGUUGGCUUAUGCAUGAAUUGAGAUAGCUUAUUCACAGCAAACGAAAUGUCCGGUCGGGUCAGUGAAAGAUACUGAAGACUACCAAUGACACGCCGAAAGUCAGUGCUGUCAACAGGUGCUGUGCCAUCAAACAAUUUCAGAGAAGCAGUUGUGGAUAAAGGAGUGGACACAUCCUUAGCACCAAGCAUAUUCGUUGUGGACAAUAAGUCACGAAUGUAUUGAUGCUGUGACAAGAAUAGACCAGCACGAGUAGGAAUAACCUCUACUCCCAGAAAGAAGCUAUGGUUUCCCAUAUCUUUUAGGGAAAAAUUUUCACCCAAUUUCUGAAUUAUGUGAUCCACAAACUGAAUAUCAUUGCCAGUAAUUACAAGAUCAUCAACGUAAACCAAAAAAUAGCAAAUGAUAGGACCAUGUGUAUAAAUAAAUAGAGAAGAAUCAGCUUUGGAAUUUUUGAACCCAAGCUGAAAAAGAGCAGUUCUUAGAGUUGUGUACCAAGCUCGAGGAGCCUGUCGAAGCCCAUAAAUGGCUUUUCUCAAUCGACACACAUGAUCAGGCUUACUGGUAUCUUUAAACCCUGGAGGUUGCAUCAUAUAAACAGUUUCUGUGAGGGUUCCAUGUAAAAAAGCAUUGUUGAUGUCCAUUUGGCGUAAAGGCCACCCAUUCAUCACGGCUAUAGUCAAAACACAUCGAAUAGUGGCUGGCCUAACAACAGGACUGAAGGUUUCCUUGUAAUCUAGGCCCGGUCUUUGAGUAUAGUCUUUGGCCACAAGCCUGGUCUUAAAUUUGUCCACCGAGCCAUCAGCUUUGCGUUUUACUCUAAACACCCAUUUACAGCCCACGGGUGUACAGUUUGGGAGGGGUGGAACCAAAUCCCAGGUUCCAUGUUUCAUCAAGGCAGUGAGCUCAGUGGACAUAGCAUCACGCCACUGAGGAUGGUUCACGGCUUGAGUUGCACAAGUUGGCUCAAUUGCUAGAGGAAUGGGAUGUUUGGAAACCAAAUGAAGUUGCUUGGGUUUAAAGAUGUUGUUCAUGGAACGGGUUGUCAUUUUGUGGAGACGAGGGUUCCCAGUUUGAACACACGAAGGGGGAAUGGAAUGGGACUGAGAUAAAGUAAGAUCAGCAACCGUGUGUGUGUGAGUCGGAUGAAGGGAGGAAAGAAGAACAGGGUCAUGCGAGAUGAGAACAUUUGAAUGAGAACCGGAAUUUCUAAGAACAUCAGUCAAAGGAAAAUUAGGAGAAGAGAGAGGGGGCUUACCUGGAGGUGAUGGAGAUGCAGCAGAAACAUCGGUCGGAAGCACAUGUGAUGGUGCCGAAUCAGAGGAGUGCACGGACGGAAUCACUUGAGGAGGAACUCGCAUGGGCUGAGAAGAAAAUGGAAUAAAGGAAGUAGGGCACAGAUGAGAAGAAGACUCGGGAUGGGCUGGGCUCUGGGCUUGCUCGGAUUGAAAAGGCAGUUGGGUCUCAUCAAAUAACACAUGCCGAGACACAUAAGUUUUGUGGGUCUUAAGAUCCAAACAAAUAUAGGCAUUUUGAGUUUGAGAAUAGCCCAAAAAAAGACAUGGAAUGGACUUAGGUUGCAUCUUGUUAUUAUUAUAUGGACGUGUAAGGGGAUAGCAAAGCGAACCAAAUUUUUUUAAUUUAAGAUAAUUUGGUUUCUGUCCAAAAAGAGCCUCAAAGGGGGACUUGUUGGUGAGAAGAGGAGUCGGUUGCCUAUUUAUGAGAUAGGUGGCAGUUCGAAAAGCAUGAGGCCAAUAUGAAAGAGGCAAGGAAGCAUCCGAAAGUAAGGUGAGGCCAGUUUCAACAAGAUGUCGAUGACGGCGUUCAGAGACUCCAUUUUGUUGCGGGGUGUAAGGAGCAGUAGUAUAGUGACUAAUGCCGUGAAGAUUUAAAAAAGGUUUGAGAGAAAUAAAUUCACCACCAUUAUCGGAGUAAAGGGUUUUAAUUUUGGCUUGAAACCGAGUUUCAACAAAAAUUUUAAAUUGUGGAAAAAUAGUUGACACACUCGAUUUGGUAGCCAUGGGAUAAAACCACAUGUAUAUCGUGUAGUGGUCCACAAAAAGAAGAUAAUAACGAGAACCAUCAAGACCCGUUGAGUGUGCGGGACCCCAAACAUCCGUAUAAAUAAUUUUAAGUGGACCAGUACUCGAAAGACUAGUUGUGCGAAAAGGUUGUUGAUGAGAUUUAUUAAUAGAACAAGAACGACAUAACAUGGUUAUUUUAUUUGUAGUGGUAGGAAGAGAAAAAAUAGAAACAAGAUUUUUAACAAUGGGAUAGGAAGGAUGACCAAGACGCUUGUGCCACCCAUCAAGCAACAUCCGUUCAUGCACAUUAGCAACCUUUUGUGAAAAAUUUCCCACAAGUGAUUCCGAAAAAAUGUAAAUGCCGUUCUCACAUGAACCUCUUAGUAGGAUCGCCCCUGUGAUCGGUUCCUUCACAAGAAAAUAAGAUGGGUGAAACUCAACAUAUACAUUAUUUUGUGAGGUAAAAUGAUGAACAUAAAUCAAUUUUUUUUAAAGAUUUGGAACACAGAGAGUAUCACGCAAGAUAAAGGUUCGAUUGGGUGAGUGUAUAGCUAAAGAACCAACAUGUGAAACAGCCAAACCUGAACCAUCACCCAGAACCACUUCAUCGGUGCCGUCAUAUUCAGAGUGAAUAGAUAAAUUCUGAAGAUCACCAGUGAUGUUGUGGGAGGCAGCGGAAUCAAGGAGCCAUUUUUGCUCUUUCAUGGUAGAAGUUGUUGCACUGUUUGCAGUAAUUUCACUGGGCUUCAGUUGAGGACAAUUUUUGGCUGUAUGGCCCAACUCAUCACAGAAUUGGCAUUUGGGCCUAUAAGGCCGCUGGUUGUUGCUGGGCCGAUUGGAACCAUUGGGACGUCGACCAUCACGAUUUCCACUUCGGGCUGGAGCUUGCCCAGACUGACGCUGAGGCCCAUUCGGCUUGCUAUAGCUGCGUUGUUGACCUCCCGAAGAACCAGACUUCCUGGUUGUAUAGUUUGCAGCGGCCACCAGUUGCUGAGUAGCAGUUUCAAGGCGGCGCAAAUAAUGUUUGUGGCCGACCAGAAGAUCGUGGAGCUCCUCAAAGGCAAGAGACUUUUCGCGAGCUCGGAUUGGUGCUACAAUUUCCCUGAAAUCAGAACCUAAGCCAUUAAGCACAUAGAGGGUUAGGUCAUCAUCAGAAAUGGGGUGGUCAAUAAUGGCAAUUUCAUCUGCCAGAGACUUCACAGCAUGUAGAUAAUCAGAGAUAAGCCGAUUUCCACGCUGUAUUAAGGUGAGUUCCUCUUUUAAUUGCAUAGCCCGAGUUCGUGAUUUGCUAGCAUAGAGGGUGUUCAAUUUUUGCCAAGCCUCAUGGGACGUUUUUGCUGUUGCAAUGAGUGGGGUGAUGGUAGGGGAAGUGGAAGCAAGAAGGGCACUGAGUAUAAGUUUGUCUUGCCGAACCCAAUGAGUUUUGUGUAGGGCAGAAAUAGAGAGAUCACUCGGAGAGGGACAUUGAGAGAUGCCGGUGACAUAAUCAAGCAAAUCAUAUCCUAUGAGUAAGGCUUCAAAUUGAGCACGCCAUUGAGGAAAAGUAGAAGGAGUCAAUUUUUCAUUAAUCUGGGCAGUGAUUUGAGAGCAACAAGAGUGGUUUCAGUGGAGGAAAUGAGGUGGGUGUUGAGAUGAAUUUGAGGUUGUUCGGGUGAGGAAGACAUUGGGGAAAUGGGAGGGAUCGACUCGUUGGAGAAGGGCUGCUCUGAUACCAUAUAGAGAAAUAUACUGCUGGAUUAAAUAAACUAUUUCCUCCUCUGUUAUUCAAUUGAUCUGUACGUAAAUAUAUACAACAUCACAGAGAACUAUUUUAGGAAAUAUUUACAGCAAUUACUAUGACAAAAUAACUAUACACCAAUCUCGGCUAAUAAUCACAUAAAUAGAAACAGAUCAAAGACUUUAUUCAAAUGGCUUGAUUGUAGGCUGAUAUCAUGAAGGUUUGACUUGAUCUUGAUUUUGGCAAUCUUCCUUAAUAAUUAGAAAUGGGUUGAUCCCACUGGGUGGCUCGCUCUCGGACCUCGUCUUCCGAUGAGUUACAGAGCCAAGCGUGGAGGCUGUCGGUGAUAGAGAGGCGGAAAUGGGAAGGAAACCAGGUGGCCUUGAUGAAGAUGGGUUCCGAUUGGUUAGGAAUUUGAAGCUUCAGGCAUGAGUGUCUAGGUGUCGGCUCCAUUGAUCUGGGUUGGGGUUAUCGGCUUCCACUCAAUACAAUGCGUGCAGGGGAAGACUCCAUUGUCAAGGGUUCCCGCCUUCUCAAUAUACCCCAACAGUAAUGGCCUUUCCUUUGCUAAAAUGAUAGGAACGAACACCGCUCGUACCAAAUCCAAAUAUGCCAUUGAGAGUAACCCCAUCCAAAAAGGAGCCAAUCUGGUCCUCACUACAACCAAAUAUAAUCUGUGCACCAGAACCAUUGGUAAGAUACGCAAUUUUGUAAGGAUAAGUAACAUCUGUAGCAGAGCAUGGGUUUCUUGAUUGACAUGAAGCUGUUGUAGGGAACAUUUAUGCCAUAUCCCAUGGGUUUCUUGAUAAACACAAAAUGCCAUAUCCAAAUUCCCUAAUCAUUAAAACGGGCAAGCAUCAUAACAGCAUCGUCCUUCAUAGUGGUUUCCCAUCCAUACCCAAACCACUAGUCAAAAGUGCUCUAAGUUGGGCAAGAUCCAUCAAUAAUAACAAAAGAAAAGGUUCUUAAGUGAUCAGCGACAACUCUGUAUGCCAAGCCAACUUUAUCUGUAUAAUUUGAUCCAGCUUUCCCUGAAUAUGAUCAGGCAUUAGUCGCCUGUUGAAUAGCGUCAAAGACGAGUAAGAGUGCAUCAUUAUCACAAUUACUUAUCUUGCCCUGAAGAAUGGAAGUCAAUCUUUCAAAACCCGUUCCGGCGUUGACAUGUUUAGCAGGCAGAGAUUUAAGAGAACCAUCUCUUUCCCUGUCAAACUGUAUAAACACAAAAGUUCCAUAUCUUAACACGAGGAACGUCAUUGUCGGCCAAUGAUACAACAUCACUAUUAGCAACUCUACCAAAAUGUAUCUCGGUGCAAGACCCUCAAGGACCAGUAUCACUCAUCUUCAUCUCAUCCACUAGGAACCCUGAAUCUGUGGCAGUAGCCAAAGCACCACCCUCUCCCCUCAAACACAAACCAGAACACAAAACCAAUAGUCCAAAACAAAUCCAGGAACAUGAGCCAGAAACAAAAUAUGGAUUGAGAUACCGGAAAUGGAGGAAGAAAUAAAACAAUAUAUAGUGUACCCAUGGCAGAGUAAACAGAGUGAGCAAAGCAUUAAGUGAGAUCCUCUUUCAUAUUGAGAUCCAGGGGUUUUGGCCAGUGGUGCAUCAGGAGAGUUUAAAAUAAAUACCAAAAGGGGAAUGAACCAUAUCCAAAUAAGCAAAAAGUACAGAGGAAAGUAAUACAACAUCACACUUAUACCCGAACAACUAACCAAGGAUCAGAAAAGAAAACAGAGACAACAAGAGAAAAUGUGAGAUAGAAAGAAAACAGAGUGAGUGAGAAUAGUCCAAGAGAUUACCACCAAUGUACUUGGAGAUGGUCUUUCAAAGUUCUUGAGUUGUUCCUCAUCUCGCCUCUUCAACUCUAUCUUUCUCAGAUCCUUUCUCCUUCACUCUCGGCUCAUCUUUUCCUCAAGUUGUCCACAACUCUCCAGCAAACAUCCUUCCCCCAAUUACCUCUCUCUCAUCCUAAAGGCACUCUGGUUCUCUCAGCUUGCUUCUCCAGAAUCUCCCUUCUCUCACAUUCCCUAAGCUAAACUAUCUUCCCUUAAAGCUCUAAUGUCUCUCUCACUUUUCUCUCUAAAGCUCUCUGCUCUGUCACCCAGCUGCCAGCCUCCCUUACUCCACUCAAAAAGGCUCACCCUUAACAGAAAAAGAUCCCUUCAAAAUAUCUCUCAGCCGGCAGAAAAAGCACCCCUCUCCUACGCUCCUCUCAAUAGCCAAAUAUUCUUCUGAUUGGUCCAUCAAUUCCACUAUUUUGAUCCCAUAUUGACUAAUCCGGGAAUGACACGUGGCCAUGCAAGAUGGUGGCACUUGGCCACAGCUAGCUGCAAGAAAGGAAACGUGAGAAGAAUGAUAGCUCCCCAAAAUGGGGGUCUACAAUUAUAUAUAUAUAUACUUGGGGUGAGGAGUAGGGUCUUUGUCUCUCAUUGAGGUUUUUAAAAUUUUCCUUGUCAAUGAUCUUGAUUAUUACUCCUAAUCCCCGUCUCAAUGUUUAUUUAUUUAUUAAUUUGUCAUUUCUCAAUUUCUACUUUAAUUUAGUACUAGAUGUCAUGACAAUACUAGAUGGAGUUGAUAUAGAGUUUGCAAAGAGGUGCAAGAGUGUGCAUCUAGUUCUUGCAUACUUGUGGAAGCUCUAAAAUUUUUGUGAGCCUGGUGCAUUGCCACAACAAGAGGACCCUAAUCCUAGAAAGUUGAGUGAUGCCUGCUAGGAUGAAACUAAAAUGGUUUCUACUCAUGUUUAAGUUUUUAAGGAAGAUAAGUUCCUAAGUCAACAAGAAUUGCAAAUCUAAUUCCCUUUAUAAGGAGCAUAAAGCUAGAAAGAGAGCCUAAAAUAAAUAAUAAUCAUAAUAGAAAAUACUAGCUCAUAAGGAGUUUUGAAAUUAAUAAAUGUUGGCCAACCUACCAUCCUAAUUAAUUGAUCAAUCUAUAAAGACCCUUCGUAAGCUCUUUUACAACCAUAUUUUGUGCCAAAAUGACCUUAUACUAGCUUAUGAAUAAAGAACACAUAUAUCCCUUAAAAACUAUAUCACCAAAAAAUAUGAACUCUAAUGGAGACUUUUAGACCAUAAGAAAAUACUGGUUCCCUUAGAAUUUAAUUUAUUUAAAGUUGACUUAAUAUCCUACUAUAAAGAGGUAAUUACAUUAUAAUAUCCUAUGAUAUUAUAACGAGAUAUAAAGCUUAGGUUUGUAACCUAUUAUCCAGUAUAUGCAAACUCCUUAUGAAUUGGUAUACAUAAUCUAAUGAUGUAGAUGCUAUUAGACUCUAAAUGUUACCUCUACCACCCUUUAGUGUUAAAUCCUCCUAUUAUGUGAUUAAUUAACAUAUUCUGAUUCUUUUAAGAGCAUAUGUCAAAUUCCAGAUAGAGAAUUGCUAUGAUUAUAUAUUUCAUGAUCAUAUGCCUUUAAGAUUACCUAAUGGGAUGCGUUGUCUCAAUCCCAUGAAAUAUCAUAGUGUCUAUCUUGAGGAUAUUUAUUUUCGCUUGCCUUGAUCAACAAUGACCCAAUUCCUAAGUAACAUACAACCACCUUAGGGUCUCACCAUAGGUUAAAAUCAUUGACUUCAACACAAGUUUAAUAUUUUCUGAAGGUUGAGAUUUCAGUAUAGUAGCUUGGUGAAUUCAUGAUUACCUGAUAACAAAUGUCAUGAUUCAUUGUAGGUAAAAAAAUUGAGAGCCUAUUUGACAUUUGUUUUGAAGAAUAGCUUUCUAUUUUUCAAAAAAAAAAAAAAAAAACAUGUUUGAUAACGAGAAAGUUGUUUUCUAUUUUUUGUUCUUAUUAACAAAAAAUAAGGUAUUUAUAAGAGAAUAUUGUUUAGUUGUUUUUAAUUAUUUUUUAAGGGUUGUUUACAAAAAUAAUUAUACAAACAUGUAAAAAGAUUAAAAAUAAGGUACUAGACAUAAAAAUUAUUUUCUAAACAUAUUUAAAAAUAUUAAAAAUAGGUUAAAAAAAUUUUGAGUUCCCAAAUAGAUGUUUGUUCUAUAAAACAUUAAAGAAAAGUUUUCAAAAACUAUUGUUUAGAACUAUUUUAGAAAAUAAUUACCAAAUAGGGUUUGAGUUUUUGUUCUUUUAGGUCUCUCACCAUAAGCUCGUUUGCUUUAUGUAGGGGUCACUUUUUCUUUCAAUUAAGGAAGCUUAUAUAUAUUUAAAAAUAUUUUUUUGAUUUAAUUCUAAAUAAAUCUUAAAACUAAAUAGUCUUUAAUAGUGUUAAGUAUUAUGUUAUUUGUUUUUUUAAUAUUUUAUUUUAUUAAGUAUUAAAAAUUAAAGAAAACAAACAAAAUAUUUAGUUUUUUUAUUUAAUAAAAAAAUUUAAGAAAUAAAUAAUAAAUUAACAACACUAACAAAUAAAUGAAUGAUUUGAAAUUUGAAAGCAAAUUACUUUUAACAAAAAAUUAGAAAAAAAAAACACCACCUCAAUCUACUACUUUAAAGCCAAUGGUGCUAGUUCUAGGCCUAAUCCCUAUUGUUAGAAGGAUAUUAAAUAAUAGAAAAACCAAAAGUUUUUUGAUAUCUAAUCAUAAUUAAAUUUUUAUUAAAGAACUAAUCAUAAGGAAAUGAUAUAAUAUAAAAAAAAAUCUAACAUAAAGUAAAAAUUAGUUCCUAGUCCUUACCCCAACUCUUCUUCCCAUCUAAUGCUAAAUUUCCUCCUACACAAUCCUUACUCAUUUUUACUCAUUUUUAUGGAUAUAAGAUUAUUCAAUAUGAUUAUGGUUUUGACUGUGCAGUGAUAACCAAACGAUGAUAAUUGUUUUACCAACAAUAUAAUCGACUAUCAAUUCAAAGUUUGGUCAACAAUAUUUUAUGAUAAUUUCUCAGAACCAGGCCAAAGACUAGAGAGUGUGAAAUUUAUGUAUUUAAGCAGUUGUUCUAAGACUGGAUAUAUUCAAGCUGUUCUUAUUACAUUACAGCAACCAUUCCUCGCCAAUCUCCUUCCACCCUAGGAGUUUAUUUUAGUACAAUAUAUAUGGGAGGACUUUGUUUAUUUUUGGUAAACGAGGGUCUUUAAUUCCAUGGUCGCUUACACCUUAAAGCUCCUGAAAGGACAUCAGCUCAUUGCACUGAUUAUGCUUCUUCCACACAAUUGCCUCGUAGUCGCCGGACGUGCCGGCGAGAUCGGCUUUGAUAUGGAGUUUGUAAAUGUUUCCUGCCAGGUGCUGAAACCACCCCAUAGACACUUUCUCGAAUUCCAGGUUCCAGUUUUCCUUCUUGUUCUGCUCCUCCACGGCGUAUUCUCCCAACUCCUGGAUGUGCUUCUCUUCCACGUCUUGGACCUUGGUCCAUCUGAUAGCUUGCGUGUGAGCCAUGAGACUUGUAGAACUUGUGGGUUUUGGAUGGGUUUUUGUGUGGUGGUGGUGGUGAUGGUGGGUUGGAUUUAUAGACUGGAAAGAGACAGGGAUGCGAACUGCCUUUCAACUUUCUCGGAAGAAUACGAAUCUAGUUUUGUAUGGAAACUGACCUUCAUAUUAUCAGGUUUAUUUGCAUGGGAUAUAAUAAAAAGGAAAAAAAAAAAAAGAGAGAGAAAAAAGACCUAAAUAAAAAAUAAAAAAAAGCAAGUACAAUUUUUUAGGGGCUUUCUUUUUUUGUUUUCCUUUUCAGAUUAACAUUAACUUCUCUAAUUUAAAACUUGAUAAAAUUUUAGAUAACAAAACUAUUAAAAAAAAAAAAAGGGUUAUUCUCAAGGUCAUAUUUGGUAAUGAUUUUUGAAAACAGUUGUAUAAUAAUUAGAAAAGGAAAACACGUAUGAUAAUUAGAAUACAAAAACAGUUUUUCAUUAUUAAAAAUUGAGAAUAGUAUGUUUUUAAAAAUUAUUUUUAAUUCUUUUUACUUAAUUUUUAAUGACUAAUUAUAUAAAUAGGGAGGAUGAUUAAAAAUAAAGUAUUGUAAAUAAAAAUUAUUUUUAAAAUAUAUUAAAAAACAUAGAAAAAAUGUUUAAAAUAUUUCUAAAUUUUAAGCAAAUUUUUGUUAUACAAAACUUCAAAAAGACAUUUUUCAAACAUAACCAAAGUUUUUAUUUUCUAAAAAAUAAAAUUACAAUUAUUUCUUAACAUAUAUAUAUAUAUAUAUAUUGACAUGUACAAUAGCCACGUAGUGCGUCUCAGAGGAGAACGAGCAUUUGGUCCAGGAUAGGAGUGGCGGGCUUCAAAAUAUUCUAUUACAUGAAGGAAUAGAUAGAAAAAUUGUACGUUUCUAAUUUUUGACUGAAUUUCAUAUUCUUGUUUGGUGAUUGAUGUUGGACCAUAGAAUCCAUCAUACAUUUUUGACUUUAUCUUUUUCUAGUUGCUGCAGAAUAAGAGAAUGAAUGAACAAUUCUAAGCCCUAUCACAAAAGAAUUAUUUUUUUCCAAUCUUAUUACAUCUUUAUGUUUUUUUAUUGUUAAUAAUGUACGAAAUAGAAUUAACUGUCUAUUUAUAUGCUCCUUCCCCACAAGCGAUGAAGGAAAAUGGAAUUAAUUCUUGAAGGAUGAUUGUUGUAGCAAUUGGAGUUAAUUUUGAGGAAGAGAGAAUAUAUAUGGGAAAGAAAAAUAAUUAGGGAAGCAAAGAAGAUUGUUACAAGGGAAUGAUAAAUAAUUUAUAAUUUGAUAAGUUGUAAAGAAAAAACGACAAAGGAAUUGAAAGGUGGAGAGAAUUGUAUUCUCUUAUAUAUUUUGAGAUAUAUUAUUCAUAUGUGGACAAUGUCUAUGCCAUCUCCACUUCUAAAUUUAUUCCCCAUCUCUACCUCAUUUCUUAUCUUAGAUUGGAUGGGAACUGAGAAUCUUUAUUAGGAAAACAAAUGCCUCAUCUAGAUUGAGAAUCUUGUUUAAUUGGUUUUUAAAAUUUCAUAAUUUUAGUUUUAAAAAAGUUUAAUAAAAAAUUAUAUAUAAACAAGUAUAUUUAAUAUAAAUUUUUUAUAAUACAAUUUUUUUUUUUGAGAAAAAAAGUGUAUAUUAUAUAUAUAUAUAUGUAAUGGUAUAUUAGGACUUGGGAUGGGAUGGUUUUGGGGUGAGGAAUAGGGUCUUUGUCCCUCAUUGAGGUUUUUAAAUUUUUCAUUGUCAUUGAUUUGAUUAUUACUCCUUAUCCUUGUACCAAUGUUUUUUUUUUUUUUUUUGGUAGUUUUUUUUCAUCCCUCAAUUUAUACUUUAAUUUAGUACUAGAUCUCAUAAAAAUACUAGAUGGAGUUGAUAUAGAGUUUUCAAAGAUUGGCAACAGUGUACAUCUAGUUCUUGCAUACUUGUGGAAGCUCUAAAAUUUUUGUGAGCCUGGUGUAAAGCCACAACAGAAGGAGCCUAAUCCUAGGAAGUUGAGUGAUGCUUGCUAGUAUGACACUAAAAUAGUUUCUACUUAUGUUUAAGUUUUUCAAGGAAGAUAAGCUCCUAAGUCAACAAGAAUUGUAAAUCUAAUUCCCUUUAAGGAGCAUAAAGCUAGAAAUAGACCCUUAAAUAAAUCAAAAAUGAAAAAAAAAACAUAGGGUCAUAAGGAGUGUUGAAACUAAUAAAUGUUGGCCAGCCUAUCGUCUACACUAGAACAAAUGGAGAUAUUUGAAAAAAAAAAUAUCUUUGGCGGAUUAAGAAUUCCUAAAAAUAAGAGACAUAUAUAGGACUAUAAAGAAAGCUAAUCUAUUAUUAAUGUCAUCGAUAUAUAUGUACCUAUUUUUGCCAAUACUCAUUGAACAUAUACAUGAUCCCAUGCAUAUAUAGUUUGUUGCAUCAACCCACUUCUUUAGGACCUUGUCGGUGAAUACUUUACCAUCCGAAUUGUUGUAUUAAAUCAUGCAUCCAUAUCCUUGGUAUGAGACAUUAAGAGAUAUUUAUUGUAAAGAACUCUUGUUCCAUUUUCAACAAAGAAACCAUAGGUGUCUAGAAUUUUUGUAUCAAAAUUUUUACAAUCCCCCUUGGUCAAACAAGCAACAUCAAGAAAUUUCAAUAUAUCCUUUUACCUAUAACUUAGCCCAUUGUAACUUAUUUUAAGUACACCUAAAAUUCUCUUGCUUGCUAAUGGACAUUUCCAUUGAAGAUAUGUGUUGCUAAAUAACAAGAACCCAAAACUUUAAUAGCUAAAGGAAGACCUUUACAAUCAUAUUAUCACACAAUUUAAAAGGGUUAAGAAAUUAUAAUCAUAACAUGCUUUUUCAACGGCAUAUCAGCUCAAGAGGACAUGAGCAUCAUCCUUACUCAAUGCCACUAGCUCAAAUAAUUCAACCAUGCAUAAUAAACAAAUGUUUAUGUCUCAUUGUUAUAAUGAUUUUACUUCUUUUACCAAACCAAUCAUGUCUUCCAACUAAAGGUUCUCAUUGUUUUAGAUCAUCCACAUAAUCCAAAACGGUAAAAACCCAUUUACAAUGAAGCAUGUGGUGACCCACCCUCGUAGGUGUCAUCCAAGCAAAAUAGUGUCUCCUCUUUACUCUAAAAACUUAGUGGAGAUACUAUCCUACAAAGAGAAAUUUAACUCAUAAUUGGAUAUAAUGUGUUAGAGAAGUAUAAUGAAGUAUUUUUAAGGAAACAACAUAUUCAUAACCAUUUUUAAGAUACAAAAUUUUGAGUGCAUAAGAGCCAACCUUAGCAUCCAAUUUUCAAAUCCUGAACAUAUGUAAGGAAAUGCCUACAUGGCAACAGUCUACACUAAAAAGAGGAAAAAAGAAAAGGGCAACAAUGGAUACAUGUCUUGCUGGCCACUUGUUGAACUUGCUCAAUAUGUGAUUCUACUAGAUCCUCGUCUGAAAAAAUUAGGGAAUUUCAUCAUCCAAGUAACACUCAACGUAAAUAAUAUAUAGUAUAACAAUUAGAUAAACAUACAACGUUAGACAACCCGAUGUAUAAUCAAUUAAACGCAUGUAUCAUAUAUGCAUCCAACUUUCAAUACAUUCAACUUUCAAUACAUUCCAAGGCUAUGGUGCCACUCAACUUUCAAUACAUUCCAAGGUUAUGCAAAUAUAACGACUAGCACCGUGGCCCUUCAUCCAUCGACAUAUAUCAUAUAUGCAUCCACAAAUGACAUAUAUCUUACAUAACAUGGCAUCAUAUGGACACAGUGCCCCUACAUCUCCCGACACAUUUCUCAUACAAAUUGCUUUCCCCUUCAUGUCUUAGCAUAAAAGAUCACAAGGUUAAUCAACUACGAUGUGCCCCUUUAUCUCUAUGACACAAUAAUGGUCCAAGGUACAUAACAAUCACAAAAAUAAUAAUAAUGUAAAGCACAAUAAUAAUACAAAUGAUAGUACAAAUGAUUUUUUAGUAAAUAGUAAAUACUAGCUAAGUUCCCAAGAAAGAUUGGAAGGAUCACAAUGGUCAUGCUUAAAAUCCAAGUUCCUUAGAACUUUCCUAAGUUGUACACAUCCAUUCAUGAUCACCAAACCAUCUUAACAAUUAACAAACAUAUAUAUCAAGGAUACAUGAAGCACAUAACCAUCAUUAAUAUAGCACAUAGACCAACACAUUUUUAAAUCAUAUGUCAUGAUAUUUGUGUUAAAACACUCCUCGAUCAUAGAUGCAUGCUCUCUCAACAUUUAAGGAUAGUAGAUCUUCAUAAUGAAAGUAAUAACAAGAAAAAAAACUGUAGAUAUAAGGUUUUAAAUAUUUUACCUUUGAUCUGGAUGUUCUCAUAUCAAUUACAGUUGAAGAAAAUGAUGAUGCAUAUCUUGAAAAGCUCACGAUCUUUCACUCAAUAGCCCUUUCUUAGAUCUUAGCGUUUGAGAAUGGUGGAAUCCUAACUUGGGGGUGGAAACUAGGGCUGGAAAACAAAAUGAUUAGAUUUCAAGCCUUAAUCCCUAAGGUGUUUUAUAUAGACUUCCUUAUAAGCUUAAGUGACUUUAGUUUAUCUUAGGUUUGGGUCAUUUAACCCUAACCCAUUGGAUCCUAAUUAAUUGAUCAAUCCAAAAAGACCUUUCGCAAGCUCUUGUACAAUCUUGUGUUUUUUCCAAAAUGCCAUUAAGCACACUUAAGAAUAAAGAAUACAUAUAUCCCUUAAAAACUAUACCACCAAGGAAUAUGAGCUCCAAUGGAGACCAUUAGGACCAUAAGAAAAUACUGACUCCCUUAGAAUCUAAUUCUAAAGUUGACUCAAUAUUCCACAAUGGAGAUGUAACUACACUACACUAUUUUAUGAUAUUAUAAUGAGAUAUAAAGCUCGAGUUUGUGACCUACUAUCCACUAUAUGCAAACUCCCUAUGAACUAAUGUAUAUAAUCUAAUAAUGUAGAUGCUACUAAACUCUAAAUGUUACCUCUACCAUCCUUUAGUCUUAAAUCUUCCUAUUAUGUAAUCAACUAACAUAUUCUAACUUUCUAAGAGAAUAUGUCAAAUUCCACUUAGGGAAUUAUUACUACAUAUUUCAUGAUUAUAUGUCUUUAGGAUUACCUAAGGGGAUGCAUUAUUUUAAUCCCAUGAAAUAUCAUGAUGUUUAUCUUGUUAAUAGCUAUUUCCACCUAUCUUAAUCAACAUUGACUCAAUCCCUAGGAAAUAUACAACCACCAUAGGGUCUCACCCAUAGGUCAAAGUCAUUGACAUCAACACAAGUUCAAUAUUCUCUCAAGGUUGAGAUCUCAUGCAAUAUAGUAGCUUGGUGAAUUCAUGACUACCUGAUAGAAUGUCAUGAUUCAUCGUAGGUAGAAAAUUGAGAAUGGAAGAAAAGUUAGAAAAUUGAGGGCUUGUUUGGAAACUAUUUUCAAGAAUAUUUAUAGACUUCGGAAAGAAAGAAGGAUGGGAUUGCCUUUCGACUUUCUUGGAACUUCCAAGAAUAAGAAUUUUUUUUUGUCUGAAAACUGACCUUCAUAUUAUGAGGUUUAUUUGUAGAGAUAAUAAAAAAGAAAAAAAAAAAAAGAAAAUGAAACUAAAAAUGGAAAUACAAUUUUUAGUAUUUUUAUUUUUAAAUUAAAAAUGAUUUUUCUAAUGUCAAACUUGAUAGUAAAAAUUACAAUAAUAAAAGUAUUAAAAAAAAUAUUCUCCAAUAAGUUUUAAAAUGAAAGGUCAAAGAGUCCAGGAAUACAUAAAUAAAUUUUUUAUUUUCUAAAAUAAAAUUACAAUUAUCAAAUCUAUUUUAAAAAGAGUUAAUAUAUUUUAGUUUUUAAAAAGAAUAUAUAUAUAUAUAUAUAUAUAUACACACACUUCACCUCAUCAUUGACACAAUAGCCAUGCAAUGCGCCUUUAAGAAGUAUGAGCAUAUGGUCCAGGAUGGGAGCGGGUCAGUUUCAAAAUAUUCUAGGAAUGGAUGGAAGAGUUGUCUUUUUUCCAAUUUUUGAUUGAUUUUUAUUUUGUUUUUUGGUGAUUGAUGUAGGAUAAUGGAAUCCAUUAUACAUUUUUAAGUUUUUUUUUUUUUUUUGUUAAUGUAGGAUAAGAGAAUCAAUGAACCAUUCUAAUUCUUAUCACUAAUGAAAUAGAAGAGAAGAAUUGUCUUUUUUCCAAUCUUACAGGAUUUUUAUUCUUUUUCUCUUGUAAAUAAUGUACUACAAUUGAAUCAAUUGCCUAUUUAUGUGCUUUUUUUUUAAUAAUUAAUGUGGAAAAAUGGAAUUAAUUCUCGGAAGAUAAUUGAUGUAAGAGGUAGAAUUAAUUAUGAGGAAGAAAGAAUAUGGGUAAAAACACGAUACAAUAAGGAAGAAAUAGGGUUGUAACUCUUGGGUGGAUUGGAAAGGUUAAAAGGCUACUAUGCCUAACUUGAUAUCAAAAUGCCUAACUUAUGCCAAACCUAACCUAAGGUUGGGUAAUUAAUUACCAGCCCAUGUCAAAUUUAUGCACAAUUCAAGUUCUUACACGUUAAAAUGGGUUCUUGUAGGUUAUUAAGUAGAAUAAUUAUUUUAAAAUGUAUAUCGAAUAAACCAUUAGAGGUUAUAGUACACUACCUCUUAAUUCAAGGGAUGACUAGUCUUGGCCAUUGGGAUGAGUUUCUCAUUAUGAAUGCACUACUGUGUAUGGUUACACAUUAGAAAGAACCUAUGGUGAAUUACGAUGUAAGGUUAUUGAGUAGUCAUAACUUCACCAAACUACUACGUUGUAUUAUCUCUUAACCUUGAUAAAAUAUUGAAUUUGUUUCAAAGUUAACAAUGACUUUGAUUUACGAGUGGGAUCCUAAAGUGAUCACAUAUUCCUUAUAGAUCAGGUAACAAUUAAUGAAAGUUGAUAGAAAUAGAUAUUCUCAAUAGAGAUACCAUGAUAUCUUAUAGAAUUGAGAUAGAGUGUCCUCUUGAGUAAUCCUAAGGAGAUGUGUUCAUGUAAACUAUGGUCAUAAUAGUUAUUUAACUAGAACUUAACAUAAACUCUUUGUAAGGUAAGAUAUGUCAAUUUAUCACAUAAUAUAAGGAUCUCCAACUUAAGGAUAGUAGAGUUAGUCUUAAAAGGUUGAUAAUUUUCUCUUUGUUAGACUAUAGACACUAGUUCAUAGGGAGAUUGAGUGCAAUGGAUAGCAAGUCACAGACUUAAGCACUUUUUGUCUCAUUAUCAUUUACAUAGGGUACUAGAGUGCAAUUGAUUCUCUAUAGUGGGAUGUUGAAUCAACUUCAAAAUAGGAUUAUGAAGGAGAAAGUGCUAUCUUAUAGGUCCUAGUGGUCCCCACUCAAGCUUUGAUAUCAAUUGUUGACAUUUUAGAUUUAAAUAACAGAAAUAAUGUCAAUUUUUUUUAAAAAAAUUGAUUUUUAGGGUUAAAAUACUGAUUUUUAGGUUUGAAUGUUCUCAAGCCUUAAAUUCAAGUGUUGAAGAAUUAAAUCAAUGUUCUCGAAAGUCUCGUAGACCCAUGAUUUUCAACCCAAUGAUUCAACUAUAUUCCUUAGCACACAAAUAAUAGGUAGUUCAAGAGGGUAGAGGGUAAGAUUCUUUUCUCUUUGGAUAGUGAAAGACAAAAGUGAUGGCUAACUUAUGCAUUUUCAAAUUAUUUUAUCUUUACAUGAAAAGUUAAAAUAAAUUAAAUGAGUUUGAAGAAGUAUUUUAUGAUUUUAAAUCUAUUUUUUAUUUUUCUUUUAUUUUUCUCUCUAUUUUUUUUUCUCAUAUAUUCUCUCUAAAUUUUUGGGAAACCAAACAUAAUCCAAGAAAAAGAAGGAAAAACAAAAGUAAUAGCACUUACUGAUUAUGAAGGUGCCAUCCAGAUAGAUUGAUUGCUUCUUUCAAGGCUGCUCUCCACUUCUCUAUCUUCUCUCUAUUCUCCUUGCUCACAUCUUUUUCAUACUCCAUAAAUGCUUUCCCAUAACUCCCCGUCUGGUUUCUCACUUCGGUUGGAUCCACAUGGUAGAAAACUUGGAGAGCCAUUCGCCUCAUUGUUGCCACACUCAAUAAUCUUUAUAACUUCAUCCGAACACCAUCUAGAAUCAGCAUAAUUUUCGAGAAAAUAACAAUGGAAAUCCUUGACUGCUCGAUAGCUUUCAAGAGUCCUGGUGCUCCUCUAUCAAGUUCUUCAUCAUCUCUAAAGGUGUGAAUUCCAUUUGCAACCAAAGCUGUGUAUAGAUGAUCCAUAAAAUUUUUGCGGGUGUCUUUCCCUCUGAAACUCAAGAAAACAUCAUGACUCCAGGGAGGGAUAGAAGAAGAGGGUGCUUGAGUGCUGCUUGAAGCCAUAAAUGAUAACUGCUGAAACUACCAUGGACUGGAGAUUUCUGCACUGAUUCUACAGGGUAUGAGACUUAGUAUUUAAGUUGUUUCAUUAGGGAGAAAAUAUGGGAGGGUGAAGUAAGCAAGAAAUGCAGCACCUCAAAGUCAACAAAUUAGCUUUAUCUUGGAGAUCAAUCCCAGGAAGGGGGUACCUACCAGUCAACAACCUUUAUUUGUUUGUUUGUUUUUGUCUUUUUUUUUUUUUAUAAAAAAAAUGGAUAUCAAUCCCAAAGAUUGUUGUCCUUUGGGAUAAGAAUGGGAGAAAAAAAUUCUUAUUCAUUGGGAUAAGAAUAGAAGACGAAAAUUCCUAUUCUUCUCUUCCUUUCCACAUCUUUUUCAGUAACUAAGAUAUGAGAUUAAUAAAUAAUUAAAUCUAGAGGUUAAAGAAGUUUAAUUAAUCAGUUUCUCUUUACAUAUUUAACAAAUUAUUAAAAUGACACUUUAAUAACAUUUUUAUGAAUUGUUAAUAUAUGAAGAAUAGUAGUUAAUUAUUUAUAUACAUUUUGGUUAUGUUUGGUUCUGAACAAUACUAGAAAAAGAAAAAAUAUUAAUUAAGGAAAAUAAUUUUUUUUCUAUUUGGUUAUCCCAUGUAAAAUACGAGAAAAAUAUUAAAUAUAGUUAAAAUUAAUUUUAAAACUUAUAUAUUUUCAAAUCUAGCUUUAUAUUCAAGAGUUAAAAUAAUAAAAAUAAUUUAUUAACUUUAAAUUUAUUUUUUAUUUUUCUUAAAUUUUUUCUCUCUACUUUCUUUCUUUUAUAUUUUUCUUAAAUUUUUUGAUAACCAAAUACAACUUGUAAGUAUUAGGGUUGCAACUUGGGCGGAUUGGUUGGGAUUGAUGACUAACCAAAUCCAACCUGAAUUAAGAAACAAUCAACCUAAACUCAUUUUUCUAAACUCGAGUUAAAUUCGGGUUAAUCGAAUUAGACUUCAACUGAUCAGGUUACAUUUGACUUUGUCGGGUUUAUUGGAUUGUAUAAUUCAAAAUUUUAAAUUUUUUAAAAUAUAAUUAUACUAAAAUUUAAAUAAUAAAUAACACAAAAGUUGAAGAUAAUAAUAAAAAAAAUGAAAAUAAACUUCUAUAUCUUAAAAAAAAAAAGUAUAAGAUAUAAAAGUAAAAUAAACUUAUUUGUCUUUUUUGAAAAAAUAAAAAAUAUAUAAUAUAAUUAUAAUUUGAUAUUUUUAAAAAUCUAAAAAGAAAAUGAAUAUUAUCACAUAAAAUAAUAAACAUUAUAAAUACUAUACAAAUAUUAAAUCGCAUUUUGUUUAGACUAAGGUUAUUCAAACAUUGACCCAAGUCUAAUCCAAAUUAAGUUCAGGUUUGAGAAAACUUCACCCAAAUACAACCCGAUUAAUAAAAUUGUUUACCCAAGCCCAUCCAAACAUUGGGUUGGGUUCGAUUAGAUUGGGCCAAUCUGUCCAAGUUACACCCUGGUAAGUACAAAAAAAUAAAAAUAAAUAAAAGAUAAAAUACAUGGUAUAAGGUAUGAUUACAAUUUCCCUUUUAAUAUAUCCCAUGUUUGUGAGAUUAGUAUUUUUUUUUUCUUAUUACUUAAUGGAUGGAGCCGGAGAGUGGACUUUUGGAUAAUGAUCAAGAUUGGAUUUGAUAGUAUUUAUGUGGGUGAUGGGGUGGUUAUGAGGUGAUUUUCAUCCCUUAAUAAAGUUGUGACAGAAAAUAUGGUAGGUGGUUAUAAUUCAUUUUAUAAUAAGUUCCGUAGAGCAGCGCUUCUAGUCCAAUAAUCUUCUCCGAAGGCGUGUCUUCCACCUAGUGAAGAUGACAGGAGAUGCCUUGCUCCACCACCUCUAAUCCAAGGACAGUGAAAAGUGAAGAGUGGCUUCAUUCUUUUAUCCUUCCAGUGGACACUCAAAUCAACUUUUUCUAAGCUAUAGAAAUCGGGUUAGAACUUGGAAUAGAAAUGCAUGAAAACUUCACAAAUAUAUAAAGAAUUUAAGCUUCAAAUACAGAUCAUUAACCUCAAUUUUCAAGGCCACCAAACAGCCCCAAAGUAGAGUUCAUGAGAUUGAAACUUUCAAUAACAAGUUGUAACGAAUUUUCCAUCAUUUUUUAUAUUAAAUGUCGAAAUUUAGAAAUCCAUACUUUCCCCUUUUCCCUUAUCUUUGCCUACACUUUCCUUUUUGUCAUUCAUUUUUGGGUUAUCAGUAGGUGGAAAUUUAAAAAUUUUUAAUAAUCAUUUAAUGACGACGUCUUUACCUCACUUUCCUCUAUUUGUUGGGCAACCAAACAAACCAAACUUGGAGUUGACAGUUGGGGUUAUACCUUUCAAAGGCCUUUGUUUUGGAAAAAUAUAAUAAAAAUAUUAAAAAGAUCAUCUCCUUCUUCCUUUAAAUUUUCAUAUUUUUCAAAGCAAUUAGAUGGAGGAUAGGUUCUUCUUAGUCUUCCUAUGAAAGCACCUAUAAAUGAGAUAUUAUUGUGAGUCAACAACUGGGAUUAUAUCUUGAAGCAAUUACUGUUUAUUGUUACAUAGUGAUCACGUGCUUCACCAAACUAGGUCAAUUCUUCUUAGUGAACUUGCCAAACACUUGAAUGUUCUCAAACCUUAAAUUCAAGUGUUGAAGAAUUAAAUCAAUGUUCUCGAAAGUCUCGUAGACCCAUGAUCUUCAACCCAAUGAUUCAACUUUAUUCCUUAGCCACAAACAAUAGGUAGUUCAAGAGGGUAGAGGGUAAGAUUCUUUUCUCUUUGGAUAGUGAAAGACAAAAGUGAUGGAUAACUUAUGCAUUUUCAAAUUAUUUUAUCUUUACAUGAAAAGUUAAAAUAAAUUAAAUGAGUUUGAAGAAGUAUUUUAUGAUUUUAAAUUUAUGUUUUAUUUUCCUUUUAUUUUUCUCUCUAUUUUUUUGUUCUCAUAUAUUCUCUCUAAAUUUUUGGGAAACCAAACAUAAUCCAAGAAAAAGAAGGAAAAACAAAAGUAAUAGCACUUACUGAUCAUGAAGGUGCCAUCCAGAUAGAUUGAUUGCUUCUUUCAAGGCUGCUCUCCACCUCUCUACCUUCUCUCUAUUCUCCUUGCUCACAUCUUUUUCGUACUCCAUAAAUGCUUUCCCAUAACUCCCUGUCUGGUUUCUCACUUCGGUUGGAUCCACAUGGUAGAAAACUUGGAGAGCCAUUCACCUAAUUGUUGCCACACACUCAAUAAUCUUUAUAACUUCAUCCGAACACCAUCUAGAAUCAGCAUAAUUUUCCGAGAAAAUAACAAUGGAAAUCCUUGACUGCUCGAUAGCUUUCAAGAGUCCUGGUGCUCCUCUAUCAAGUUCUUCAUCAUCUCUAAAGGUGUGAAUUCCAUUUGCAACCAAAGCUAUGUAUAGAUGAUCCAUAAAAUUUUUGCGGGUGUCUUUCCCUCUGAAACUCAAGAAAACAUCAUGACUCCAAGGAGGGACAGAAGAAGAGGGUGCUUGAGUGCUGCUUGAAGCCAUAAAUGAUAACUGCUGAAACUACCAUGGACUGGAGAUUUCUGCACUGAUUCUACAGGGUAUGAGACUUAGUAUUUAAGUUGUUUCAUUAGGGAGAAAAUAUGGGAGGGUGAAGUAAGCAAGAAAUGCAGCACCUCAAAGUCAACAAAUUAGCUUUAUCUUGGAGAUCAAUCCCAGGAAGGGGGUACCUACCAGUCAACAACCUUUAUUUGUUUGUUUGUUUUUGUCUUUUUUUUUUUUAUAAAAAAAAUGGAUAUCAAUCCCAAAGAUUGUUGUCCUUUGGGAUAAGAAUGGGAGAAAAAAAUUCUUAUUCAUUGGGAUAAGAAUAGAAGACGAAAAUUCCUAUUCUUCUCUUCCUUUCCACAUCUUUUUCAGUAACUAAGAUAUGAGAUUAAUAAAUAAUUAAAUCUAGAGGUUAAAGAAGUUUAAUUAAUCAGUUUCUCUUUACAUAUUUAACAAAUUAUUAAAAUGACACUUUAAUAACAUUUUUAUGAAUUGUUAAUAUAUGAAGAAUAGUAGUUAAUUAUUUAUAUAUAUUUUGGUUAUGUUUGGUUCUGAACAAUACUAGAAAAAGAAAAAAUAUUAAUUAAGGAAAAUAAUUUUUUUUCUAUUUGGUUAUCCCAUGUAAAAUACGAGAAAAAUAUUAAAUAUAGUUAAAAUUAAUUUUAAAACUUAUAUAUUUUCAAAUCUAGCUUUAUAUUCAAGAGUUAAAAUAAUAAAAAUAAUUUAUUAACUUUAAAUUUAUUUUUUAUUUUUCUUAAAUUUUUUCUCUCUACUUUCUUUCUUUUAUAUUUUUCUUAAAUUUUUUGAUAACCAAAUACAACUUGUAAGUAUUAGGGUUGCAACUUGGGCGGAUUGGUUGGGAUUGAUGACUAACCAAAUCCAACUUGAAUUAAGAAACAAUCAACCCAAACUCAUUUUUCUAAACUCGAGUUAAAUUCGGGUUAAUCGAAUUAGACUUCAACUGAUCAGGUUACAUUUGACUUUGUCGGGUUUAUUGGAUUGUAUAAUUCAAAAUUUUAAAUUUUUUAAAAUAUAAUUAUACUAAAAUUUAAAUAAUAAAUAACACAAAAGUUGAAGAUAAUAAUAAAAAAAAUGAAAAUAAACUUCUAUAUCUUAAAAAAAAAAAAGUAUAAGAUAUAAAAGUAAAAUAAAUUUAUUUGUCUUUUUUGAAAAAAUAAAAAAUAUAUAAUAUAAUUAUAAUUUGAUAUUUUUAAAAAUCUAAAAAGAAAAUAAAUAUUAUCAUAUAAAAUAAUAAACAUUAUAAAUACUAUACAAAUAUUAAAUCGCAUUUUGUUUAGACUAAGGUUAUUUAAACAUUGACCAACGUCUAAUCCAAAUUAAGUUCAGGUUUGAGAAAACUUCACCCAAAUACAACCCGAUUAAUAAAAUUGUUUACCCAAGCCCAUCCAAACAUUGGGUUGGGUUCGAUUAGAUUGGGCCAAUCUAUCCAAGUUACACCCUGGUAAGUACAAAAAAAUAAAAAUAAAUAAAAGAUAAAAUACAUGGUAUAAGGUAUGAUUACAAUUUCCCUUUUAAUAUAUCCCAUGUUUGUGAGAUUAGUAUUUUUUUUUUUUCUUAUUACUUAAUGGAGGGAGCCGGAGAGUGGACUUUUGGAUAAUGAUCAAGAUUGGAUUUGAUAGUAUUUAUGUGGGUGAUGGGGUGGUUAUGAGGUGAUUUUCAUCCCUUAAUAAAGUUGUGACAGAAAAUAUGGUAGGUGGUUAUAAUUCAUUUUAUAAUAAGUUCCGUAGAGCAGCGCUUCUAGUCCAAUAAUCUUCUCCGAAGGCGUGUCUUCCACCUAGUGAAGAUGACAGGAGAUGCCUUGCUCCACCACCUCUAAUCCAAGGACAGUGAAAAGUGAAGAGUGGCUUCAUUCUUUUAUCCUUCCAGUGGACACUCAAAUCAACUUUUUCUAAGCUAUAGAAAUCGGGUUAGAAAUUGGAAUAGAAAUGCAUGAAAACUUCACAAAUAUAUAAAGAAUUUAAGCUUCAAAUACAGAUCAUUAACCUCAAUUUUCAAGGCCACCAAACAGCCCCAAAGUAGAGUUCAUGAGAUUGAAACUUUCAAUAACAAGUUGUAACGAAUUUUCCAUCAUUUUUUAUAUUAAAUGUCGAAAUUUAGAAAUCCAUACUUUCCCCUUUUCCCAUAUCUUUGCCUACACUUUCCUUUUUGUCAUUCAUUUUUGGGUUAUCAGUAGGUGGAAAUUUAAAAUUUUUUAAUAAUCAUUUAAUGACGACGUCUUUACCUCACUUUCCUCUAUUUGUUGGGCAACCAAACAAACCAAACUUGGAGUUGACAGUUGGGGUUAUACCUUUCAAAGGCCUUUGGUUUGGAAAAAUAUAAUAAAAAUAUUAAAAAGAUCAUCUCCUUCUUCCUUUAAAUUUUCAUAUUUUUCAAAGCAAUUAGAUGGAGGAUAGGUUCUUCUUAGUCUUCCUAUGAAAGCACCUAUAAAUGAGAUAUUAUUGUGAGUCAACAACUGGGAUUAUAUCUUGAAGCAAUUACNNNNNNNNNNNNNNNNNNNNNNNNNNNNNNNNNNNNNNNNNNNNNNNNNNNNNNNNNNNNNNNNNNNNNNNNNNNNNNNNNNNNNNNNNNNNNNNNNNNNCAUGAAGGUGCCAUCCAGAUAGAUAGAUUGCAUCUUUCAAGGCUGCUCUCCACCUCUCUACCUUCUCUCUAUUCUCCUUGCUCACAUCUUUUUCGUACUCCAUAAAUGCUUUCCCAUAACUCCCUGUCUGGUUUCUCACUUCGGUUGGAUCCACAUGGUAGAAAACUUGGAGAGCCAUUCACCUAAUUGUUGCCACACACUCAAUAAUCUUUAUAACUUCAUCCGAACACCAUCUAGAAUCAGCAUAAUUUUCCGAGAAAAUAACAAUGGAAAUCCUUGACUGCUCGAUAGCUUUCAAGAGUCCUGGUGCUCCUCUAUCAAGUUCUUCAUCAUCUCUAAAGGUGUGAAUUCCAUUUGCAACCAAAGCUAUGUAUAGAUGAUCCAUAAAAUUUUUGCGGGUGUCUUUCCCUCUGAAACUCAAGAAAACAUCAUGACUCCAAGGAGGGAUAGAAGAAGAGGGUGCUUGAGUGCUGCUUGAAGCCAUAAAUGAUAACUGCUGAAACUACCAUGGACUGGAGAUUUCUGCACUGAUUCUACAAGGUAUGAGACUUAGGUGGUGUUUGUUUUUUGGCUGAAUAGAAAAAGUCAAAAUAUUUGGCUUUUUCUAUUCAAUUAAAAGUAACUCAUUGACAUCAACCAAUAUAAUUAAAUUAAACUUAUUGAUAACAAGUUCACUUUAAUUAUGUUGGUUAAUAUUAACAAGGUGCUUUUAACUGAAUAAAAAAAGUAAAAUAUUUUGGCUUUUUUUAUUCAGCCAAAAAACAAACACUAGCUUAGUAUUUAAGUUGUUUUAUUAGGGAGAAAAUAUGGGAGGGUGAAGUAAGCAAGAAAUGCAACACCUCAAAGUCAACAAAUUAGCUUUAUCUUGGAGAUCAAUCCUAGGAAGGGAGUACCUACCAGCCAACAACCUUUAUUUGUUUGUUUGUUUUUGUUUUGUUUCUUUUUUUUAAAAAAAAAUGGAUAUCAAUCCCAAAUAUUGUUAUCCUUUGGGAUAAAAAUGGGAGAAAAAAAUUCUUAUUCAUUGGGAUAAGAAUAGAAGAAGAAAAUUCCCAUUCUUCUCUUCCUUUCCACAUCUUUUUCAGUAACUAAGAUAUGAGAUUAAUAAAUAAUUAAAUCUAGAGGUUAAAGAAGUUUAAUUAAUCAGUUUCUCUUUACAUAUUUAACAAAUUAUUAAAAUGACACUUUAAUAACAUUUUUAUGAAUUGUUAAUAUAUGAAGAAUAGUAGUUAAUUAUUUAUAUACAUUUUAGUUAUGUUUGGUUAUGAAAAAUACUAGAAAAAGAAAAAAUAUUAAUUAAGGAAAAUGAUUUUUUUUCUAUUUGGUUAUCCCAUGUAAAAUACGGAAAAAAAUAAAAUAAAUAUAGUUAAAAAUAUUAAUUUAAAAACUUAUAUAUUUUCAAAUCUUUAUAUUCAAGAGUUAAAAUAAUAAAAAUAAUUUAUUAACUUUAAAUUUAUUUUUUAUUUUUCUUAAAUUUUUUCUCUCUACUUUUUUUCCUUUACAUUUUUCUUGAAUUUUUUGAUAACCAAAUACAACUUGUAAGUAUUAGGGUUGCAACUUGGGAGGGUUGGUUGGAUUGAUGACUAACCCAAACUCAAUCUGAAUUAAGAAACAAUCAACCCAACUCGACUUCUAACCCGGGGUACUGUCAAACUCAAUCUGAAUUAAGAAAGGGGUACUCAACCCAAUCUCAUUUUUCUAAAUUCGGGUUAAAUUCAGGUUGGUCAAAUUAGAUUUGGGUUGAUCAAGUUACACUUGACUUAGUCGGGUUGAUUGAGUUAUAUAAUUCAAAAAAUUUAAUUUUUUUUAUAUAUAUCUAUACUAAACUUUAAAUAAUAAAUAACACAAAAGUUCAAGAUAAUAAUAAAAAAAUGAAAAUAAACUUCUAUAUCUUUUUUUUUUUUAAAGUGUAAGAUAUAAAAGUAAAAUAAUAUAUAUAUAUAUAUAUAUAUAUAUAUAUAUAUAUAUAUAUAUAAUAUAAUUAUAAUUUGAUAUUUUUUAAAAUCUAAAAAUAAAUAAAUAUUAUCAUAUAAAAUAAUAAACUUUAUAAAUAUUAUACAAAUAUUAAAUCGCAUUUAGGUUAGGCUUAGGUUAUUCAAACAUUGACUCAAGCCUAAUCCAAAUUAAGCUCGUUGAGAAAACUUCACCCAAGCUCAAGCCGAGUAAUGAAAAUGUUUACCCAAGGUCGUCCAAACAUUGGGUUGAGUUCGGUUAGAUUGAGUCAACCUGUCCAAGUUACACCUUAGUAAGUAAAAAAAACUAAAAAAUAAAAGAUAAAAUACAUGGUAUGAGGUAUGAUUACAAUUUCCCUUUUAAUAUAUCCCAUGUUUGUGAGAUUAGUAAUUUUUUUUUCUUAUUACUUAAUGGAUGGAGCCGGAGAGUGGACUUAAUGAUCAAGACUGUAUUUGAUAGUAUUUAUGUGGGUGAUGGGGUGGUUAUGAGGUGAUUUUCAUCCCUUAAUAAAGUUGUGACAGAAAAUAUGGUAGGUGGUUAUAAUUCAUUUUAUAACAAGUUCUGUGGAGCAGCGCUUCUAAUCCAAUAAUCUUCUCCUAAGGCGUGUCUUCCACCUAGUGAAGAUGACAGGAGAUGCCUUGCUCCACCACCUCUAAUCCAAGGACAGUGAAAAGUGAAGAGUGGCUUCAUUCUUUUAUCCUUCCAGUGGACACUCAAAUCAACUUUUUCUAAGCUAUAGAAAUCGGGUUAGAACUUGGAAUAGAAAUGCAUGAAAACUUCACAAAUAUAUAAAGAAUUUAAGCUUCAAAUACAGAUCAUUAACACCUCAAUUUUCAAGGCCACCAAACAGCCCCAAAGUAGAGUUCAUGAGAUUGAAACUUUCAAUAACAAGUUGUAACGAAUUUUCCGUCAUUUUUUAUAUUAAAUGUCGAAAUUUAGAAAUCCAUACUUUCCCCUUUUCCUAUAUCUUUGCCUACACUUUCCUUUUUGUCAUUCAUUUUUGGGUUAUCAGUAGGUGGAAAUUUAAAAUUUUUUAAUAAUCAUUUAAUGACGACGUCUUUACCUCACUUUCCUCUAUUUGUUGGGCAACCAAACAAACCAAACUUGGAGUUGACAGUUGGGGUUAUACCUUUCUAAGGCCUUUGUUUUGGAAAAAUAUAAUAAAAAUAUUAAAAAGAUCAUCUCCUUCUUCCUUUAAAUUUUCAUAUUUUUCAAAGCAAUUAGAUGGAGGAUAGGUUCUUCUUAGUCUUCCUAUGAAAUCACCUAUAAAUGAGAUAUUAUUGUGAGUCAACAACUGGGAUUAUAUCUUGAAGCAAUUAUUGUUUAUUGUUACGUAGGAAGGUAAUAAUAGCUAAAAUACGGCAUGUGAUCACGUGCUUCACCAAACUAGGUCAAUUCUUCUUAACUUUAUUUCAAAUAUUCUUAUACUUUUAUAUUUUUCAAGUUUCAAUAAAAACUUCAAAGAAAAGAAUAAAGAGGGCAUAUAAGAACAUUUCUGGUUUGGAAAGCUAAAGAAAAUAAUAGAAUCUAAUACACAUGUGCAUAUUUAUAAUCAAAAUUUCAAAGAUUAAGGAAAAAAAUAAUUAGAAAAAUCAAUAAAGCUUUUAAAUGAUAUACCUCAAUCUUGCAUAAUUGGACAACUUCUUUCAUAAUAACUAUUAACCCCAUUAUUAUUAAUUCUCCCUUUCUUCUAUUUUACAUUCAAAACCUAAAAUUUUUCUUACCCUUUCUUUAUGCUUAAACACUCCAUAUUUAAGACAAACUACAAAAAAGUAUUGGCCUCUAUACCACAAAUUUAUACUUAUCUACUAUAGUGCAAUAGGCUACGUAGUUAAGUUAGUAAUUUUGUUCCAUUUGGAUUACAACUUUUCUAGUGUCACAUGUCUUACUCUUCAUUAAAAACUCGAGGUUGUUAUUGAUCAUCCAAGAUAAUAUAAGUAAGCAUAAAGAGCCCUGUGAAAAGGCUAAUUAGAUUUAAUUAAGGCAUGAAGUGAACAAUAUAAUAAGUUUUAAAAUUGAGUAUAAAUAUUUUUAAAAAUGAUUUUAAAAAUCCUCAAGUGCUCAAACAUAAAUCACAACGCUCAAACGUUGAUCACAAUGCUUAAGCACUCCUAAAGGCACUCAAACGCUCAUUGCAAAACUCCAACUCUGCCCUAUAUUUUUCAUUUAUUUUAUUUUUGGAAAAUUCUAGAUUUUGUCCACUAGGUUUUUAGCGUAUGAAGAACAUGCUGAAAAGGUUUCUGUUCUUUGAUACAAAUUUUGAGAAAACCCUAUUAACCUUCCCUACAACUCAAACUCUCAAGAAGUUCAUCUUCCCAUUCUCUUAGGUUGAAAGAGAGUUCUAUAUCUCCUUAGGCAUUGAGGUAGAGUCCAUUGGGAUCAUGCGUGGUGUUGCAUUGUGGAUGCAAGAAUCACUAUAGGUACUACGAAGUAAGACUUAAAGAUAGCAUCCACAAAGUAAAACUAUGUAUUAUUCUUUUGUGGAAAUCUGUGAAUGGUGAUUUGUAAGAUAUUGUGGGAAAGAUUGAAGCCCAAAUUGUGACAAAUAUUGUGGUGAUUUAUGUGAUUUUUUUUCCAUAUUUGUGUUUUUUCCAUUUUAUUUGUUCCUUGUAUAUAUGUUAAAUAAGGACCCGAUUAUGUAAAUAUACACAAUUUUGAAUGAAUUUUUGAGUGAUUCUCAGUUUCUUCAAAUUCUCAAUUUCUUCAUGGUAUCAGAGCAGUGUUUGCGCUAAAACCCUAAUCAAUCCAAGGCUGCCCAAAGAGGAGACAACCAUGAGUCCAGUCAAUCGGCAACCCAUGAAAAAGAGUCGGAGAUACACUCCUCAAUGGGACCGGUUGGUGGAUUCGACAACUCCCCACUCCAUCUUACCGUUGAAAAAUUGAACGAUAAGAAUUACAGAGAGUGGGCGCAAGCAAUCAAGCUUGUUAUUGACGGAAAGGGAAAGUUAGGGUUUCUUAUUGGCGAGACUCGAUGACCACCUCUGAUCGAUGUAGUAGCAUCCCAAAAAUGAUGGUCCGAAAACUCCUUCAUCACCUUAUGCUUGAUUAACUCCAUGAAGCCAGCCAUUGGAAAAACUUAUAUGUUCCUCCCAACGGCAAAGGAUGUGUUGGAUGCAAUACGAGAAACAUAUUUCGAUGCCGAGAAUGCUUCCCAAAUCUUUGAACUCAAGACAUGGUUUUGGUAGAUGAAGCAAGGAGAUCAGGAAGUCACUGAAUACUACACCGAGAUGCUGGGUUUUUGGCAAGAUCUCGAUCUCAACUAUGAAGAGGAGUGGGAGUGCACAGGUGACAGUGUGCGCUUCAAGAAGAAAAUGGAGAACGAGAGGGUCUUUGAUUUCAUAGUGGGGCUGAAUCGCGGGCUUCACGACUUUAGGAGCAAGGUUCUCAGUCGUCGGUCGUUGCCCUCCAUUUGAGAGGUCUUCUCUGAGGUGCGACGAGAGAAAAGUAGAAGGAAAGUGAUGUUGGAGGAACAUCUCUCAUCUGGGCUUGAGGCUUCAGCCCUUGUAACCCAUGGGCCUCAUGUUGGAUCUAGUAGGCCUCAAUCUGGAUUAGACCCAAGACAGUACAAAAGGACUUAUUGUGAGCAUUGUAAAAAAUUGGGCCACACUAAAGAAACUUGUUGGACUUUACAUGGCAAGCCCGCGUAUUGGAAGCCGAGACAACCCAAUAAAGCCCAUAGUCAUCAGGCCUCCAUCGAAACCCAGGUAGACAAAACACCCACAAAAAUUCGUCAAUUAACUUCUAGUGUGGGGUUUAAUUUCGACCAGCUUGUGAAAUUAUAUGAGUUUUUUUUCUAAUUUUCAAGCCUCUAGUCAAUCUUUUAUUACUCUGUCCUCUGGUUUUUUGGCCCAAAAAGGUACCUUUCUGACAACACUUAACACCAUAUCUCAUAGUACUCCCUGGAUUAUUGACUUUGGUGCAUCUGAUCAUAUGACGGAUGGUCAUAAUUUAUUUUCCACAUACUCUCCCUGUGCCGGUAAUUUAAAAGUAAAAAUUGCAGAUGGUACUUUAUCCCCAGUUGCUAGCAAAGGGAGUAUUCGUAUUUCUGAGUCUAUUACUCUCAACCCUACCCUACAUGUACCUAAUUUAUCUUGCAAUUUGUUGUCUAUUAGCCAGUUAACAAAAAAGUCUAAUUGUUUAGCUAAAUUCCUACCAUCUCAUUGUGUUUUUCAGGACUUAUUAUCAGGGAAAACGAUUGGUAAUGCUAAAGAAUGUGAUGGUCUAUAUUACUUCAAUGAAACUGAUGUGUGUGGACAGUGUUCUCCUACUGUUUAUAAUUCUGCAUCUCGUCAUAAGGAUAGUGAACUUUUUUUAUGGCACAAAAGGAUGGGUCAUCCUAGUUUUUAGUACUUAAAACAUUUAUUUCCUUCACUAUGUUCAAAUAAAUCUUCAUGGGAUUUUCAGUGUGAAGUGUGUGAACUUGACAAACACCAGCGAGCUUUUUCUUCCCAAAUCUAAGUAAAGACCAUCCAUACCAUUUACUCAAAUUCAUAGUGAUCUAUGGGGACCCUCACAUACCCCUAAUAGGACCCAUAAAAAAUGGUUUAUUACUUUUAUUGAUAAUCACACUCGCUUGUGUUGGGUAUUUUUGUUGACUGAUAAAACUGAGGUUCGAUCAGUCUUCAUGAACUCUCACUCUAUGAUACAAACUCAGUUUCACACCAAAAUUCAAAUUCUUCGUACUAAUAAUGGUACUGAGUAUUUCAAUCACUCCUUGAGCACUUAUCUACAAGAAAAUGGUAUUAUACAUUAAAGUUCUUGCAUUAACACCCCUUAGCCAAAUGGGGUUGCAGAACGAAAAAAAUAUACAUAUUCUUGAAGUUGCUUGUGCUUUGCUGUUUAUCUCUCACAUGUCCUCACAAUUUUAGGGUGACUCCAUUUUGACAACCACAUACCUUAUUAACCAAAUGCCUAGUCAAGUCCUAUCUUUUGUCACACCCCUCUAGAAAUUCCAAGAGUUUUUUCCUCAUUCUAGACUCGAUGCACAUCUUCCACCUCGUGUUUUUGGGUCCAUUGUGUUUGUCCACACUCACAGACCUAAGUGGAACAAAUUUGAUCCCAGAGCGCUUAAAUGUGUCUUUCUUGUCUCCUCUUCCACACAAAAGGGCUACAAAUGCUAUGACCCAAUUUCACAAAAGCUAUAUGUUAGCUUAGAUGUCACAUUCUUUGAACAUACUCCCUACUACUCGCUUCAGGGGAAGUCCAUGAGUGAAACUAGACCACCCUUAACCUUAGACUGCCUCGAUGUUGUUGUGUUUUAAUCCACUCCGUGCCUUAUAUCUACAUCUUCACCUAAUACAGAAGAAUACUUAAACUCAGGGGGAGAUACGGAAUUAUAGAUAAAUAAGGAAACACUUGUCUACUCAAAGAGGUCAAAAUCAAAGUCCAAUGAAGUCCAAUGAGACACUCAUCUCCGAAUCAUUAAAAGAGUCAAAACCGGUGAUAGUUCCAACCCCUCGGGAGUCUAGCUCCAAUCCUGAUCAGGUAAUAGAUGACUUACCCAUUGCUCUUAGGAAACAACCUCAUUCAUGUACUCUCCAUCCUAUCUCGAAAUUUAUGUCUUAUAAUGCUCUUUCUGCAAAGUGUUGUGCUUUUACAACUAACCUUGAUAGAAUCCAGAUUCCUAAAAACAUUCAAGAAGCCUUGGAGAUUCCAGAAUGGAAAGAGGCAGUGAUGGAAAAAAUAAGGGCAUUGGAAAAAAACGGGACUUGGGAAGUGAUGAAUUUGCCAAGAGGAAAGAAACCAAUGGGUUGUAAAUGGGUAUUCAUAGUGAAAUAUAAGGUGGAUGGCAUAGUAGAACAAUACAAAGCCCGCCUGGUUGCAAAGGGGUUCACUCAAACCUACGACAUCGAUUAUACCGAGACAUUUGGACCAGUGGCAGAGUUGAACACUAUACAAGUUUUUUUAUCCUUGACAGCAAGUCUCAACUAGCCAUUCCAUCAGUUUGAUAUCAAGAAUGCCUUUUUGAAUGGUGAACUAGAAGAAGAAGUGUUUAUGAUGCUACCACUAGGGUUCUGUAAAGAAGAAUAAGAAACCAAGGUAUGCAAAUUGAAGAAAUCUCUGUAUGGUCUCAAGCAAUCACCGAGAACAUGAUUUGAUAGAUUUGCAAAGGUGAUUAAGAACCAAGGAUACCAACAGGGACAGACGAAUCAUACUCUGUUCUUCAAACAGUCCAAUGAUGGAAGGAUGACCAUCCUAAUUGUGUAUAUCGAUGACAUCAUUCUCAUUGGAGAUGGUAGAGGAGAAGUGGAGAGGUUGAAGAAGGUCUUAGCCAUAGAAUUUGAGUUAAAAGAUUUGGGUCAAUUGCGGUAUUUCCUAAGAAUGGAGGUCGCCAGAUCAAGGAAGGGAAUUAGUAUUUCCCAGAGAAAGUAUGUACUUGACUUGUUGAUUGAGACUGGCAUGCUGGGUUGCAAGCCAAGUGAUACCCCUAUCAAGACAAGAAAAAUGAUGGAAAACCCGUGGAUAGAGAGAUAUCAACAACUAGUAGGUAGAUUGAUCUACCUUUCUCACACUAGACCAUACAUUGCUUUCACCGUAAGCAUGGUUAUCCAGUACAUGCAUUCACCAAAGGAAAGUCAUCUAGAAGUAGUGUAUAAGAUCCUCAGAUACCUAAAGGGUUCUCCAGGAAAAGGACUAUUCUUUAAAAAGAGUGAUAGUAAAAAGAUAGAGAUCUAUAUAUAUGCAAAUUGGGCGGGAUCAGCAGAUGACAGAAUGUCUACUACAGGCUACUGUACCUAUGUCUGGGGGAAUCUAGUAACAUGGAGAAGUAAGAAUCAGAGUGUAGUAGCCAGAAGCAGUGCCAAGGCUGAAUUCAGAGCAAUUGCACAAGGUAUGUGUGAAUGACUAUGGUUGCAGAAACUGUUGGAAGAACUACACAUUACAAUAAAGCUCCUCAUUAAACUCUAUUGUGACAACAAAGCUGCCAUUAGUAUUUCUCAUAAUCUUAUUCAACACGACAAGACCAAACAUAUAGAAGUGGGCAGACACUUUAUAAAUGAGAAAUUGAGAAUGGGACUAUUUGCAUGACUUAUAUCCCUACAAGGGACCAAUUGACAUAUAUAUUUACCAAGGGGUUACAGAAAUCAAGCUUUGAAGAUUUUAUUUGCAAGUUGGAUAUGAUUAAUAUCUAUGAUCCAACUUGAAGGGGAGUAUGGAAAUCCGUGAAUGGUGAUUUGUAGGAUAUUGUGGGAAAAAUUGAAGCCCCAAUUGUGACAGAUAUUGUGGUGAUUUAUGUGAUUUUAUUUUAUUUCCAUAUUUUUAUUUUUUCCAUUUUAUUUGCUCUUUGUGUUUAUGUUAAAUAGAGACUUGAUUAUAUAAAUAUACACAAUUUUGAAUGAAUUUUUGAGUGAUUCUCAGUUUCUACAAUUCUCAGUUUCUUCAUCUUUCAAUAGUAGAUUUGUGAUUUGAGGUCUCUAACCCCAUGAUUUUUACAUUUGUUGAGUCUUUAAGAGACAAUGUGGAUGGUGUUCCAUGAAAAACUUUGAGUCUUAGUGUCAUUUUUCUUUUUUCUGAAGAAAGUAAAAAAUAAAAUAAUUUUAAGUCAAAUAAGUAACUCUUGCUCAACACCCCCUCAUCCCCUAUCUCAAGGUCAUAUAUCAUAAUCUAGAUCUAUAGAGUAAGAAAAAAUUUUAAAAAUCAAAUUUUUUUUAUCUUGCUAAAUCUAAGGUAAACCAUAGAAAGAUGGAUCUUCAAUUAAUAACCCACCUUAUUUCAAUGGCAAUAACUACCCACAUUAGAAGACUUGUAUAGAUUUUUUCUUGAAAAUACAAGGAGAACAAGUUUGGAACUUAGUGGAAUUUUGAUGGGGGCCACCAAAUAAAUUGGAUGGUACUAGAAGAUUUAGAAAAGAAUUCAAGCCCAAAUAGGAAUUGGACAAACUAUAUAAUAAGGGCAGUGAAGCAAAUGUUCAUGCUCUCUAUAGUAUCUUUAAUGGGGUUAAACCUAAUGAAUUUCACAAGAUAGCCACAUGUAAGUGUGCUAAAGCAACCUAGGAUAUUCUGUUAGUUACUCAUGAGGGCACUUUAGUUGUGAAGUUGUUCAAAGUUCAAAUGCUUAUUAUAAAGUUUGAAAGCAUAAGAAUGCAAGAAGAUGAGACUUUCUCUACUUUCUAUUAUAAGCUUAAUGACAUAGUCUACUCAAGCUUUAACCUUAGGAGUAGAUUCUUGAGCCUAAAGUAGAAUGAAGAAUAUUGAGAUCUCUCUUCGAGAGAUUCAAACCUGAGGUUACAACUAUUGAAGAAAGCAAGGGCACUAACUCUAUGAGAGCUAAUGAUGAAUUUGUGGGAUCUUUUCAUAUGAGAUGUUCAUUCCUAAUACUCAAAAGCCAUAAGAACCUGCUUGUAAGGCUUCUAAUAAUGAAGAAAAUGAGUCUACAAGCCUUAAUUUAGUUGAUAGAGAAGAACUUGAUUUAUUGUCAAGAAGAAUUAAAGAUACCAUGAGAUUUUUGAAAAAACUCUUCCAAAAACAAGACUUAAAGAAAGGAAAAAAAAGUUUACUAUUCCUUUAAGAAAAGAUAAGGUCAUCUUUAAGGGAAAAAAAUAUUGAAUGUUUUAAUAGUGGAGGUAUAGAUCAUCCAUUUUGUCCUUGUAACACAUGCUUUUGAUCAUACUUAGUACCCCUCACCUUGCACCUUCAUUUAGUACAUGUGCAUGAUCCUCAUUUUGCUUAUUUGUUCUUGUGCUCCUUGGUGGUUUGCUUGUUACUCACUUUUGGAAUUGACUCUUAGACAACUUUUGGAGACCUUUUGGAGAAGCUUUUAGAUCCAUAAAGUGACUUUAGUGGUACUUUAGGAGUUCCCAAAGUUUCAGCGUAUUUAACACACUUGGGCCCUUUUUUAGCUUCAACCAAUCGAGGGAAUUGAUUCAACCAAUUCAACCAGUUGCAACUGGUCUAGGCAACUGAUUCAACUGAUAACUUAACCAGUUCAUUAUGUUUUACCCUUUACUUCCUUCUUUUGGCCCAUUUUUUAGUCCUAUUUUUUCUUACCUUUUUUAAGGAGGUUUUUAGGUUUGUUUUGGAAAGGUUUUGAGGGCCUAAACUUGGGUUUUAGGUAUCCUUAAUUUGGGUUUAGUUUAAGAGAGUUUGAAGGUGAAUUUGAGUCUUGGUGGAAAUAAUAACAUGUGUCAAAAUUUUCACCAUUCCUUAGCCUAUAAAUAAGGUCAUUGAGGCUCUUUUUCCCUGUUUUGGCCUUUUUUUUUUUAGUUUUCUUUUUCUUACCCUUUUUAAGAAGGCUUUAGGCUUGUUUUGAAGAGGUUUUGAGGACCUAAACUUGGUUUUAGGUCUCCUUAAUUUGGGUUUAGUUUAAGAGACUUUUAAGGUGAAUUUGAGCCUUGGUGGAGAUAAUGACAUGUGUCAAAAUUUCCACCAUUCCUUAGCCUAUAAAUAAGGUCCUUAGGGCUCAUUUUCAAGGGACUUUUCUUUGGAUUUUUUAAGUACUCUAUCCAAUUUUUGAGAAAAAAAAUAAGAAGAGGAAAAACCUUUAUAUUUAAAGAAAACUUAGCUUAAAGGAGGGUUCUUAGUUGACUAGAAGUCGAGUGAUUCACUUGUGAGGAGAUCUCUUGUAAGUUCUUCUUGAUUUCAUUUUCUUCUAUUUAGUUUUAACUUGUUUUCAUUUUUCUUUUGAUUAUUAAGAUGAUGAGUAUAUUAGUUAUCGAUAUUGAAAGGUCACAUGCUUGAUUUUGGAUUUUUGUUCUUCAUAUGUGGAUUCUCAUUUUCUUUUCUUCAUGUGUCCACUUUGCAUAGACUCUAACCUUGAGAAGAUAUUGAGCCUAUGUUGAAAUCAAUAGGAGGCUUUGAAUUAUGGGUAAGACCCUAAAGUGAUCAAAUAUCCCUAUAGAUUGAGUCACUACUGAUGGAAGUUGGUGGCAAUAGGUAUUCUCAAUAUAGGCACUAUGUUAUUUCAUGAGAUUGAGAUAACGUGUCCCCUUAGGUCAUCCAAAGGACAUGUGACUAUGAAAUUUGUGGUCAUAGUAAUCCAUUUAGUGGAGUUUGGCAUAUGUUUCUUGCAGUUAGAGUAUGUAAGUUGAUCACAUAAUAAAACAUUCAUAACUCAAGGAUUGGAGAGGUAAUCUUGAUGGGUUAAUAGCACUACCCUAUUAGAUUACAAACACCAGUUCAUGGGGAGUCCAUAUGUAAUGGAUAGUACGUAGGUCAUAAACCCAAACUUUGUCUCAUUUUAAUUUCAUAUGAUACUAAAGUGUAGUUGACUCUCUUUAGUGAAGUAUUGAGUCAACUUUAGGAUUGGGUUGUAAGGGAGCUAGUAUUUUUCUAUGGGUCUCAAUGGUCCUCAUUCAAUCUCUUAUUUCAUGAUGGCAUGCUUUGAGGGUAUUUUGGGUAUGUAAUUCAUAAGUGUGCAUAAGGGCAUUUUGGUAAAAAUAUAAGGUUGUACUAGAUCUUAUGUAAAAAUGUAAGGUUGUACUAGAUCUUAUGAAUCGACUUUGUAGAAUAUUAGGCUAAUUAAUUAAUUGGAGCUCAUUAGGGCAAAUUAAUUAAUUAGGAUCCAAACGAGUUAAAUUAGGUGACUCAAGUCCAAUUUGGGCUCAAUUCACUUAAGCCUAUAGGAAAACCUAUAUAAACCCCCUUAGGGGUUAGUGCUUUAGGUUUGCUACUCAUAUUUGUUUAGAUUCCAGAUAGAAGAACCUUAACCACCCUCUAAAGAUAAAGAGAAACUCACCAUUUUCUUGUCCCUAAACCCAUUGAGGGAGAGAUCAAUUGGAAGAGCAUUGGAUAAGCAAGUUCUACGACAACUUUGUGCAUUUUCACCUAAUGGAUUUUUAUCUAGGAACAUCCAAAUCACAAAUAUGAGUACUAUAUCUUUAUAUCUAUGUUUAAUAAUGGUUUUUAUUGUUAUUAUUCUACUAUGAUAUAUUCAAACAAGCCUAGGAAUAGUUGUACGCAUCUUUCGAGAUUCAGGAUCGAGGAAUGAAGUAAUCUGAAGUUCUCAACACUUAAGAGUUGAACUAACUAAAUUUUAAAAAUGACACUAUGAGUCAAGAAGUUUAAAAUAAUUCUAUCAUAAUAAAUUACUUCAAAGUUUUCUCAAAUCAUACCAUUGCAAAUGGUAUCAUACUCAAUCUCUGAUAUCAAUAUGGGACUUUAAGUGUUUUAAGUGGCCCCAAAUCCUAUAUGACACAAUGAGGAUAUUUUAUAUGCAUGUGAGGAGGAUUGUGAUAUCUUACAUUGAUCAGAGGAAGAAGUUGUUGACAUUUAUAUAUAGUAGGUUCCUCUUAAUUAUACAAACACAUUUUAGAGUCAUAAGGUCUCAUUCCACUUAAAGUUGACAAUAUCUAUAAGGAAGAGAGUAGGUCAUUAUAAAUGGUAUCAAAGUUAAUCUCUAAUUAUGAUAUAAACUUAAAUACAUGCUCUAAGUAUUUUGAGUGGUCUUGUAAUCCUGUGAGACAUAAUAAGAAUGUUACAUCUACAUAGAAGAAUGAUUAUGAUAUCUCAAAUAAUCAAAAAGGGGAAGAAAUUUUUUAUACUAUACAUGUAAUGAGCUUAUCUUAAUUAGAUAAAUGUAUUUUAAAACUGUAAAAAUAAUAUCUAUAUGAUGGAGCAUAUCAUUACAAUAUAUGCUUGUAUGUAUUUUUUAAUAAUAAUAAUAAUAUACUAAUAUAUAUUUUGUUUUUAUGAAGAUAAAUUUGUUAUUUGAAUGUUAUAUGCAAAAUUAAUUAAGGAUUAAAGAAAGAUAUGGUUACUUGGAUAUUAUAAACAAUUAAGUUAUCCUUCUUGAUUUUGUUUUUGAGAUAUAUUUUUCCUCUUUUGUAAGAUAUUGAUCAUUAGCUUUCUUCCAAAAAUAUACAAGAUAAGCUUUUUUUUUUGUUUUUUUUUCUAAUUAUGACAAGUCAAAAAUCGAUACUAUUCUUCUAAAUUAUUAUGAGUUAUUUAAAAGAUUGAUUAUGAAUGAAGUUACUUCUUGAAAUAUAUAGGAAGUAUAACUCUUACUUUUGAUGGUUGAUUUGGAAAUGUCAUAUAAUCUUAUAUAAUGAUUUUUCUUUUGCUUUUAUUUUAUGUUUAUUUUUAUUUAAAUUAUUUAUUCAUUUUAUUGAUUGAGGCAUAAGGUUGGUAGUUAUUGUGUUCAUUGAGUAAGUGGAUGCUAUAAAAUCUCAUAUUAUCAUAUUGAUUCACAAAAGUUUUAGAUUUCUAAUUAAAUGAAUAUUAUUAAUAGUUUUUUUAUUUGUUAAAUAUAAGUUUACAUAAUACUUAUUAACUUAACUAAUUCGAACUUAUAUUCACUCAAUCUAAUUCAAUUUUAACCUAAAUGGGAAAAUGUGAGGGAAAAAAUAUAGAGGAAAAGUGAAAGCAAAGAAAAAUAAAAAUAAAAUAAAAAAUAAAUUUAAAAUUAAUAAAUUAUUUUAUAGGUUUCUUUAAAAUCAUUUCACUUAUUUUCUUCUAUUAUAUAAAAAUAAAAUAAUUUUAAAAUAAACAAAUUUUUAAUUAAUUUUAAUUUUAUUUUCUUUUCUUUUAUAUUUUUAUAGUGAAAUCAAAUACAAGAAAAUAAUUUUUUAAAUAUUUUUUUAUUUGUUUAGUACUCUUCAAAAAUCAAAUAUAGCCCAUAUAUAUAUAUAUAUAUAUAUAUAUAUAUAUAUAUAUAAAUCAAUCAACUUAAAUUGUUUAUAAAUCAAACAAAAAUUAUGACCAUUGCACCACCCACCUACUAUGGUACAUGAAGGAUAAGCCUCUAACCACCCACCCACCCACCCACUAUAAUAUAUGAAGGAUUAGCCUCUAGUUUAUAUAAACUUAACACACCAAAAAUUAGAAAAUUCAAAGCUUCUUUACUUAAUCAUCAAAUGUUAUCUUAUCACAACCUUCAUUCAACAAAUAACUUCUAUUGGACUAAGUAGUGGUUAGAAUCUCUUUGAAAACAAUCAACUUUUGUUUGGCUUACACUAAUAGUUGUGUCAAUGAGCAUGACAAUCACCUACUUCACUUAAGUGUUUUCUAAUCAGAAGCCACAUCUAAGUUUGUUGUUGAACUAAUACAUUCGCCUCUACACUUACAACAACUAUGUCUGCCUGACCACUGAUUAUAAUAAUUCAACCACAUAUAUUCAUAGCCUCAAUCUCAUCAAUCUAAUCCUUCCUUCGUAUAUUUCCAACAACUUACUUGCUAGAUGUAUACAUAUGAAAGCCUAGUGAUUAUCCAAAAGAAAUGGCUCUAAGCUAGAAAAGUAGAUUAAGUGGAGGAUGUUUGAUAAGAUAAUUUAAUUUUAUAAUUUAUAGUUAAAAAUAAUUUUAAGGAUUAAGUCAAAAUAAUUAAUUGAUUUUAAAUGCUAAAUAUGGUUUGUCUUAUUUACUCACAUUUGGUAAAAGUGUUUAUAUAUAGUUAGAAUUUAUAAUGGUAAAUAAUAGUUAAAUUUAAUGAGUGUAAAUAUAUCAUUAUACGAUUAGUUAAAAUAAUUUAAGUUAAUUUUGUAAAACAACCUUAGUACUUAAAGUAAAACAGAAUCAAGUAAUAAAUUUUAAGUCAAGAAUUUAAGAAUUAUUUAACUUAAAAUCAAUUUAAGUCAAGUUUUUACCAAAUACCCUCUUGGUAAAUCGAAAAUAGUUUCAUGCAAACAAUCUUAUAUUAUAGCACUUUUGUUUACACAAUUUUAUAUUCUUUUUUUUUUUUUUGAUAAUUUUAUUAUAUUUAUUUCUCAAUUUUAUUUUUUCAUUAAUUCAACCAAUAAAAAUAUUUAAUUUUUUUUUUAAAAAAAAGACUUUUUAAUAUAAUAACAUGAUAAAAGGCUGGAAAUCAAUUAUUAGUGAUUUAAACAUUUCUUUAGGUUCAAUUAAGCUUAACAAUCUUAGGUAAAAUAGUGUGGUUUUUUUUUAUUGUAAUUAUGGACAAGUUUAUAGAUAAGCCACUUUUAAGAAUUGUACAAGACACUCUCACCGUUAUUAGGGAUGCCAAUAUAAUACAACAAAAAAUAAUAAAAGUAUAUAGUAUUAUUUAUCUAUAAAAUAUAAAAAAAUCUUAAAUUUAUUCUAAAUCGAUUUAUCUCUAUCUCAAACUCAUUCUAUUAUGAACUAAUAGAUACCCAAAAAAAUUCGUCUCAAUUGUCCAUGAUAUUUAUUGCUCUUUGUUUCAAUAUUUAUUUUAAAAUUUUGGAGCCUUUUUUACACAUGGAGAAUCUCUCUUCAUAUAUAUAUAUAUAUAUAUAUAUAUAUAAAAUUAUAGGUUAAUCCAAUUCAAUUUAUAUUAUAUUUGAUUUUUAGAAAAAUUGAGAGAAAAUGUAAUAAAUAAAUACAGAGAAAAAAAAGAAGGAAAUAGAAAGUUAAAAAAUGUUAAAAAGAAUUAACGUUAAUAAAUUAUUUUAACAUUUUUUUAAAGCUCAUUUAAAUUUUUUUUAAUAUAAAAAUUAAGUACUUUAACAAUUUUAAUUUUAUUAUAUUUAAUUUUUUUUAUAUAUUUUUCAUGAUAAAUCAAAUAUAAGAAAAUCAUGUUUUUACAAAAACUAAACAUAACAUUAGAGCUUUUGUAUAAUUGAUAAAAAAAUAAUAAUAAGAAUAAAAUAUUGAUUGAAUAUUAUAGGAGAAUGAUUGACAUGGAUAAAUAAUCAUAUUAAUGUCCAAAUUUACUAAUAAUAACAUCUUUAGUUUUUUUUUUUUUGUACGGCCUCUUAUUUCCUCAUUUUAAGAAACACAAAUGUCCAUGCUUGUUAGACAAAGGGGUCUUACAAUCUUACCAUGUCCAAAUUGAAUUACAUGAAAUGAAAUUGACUUUUUUUGAAAAAAAAAAAUUAUAUGUAUAUAUUAUAGGAAUAUAAAGAGGACGGGGUUCUCUCAAACUUAGAGUUCUGUUUGGCAGACAAGAAAUGCCAAGAAAAACUAGCUUUUUUUUUUCUUUUAAUUAAAUUGUAGGGUCCAUGACAUAAUGCAACAUUUGACCUAACUCUUAAAAGUUUGAAAAGGCACCUAUUUUUUUACCUCUCUUAAAAGGGUCUCUUUUAAAAGGGUAGAAUUAUAAUGAAUGAAGGCAUCUAAGUAGUUGGAAUUUUGAACUUUGAAUAGUGAAAAUCUUUCUUUGCAGUUCAAAAAUGAAGUUUUAUUAAAUUAAAAAUUCAUCAUUCUAUGUAUUUGAAAUUAAUUUUAUUAAUUAUUCUUUUAUACACAUAUUUUAAAAGUGUUCUUAAAAUCAUUGUGAAAAUAGACUUUAAAAAUGUGUUUGACAAUAAUUUUAGAAAAUCUUAUUUUAGUUUUUUUAAUAUUUAAAAAAUAAAAAAAAUUUAAGAUUGCGUUUGACAUUAAUUUUAUGAGUGUUUUUUAUUUUUUUUAAUACUUGAAAGAUAAAAAAUUUAAAUUUAAUUUUUUUAAAAAAAAAUUAUUAUCAAAUUAAUUUUAAUAACAUGUUUGAUAGUAAUUUUAAAAAAUAUUUUUAAUAUUUAAAUAAUAAAAAAUUUUAAAUAUUAAAAAUAUUAUAAAUAUUUCAUAAAAUUUCUGUAAAAUUCUAAAUAUUAAAAAUGAUAAAUGAAACCGACUUUAAAUAUUUCUCUUAAAAGAAUAUUAAUUAUUAUUCUAAAAAUUAAUAUGUUUUAAGUAUGUAUUUGUGGCUUUAAUUCUUUAUUAGUUUGAGUUAAGAUAUUUUAUAGAUCGGGGGCCUCUUCUUAUAUCUGUCAGCUGCUUUUGUCUGCCGCGUGUCCUAUCCUGUCUACACCGAACAAAAAUCCCCUCCUCCCUCUUCUCUUUCCAGCAUCGGAUUCCCCCACCGCCUCCCCAACUCUCACUCUCCACCGCCUCCCGCCGCCACCGCUACCGCAAAAAUGGCUGAUGAAACCGACGCCGCGCCUCCCCCAACGCUUCUUGCAGCGGCAUCGGUGGUGCCACCAGAGACGGCGGCGCCACCCGAGACGGCGGCAUCGGAGGAAGUUCUGACUGUGCUGGACGUCGCUCCGCCGGUGACUGAGAAGGAGGUCUCGCCGCAGAAACCGCCUCCUCCGCCCGAGGAGGUGGUGGCUGUGGUCGAUUCGGAGAAGAAAGUGCCUCAGAAUCUGGUGUCGUUCAAGGAGGAGAGCAACAGACUGGCGGAUCUCAGCGAAUCGGAGAGAAGGGCGCUGGAGGAGUUGAAGCAGUCGGUGCAAGAAGCCCUCAGAAAUGGGAUUUUCACUUCACAACCACAGCCGCCACCGCCGCCUCCACCGCCUCAAUCAGCAGAAAAACCACCUGAGAAAAUCGAAGAAGCUUCUGAAAAAAGGGAACCAAACCCAGUUGCAGAAUCGGAGAUCAGCACCCAAGAAGAGAGUGCUAAAGAUGAAAAUGUGAAACCCACACCAAACCCAACAAUUGAAUCCAUUCUCAAGCACGAAAGCCCAACUCAAGAGGAUGUGUCCAUCUGGGGGAUUCCACUGCUGAAAGACGAGAGAAGCGAUAUGAUUCUUCUCAAAUUUCUGAGGGCGAGAGAGUUCAAGGUGAAGGAAGCUUUCGCCAUGCUAAAAAACACCAUCUUUUGGAGGAAAGAGUUUGGCAUUGACGCAUUGGUGGAUGAUGAUUUGGGUGAGCACUUGGAGAAGGUGGUGUUCAUGCAUGGUUUUGACAGAGAUGGCCACCCAGUGUGUUACAAUGUGUAUGGGGAGUUUCAGAACAAAGAAUUGUACCAGAAGACGUUUUCUGAUGAAGAGAAGAGGAUGAAGUUCCUGAGAUGGAGGAUUCAGUUCUUGGAAAGGAGUAUCAGGAAGCUUGAUUUCACCCCUGGCGGCGUCAACACUAUCUUUCAGGUUAAUGAUCUCAAGAAUUCUCCCGGACCCGGAAAAUGGGAGCUUAGGCAAGCCACCAAACAGGCCCUCCAGCUGCUGCAGGACAAUUACCCUGAAUUCGUUGCUAAACAGGUAUAGCAGACUGUCUAAAUUCAAUAGUAUGACAGAAUAAGAUUCUUGAAUUAUUCCACAGCAUGUUCUCUUCCAAAUCGAAUCCAAUUUUGAUAUUGAUUAUUGCUAGCCUAGUAAGCUUUGUUAAGAGAACCCAGAAAUCAAAUGGCAUGCCUUGAUUUAAUUUGUUUUUGUUAUGGAUUCUUGAAGGUGUUCAUCAAUGUUCCUUGGUGGUAUCUCGCAUUCUAUAUGAUGAUCAGUCCAUUCUUGACUCAGAGGACCAAGAGCAAGUUUGUAUUUGCAAGCCCAGCCAAAUCUGCCAAAACACUUUUCAAGUUAGUAAAGAUUUUAGGCCAUAUACAUUCCCAAUUUCGGUUUUCUCGAUCUGUAGUUGCUCUGAGAUUGCAAGUCUAGAACUUUUUUAAUUUUGUGUUCAUCCGGUAAAACAGAUACAUAUCUCCUGAGCAAGUGCCAAUUCAGUAUGGUGGAUUGAGUGUGGACUACUGUGAUUGCAACCCUGAUUUCGGCAUUGCUGAUCCAGUCACCGAGAUUACUGUGAAACCAUCAACCAAGCAAACAGUGGAAAUAUUAGUUUCUGAGGUGUGGAUUGUGCUCUACUUUUGGUUUAUAUCUGUGCUUUAUUCCCCCUUUUUUGGUUUUUUCUGUGUCCCUACGUGAAAUUUAAACAAAAAAAAAAAAAAAAAAAUUGUUCUUUCUUUGUUGGUAAUUGGGGAGUUUAUGAAUGGCAGCAAUGCGUUAUUGUAUGGGAGGUCAGGGUAGUUGGGUGGGAGGUUGCCUACGGAGCUGAGUUCAUUCCUGAUGCUGAAGAUGAGUAUACCGUGGUUGUACAGAAGGCAACAAAGAUGGCCCCAACUGAUGAUCCAGUAAUGUGUAACAGUUUCAAAAUCAAGGAACUCGGGAAGAUAGUGAUCACUAUUGAUAACCCAACAUCAAAGAAGAAGAAGCUUCUCUAUAGGUUCAAGGUCAAACCCUACUCCAAUUGAGGAUCCCGAAGCAGUCAUAAGGGUUUUGAGUUGGGUUUGCAAGCUUUAGGGAAAACGCAACAACAGUAAGAAGCUUGACCAGUCAUUAAUGUUCCUGCAUCAUUAUGAUUGAAGAUGUAAAUUGGGUUCUUCUAUCUAUGCAUAGAAGUCCCCAUAUCAGAGUUAAUGGGUUUACAUUGUUGUAAGUUUGGGGAUUCAGUCAUUUUUCUUCCUCUCGGCUUUUUGAUUGUUUUAUUUUUUUUUAAUCUUUUUUUCUGUUUGGGUGGACACAGUAACCUGGGGUUUUAUGGUUGGCCAAGAGAUUAGUGUGAGUGAACCGAUGCAUGUGUGGAGAAAAUUUUGGCUCUAAUACUGUUGUAUGUGCUUGUAUUGGCGUUCCCUUCUAUGUAUAUUUUGCUCUUACAUGGAUGGCUAUUUAUCGACAUCAUGUUGACCCUAUAUAUUUAUGAGUGUUAUACUGCAUGCGUGGAACAUAUUUGUUGCAUAUUUACCUCUGUUUGGUUCCCUUGAAAGUUGCAUGCCUUCGGAUAGCAGUUGUGCCAAUAGAAGACCCACCAUUCCAUGUCAAUUCUUUGUUUGGAACAAUCUAUUUCUAUGCUUUUUUUCAUUUAAUCCCUGCUCUACUUUCUUAUAUUGUGGAGGGUUUCUUAUCUGGUUUAGUUGGAGUUGUUAUUAUCAUAUUUUUCUUUGGUUUGCUUAUUCAUUUGAAUACUUCUCUUCAUUCAUCUGUUAUUAAGCAACUCUGCCAUUUAUUUCAUAGCAUCAACUCCUUCAACCACUGCUGCUGGAAGUUCUAUGCGUUGACAUAAACUUGGACCCCAUUGCCUGACGUAUAUCGGAAAUCCAAAUGGUUUCCCACCUUUCCUAGCAUAAUUUUGUCAUGAUAUGAUUUUUAUUUUGAAGGAACCAUCAUCCUAUUGGUACAAUUUCUUGGCCUUGGAUUGUUUUUUGCAUUGUAGGAGCAGGAUGAGGGAAGUCACAUUCUUUCUACUGGUUUUCUUAUCUUGAUUAGUUUCUCAAAGCAUCUCUGAAGUAAGUUCUGCUUUAAUUUUGCUGAAAGUUUGCCAAUUUCUUGGACUUGUAUUGUUGUAAUGAAAAUUUGUUGGAUGCUGAACUUAUAUUAACGGUACUGCUAAUGACCUUGACCUUCAUGAAUAUUAGACGCCGGAGUGCCAUAUUGAAGUUCAGUUCAACAUUCAAUCAGCUGAGGAUUAUACUACGCAUUCAAAUAGAGGUAAUCUCCAUUGAACACCUAAUUAGCUUGCGUUGAGGGGGAAAAUUUUGUAGGUUGGUGCUGUUCUUUUUCCGGGAUCGAUGAUUAGGUUGGGGCAGCAUGUGUUGCCUGUCUGUGAUUUGUGUGAGCUAUGUAGUUGGGAAUAAGAGUGCUUAUGGUUGGGACUUGGACUGUCAAAAUAUAGCCAUGUUUAAGGUUUUUACAUGUCUUUCAUGAUCUGAGAACUUUAGCUAGAAGUGGGAUUUCACAAUUUAUAGAUUCUUGUUGGAAAGAAAAUGUAAAUUCAACCCUGCUGUGAUGCUGUUUGGAUUGGUUUUUUGAAAUUAUGGAUUUGGUAUUGACUUUCAGUAUGAGUUUGUUGCUUGAGGCAAAAGUGACAGUGUGAUAUGAAAUGUGGUGUAUAUAUGAUAUCUGAUUGCUUACCAAACUCUCCUAUUUCUGGCUAAACCCUCCACCCGGUUCCAUUUCUGCUUGCUUGGACCUGAAACAACUUUCACUUCUGGAGUGUUAGAAAUGGAAAUCAAUUUCAUUUCCAUUCAUUAAUUAAUGUGUUCAGAUUGUUUUUUAGAAUGGGAAUGGGAAUGGGAUAGAAAUUCAUUACUAUGUAAAGAUUUUGAUUUCCCUUUUCUACGUGGACUUAUAAUUCACUUUCAUUCGUGUUCUAUUUUCAUGUCUAUUCCGAUAUACAAAAUGCAUAAGUAUGCUUUGCUGGCGUUGCGGGAAUGAAGAGGUGGAAUGGGGAUUAAAAAUAUUAAUCAAGAAUGAGCAGAAAAAAUUGGUUUUUAUAUUUGAGUUCUAAGUAGGAAUGGGUGUGGGUUUUUUGGGUAAGCGGUUAUGAGAAAAUUUGAGAUUUUUGUUAAAACCCGGGACAAGUUUGAGGUGGGUUCAAGUCUUGUGUUGUUUCAAUUAUAUAUAAAAUUAAUUUAAUUUAUUUUUUAUUUUUUAUUAUAUAUAUAUAUAUAUAUAAUAUUUUAACUAUUUAUAAAAUAUAUUUAUUUUAAUAUAAUUAAAAUUUUUAAAAUUUUUUUUAAAUUAAAAAAAAAUCAAAUAAAAAGUUAAACCAAGAGGGGGUGGAUAUUAAAAUUUUAGCAUAAUCGUUAUAUUUUGUCUCAUCCUGUUGGAGAUGAAGAUUGCUUUGAAUAAAUGGGGUGGGAUUGGAAUAAGGGCAAUCCGACUCAAUUUGUACCGUUGUCAUCCUAGUUUUAACUUUUAAGUAAGAUUUUGUUUUUGAGAAUUACUUUUAAAUUUUUUUUAGAUAGAUGUAACAAUUUAUUUUUAAAAUAAAUUUUGAAAAAGCUGUUUUGUAUUAAAAAAUUUAUGAGUAUACGCUACACGUUUAGCUUCGCUCCAUAGUUCCGGUGACAUAAGUAAGAUCAGGAGGCGGCUGACAGCCGGCGGAGACAGGGACUUGACCUAUUCCCACUCAGGACCACGGAUAGCAUGUUGGGAAUAAGGAGGAACAUACCGGAAGUAACCACCCCCUUGUUUGCUUGGGGGGCUGUGCCGCCCCCUGCCUUCUCACUCAAGUCGCUCUUAAGGCUGUCAAGACUCAAGAGUUUAUUUAUAUUGAAAAUAAAUUACAAUAUGAACAAAAAUUCUAUAUUAUUUUAUUCACUUAAUCAUGGAAAUUAUAAACAAAAAUGGAAUAUUAUUAAAACUACUCAAAAUUCUAUAAAAGUUUCAAAUUUAAUGUUCUUUAUAUUAAAAAAUAAAAUAAAUAAAUUUGGAGGAGGGAGUUUAAAUCUAUUUUUUAUUUUUACUUAAAUUAACUUCCUUAUUUUCUUUAUUUAAUUUUCUUCUAUUCUUUUAUACUUUCCGUUCACUUAUUAGAUUGAUUAGCUGAGAUGUGACAAAACAUUAUCCUCAAAACAGAACAGGUAUCAACCCCAGUGCAUUAGGGAAUCUGUCAGGAUGCAGUUGUGUUCGGGUAUUACAAUAAAGUAGGGUGCUACAGUGGCAAUGGUUGCAGGAAGGCAAUGGAUGUCUGUAGUAGAAUCCAGAAGAUGGCUACUGUAGAAUAAAAAAAGAUGGCUAUAGUGGAUGGAGAUCAAUGAAAGGUACAGUAAAUUGAUCUUUAUGCAUGGUAGCAGUGGAUCGAUCUCGGGUAUGGAAGUGAUGAAAGGAUACGAAUCGAUCUUGAAACUUAAAUUCCAUGUUCAUUUGAGGGUUGGGAGUGGGAGCCUUGUAGUUGAACUAUGGCCCAUAUCCUUAGCCAACAUCACUCAAUUUUCAAAACUUUUGAUUUUCAGUUUUUCUUAAUUUUGGAAACAUAGAUUAUCCUUGCAAACAUGAGAUUAAUGAGAUUAUUGCCAACCCUUAUGAGCCUCUUGCCAUAUUCAUUAGAGGGUUGGAAUGUUGAUUGUCCAUGUAAGAUAAUUUAGGGUAGUGUCAAAAGCCCACAUGUAUUGGUUGUCAAGUGUUGACUACUUAUUGCCAUGUUUGAGUCGCAAAAUGUUUAUGUAAGUCUAACCUUUUGGCAUGUUUUAAACUAUUUUUGAAAUUUGAACUAUAUUUUAGACACCUUAAAUAUGUUGAGGAUUUUUUGCCUUGUUGAAUAUCUCUUUUUCAAGCUUGUUGAAUAAUCCGUUUUUCUGGUGCUUAGUCGUUACCCUACUUUUGCAUACUAGUUCCUUUUUUCUUUUUUUAAUCCCAAUUCUUCAUUUUUAACUAUUUUGAGUCUUAUACCUUGAUUUAGACAUCUAAAAUAAACUUGAGACCUUUAUUGAAAAAUUCAUUGUUAGCUUAUGGAACAAAUCAAUCUUUUGCAUACUUGUUUGUUGUCCUAUUUUUGAGUUAUAGAAUAUUCAUUAAAAUUUAUACUAUUUGAUGUUUGUUUAGGUUCCUUUGAUGCAUGCUUGUGGAAAAAACUUUUUUUGAUUUUUAUCUCAUCUUUAAAUUCAAUAAAUAAAUUUACAUUUCACGCACUAGUAUGUUGUCAUUUUUUUUUCUUUUUUAUGUCUUUUGUAUGUAUUAUUGAAUUAGUCCUAUUAGAUUCACUCUUAGCCUUCCUUGGGUCUUCGUUCAUGUAAUAUACAUCUUCUACAUGUUAAAUAAAUUUUCCCCUAUACCAUGAUUACUCUUUAACCAUUAAAUGAAUUUAUUUUGUAAAUGUAUGUAUACUAUCUUGUUUUUGCCCUAUUUACAUGUUUGUACAAAUCAAUCCCAUUUGAAGAUAGAUUAGCUACUUUUUUAUUUUUGUUUUGAGUUAUAGACGUCUUGUAUAUAUUGGAUGGUCAUUGCUUUGACGUUAGAUCUCUCACACUUUAUUUGUAAACUAACUCAUUCUUUCUUAUGUAAGCUUCUUGCCCCUAUUUUAGGCAUUAUUGAGAUACAAUCCUCCUUCCCUUUGAUUUUUUAUUUCUUUUGGCAAGCAUGUUGUGCUCUUGAGUCAUAUUUAUUUAUUUGACAUUAAUCUUGUGAUUUUCUAGUAUACAUAGUCCAUAUGUUUAUCAUCAGUUUUUCGUUCCUUAUCACCAUGCCUUGUUGUAUAUUUAUACUCGUGUUAUUUCUUGAUAUCUAUGAUUAAUUAAUUAAUUAUUAUAAUUCUUUCCACUUAUUUAGUAUAAAUCAUUUUAGGGAUUCGAUGAGUGUUAUCUUAUGACACUUUCUCAAUAAGUAACUUGAAUUUUGGAUUUAGACUCAAUUUUUUUGCAAACACGUUUUGUACAUCCUGAAAAAAUGAGUCAUGUCAAGAUUUUAUUUCUUAUUUUGUUUUUUCUUUAAAAAUAAAUAAAAAUAAGUGAUAUUGCAACUUUUCAAAAAUCGAAUUUUUAUAAUAAAAACAAGUCUCAUCAUUAAGUGGUAAUGUACAUGAAAAAUAUGGAUUCUCAAUUUGUGUCAGCUAUUUAUAUGAUGAAUAACAUACAGAUAAUAAAGAAUGAAUAAAAUAUUUUUCUUUAUCCAUCAAGGAAAAUGAUAUAUUUUCCUAGAUAUAAAAAAUUGACAAAAAAAACUAAUAAUACCAAAAAAAAAUGUAUAUUUGUCCUACAAUAAGCAUGUUAAAAAAGGUGAAUGAAAAUAAUAAAAGAAAAGAUGAUAAAAGCAAACAUAAUUUUUUUUCUUUGGUAAUAAUAAUUAUUAGAAUUAUCAGUAGAAUUUAUAGAUUUAUAAUUAAUCACUAUUGCCAAUAUAGUUUAAUUUUCAAUCAUUGGAUGAAAUUAAUUCAAGCUUUUAAUUAUUUUUCAUGUCUUAUUAGAAAUUAUUAAAACAAAGUUUAAUUUAUAAGAAAAUACACUUUUUGGUUGAUAAUUAAUCAUAUUGGCAUAUGUGGUUUCUAUUGAUGAUUACUUUUGCUUCCAUUGAUGGGAUUGGGUUUGUUGGGCUUUCCAUUGUUAGUUGCCUUGCUUUUGCCCUUUGGUUGAUGACUUUGGCCUCUUUGAUAUUUUUCUUCCAUCCAAUGGCACAUGCAAGUAGGUCCAGUGAUUAUUUUUAAUUUAUUUUUUAAUUUAUUUUUAUCUUUUUAAUAUUCCUUUUAAAUAGAUGAAAAGAAGCUACUAUUAUCCUUUACAUUCUAAGGCUUUGGAUAGCUUUUUAUUUCUACUUUUAUUAAUAUGACCCAAAAGCAAAAACUUUGAUUUUUAUUUGUUUCAUGAGUUAUAUUUGAGAAUGAUGUUUUUAAAGAACUUUUUAGAGCUAAAAAAAGCUUCUUCUCUUUUUUUUUUUAAAGAAAAAACUAAAAAGAUUUUUUUUAUUUAAGAAAAACAUUUAUUAAAUUUUUAAUUAUUUUUUCAAGGCUAUUUUGUCUUCUUGAUGAAUUUGAAUAUAUAUAUAUAUAUAUAUAUAUAUAAUUUAAAUGUCAUUUUAUACCAAAUAAAUAUUUAUCUAAUGAAUAAAGUCAUCACACCUAAUAAUAAUAGUAGUAAUAAUAAUAAUAAUUAAUAUUUCAAACUACACUGUUUCUAAACCAGAAUAUAAAAAAAAAUAGCAAUUAAAUGUGAUUAAUAAAUAAAACAUAUGAGUCACAAAUUUGGGAUAUAGUAAAACCCUAAAAGUCUUAUAUUUAAAUGAAUAAUAAUAACAAGAUAAAUAUCAUGUCAACAUCAAUAGAUAUUAACUUUGUAAAACAUCAAAAUAAUUAAAGCACUAAUAAAAAUAAAAUAUUAGAUGAAAUCCCUAACAAUGGAACCCUAGAAAUGUCAUUAAUUGUAUUGAAGAUUUUCAAGGAAAAAAUAAAUAAAUAAAACUUUUAAAAAAAAAAUGUCUAGUAAUGGGUAAAAGAGGAUAUAUUUUCAAUUUGAUUUUCUUUUUUAAAAACUUCAUUAAAAUAUAUAGGACUUUCCAUAUAAGUCAAAAAAUGUCUUUUGGAAGAAUUACCAUAUAUAUCUUUGUUUCUAUAUUAAGUAGUUUUAAAAGUCAUCAGUGUUGUAAUCAAAACUUCCCAAAUACUACUAAAAGAUUUAUGUUUGAUUUAAAAAUGAAUUUUUGGCUUCUCAAAAAUCAAUUCAAAUAGGGCUAAAAUUCAUAUUAAAAGAUUACGUGUAUAAAUGAAUUCUUUAAACCAUAUGGGGAGUUGGUGACGAUGGACUUUUUUUUUUCUCUUGAAGAAUGUUUGUUUCUUGUGUAACUUGUGAUUAUUUAAAUUGAAUUAGUUUGUCUUCACUAAUCGAUAUGGUGAUAUAUACCUAUUCAAAUCAAAUAUGGGCAUUGGUUAUGGAUCAAGUUCAAGACCCAUCUAAAUUUAACAUCUCCAAUUCAUCUACAUUGAUGUCAUAAGAUAAACUAUUUAAUCUCAAUAUCGCAUCCUAUCCUUCCCUUACACAAAAAAUGAAACAUGUGAUAUGAGAAGAACAUAUAUGGCAAGAGUGCAUAUGAAGCAUUUUGAGUACUAGGAAUAUCAACAAAUUAAUACAUGUGUGUGGCAUAUUAAAAAUGCGUAGGUCAAUACUUAGAAGCCCCUUGUUCUAUGACAUUAAAUCACUGUGUCAUAUAAUUUUUAUGUAUUCCAUACCACACAAUUUUAUAUUAAGGGAGAUGAUGGUGGACAUGAAUUAGAGAAUCAACCAUUAGAAGAAAAUGUUGUUGAUACUAACUUGAUUGAUGCAUGUAGUUGAGCCAUUAAAUGAGUGGAACACAUGGAGAUAAAACUUUGCGAUUGAAAUAUUUAAUACAAGGCAAGCUAACAAAGAGUAUGUUUGAAUUAGACAAGUGAUGCUCAUCGUUGUUUAAGUAAUUCAUGUCCUAGUUGAAUCGAAAAAAACACUAUGGUUUUUCUUUUCCCUUUUGGCUCCUUAUAGUCAUUGGAACUUUAUAGACCUUAGUUUUAUUAUUUUGUUGAAUUUAUGAAUAUUGAUGGUUGGAUCUUUAUAGCUAUUGGUUUUUUGACUUUAUUGUUUUUAAUUAAAUAUUAGCUGUUGGAUUUCUAUAUCUUCCACUUUUUUAGAAUGUAUAGGAUGACUUCUACUACAAAUAACACUUAGUGAGGAAGAGGGAUCAACAAACAAUACUAGACAAUCUUAGAACAUGCGGCAUUAGUUGCAUCAUUGCAAGAGUUACACUAAAAAUCUUAGUGGAAAUCUACACAAGAUUUAAGAAUGAAUACUUCACCUAAAUAAAGCAAUAAUGGAAGCCAAAUGCCUAGAAGUGGAUUGAAAGUGUCUCCGCGUGAGAUUCAAAGGUGAAGACAUUGAAGGGGAAAUACUUUGCUUUGUCUAAAAUGUUAUUCCAAAGUGGCUUUAGGUGGGACAAUGAGAGAAUCAUGGUGAUGUGUGGAAAGAACGUAAAUAAAAAAUAGGUUAAAAGUAAAUUUUCUAUACAAUGUUCAUGUGAACGUAAAUAAGUUUUCAUGUGAACUUAUACGUGUUAUUUCUUAUGAAGAACUUGUAGAACCAUAAGGAUGCGACUAGACUAUAUGCAAAGCCAUUUGCAUAUUUCCAUGCACUAGGGAAAAUAUGUGGGAAAGAUCAUGCAAUCAGUGCAACAAGUAUGAGUGAAAAUAUGUAAUAGAAGAUGAUGCAAAUUUCCCAUAUAGGGUAGAUGUCAAUAUGGAAAGUCAAGGCAUCGGGCAACAAUAAGGGUUUGAAGAAUCAUUGACCCACCAAUCAAGUGUUUCAAGUCAUGCUCAUAAAGAGGAAAAAAAAAACCCCACAGAGGACAUGACUGCAAGUAUAAAGAGCAUGGAAGUGUUGCAGCAUUAAUAGCACCAAAGAUCGAUGGUUUUAUUAAUGUUCUUUCAAAUGAUAGGAAGGUGGCUAAAUUGCAAUCUCAAUUGAAAGGUGAGUUGAGGAAUAUUGAAGGCCUUCACAGAGUUCAACUAUUUUGUGCUAGUCACAUGUUUAGCUAUGAAAUAUGCUUGUUGAGGGUCUUCUUUGCCAUGAAUAAUGAGAAGAAAGAAAAAAAAUUAUUAUAAGAUGUGAAUAAUACGAUACCAUAUUAUAUUAGAUUGUAUUAAACAUGGGAUGUGACAUAAUGUAAAAGAAAAUAUUUUAUGUUAAUUUUAUUUAUUAUUUAGAAUAUAUUAGACUGCAAUGAUUGAUUAUGUAAUGAACUUGUAUGUUAUGGGUAUUAAUUUACUUCUUGCUACACAAUCUAUUAAAUAAAUGCCCAGGAUUCCAAGUAAAAAUCAUCCUGAUACGGAAGUUGGUAUGUCUUUUUCCCACAUAGCAUAUGCGAGAGUCAUUGCCACUUGUUUUUCCUUUAAUUAUAAUUAAAUAAUACAAAAGCCUCCUUUGAUUCUUGUCUUGGUACAAUGGAUUUGCUUUAUGCUUUCCUGGUUUUAGGACAAAGACAUGCUAUUAUGAGAUAAUCCGCAACAUUAAUUUUCCUCUAUUUCAAUUGAAUUUGAGUGGGUUUUCUAUUUCCUAAGUUGCCCCAAAAACAAUUCAACUACUUACCACUAGAGAUAUGUGGGUGUAUGAACUUAUAAAUUUGUAUGCAUAUGUGACUUCUAUUAUUUAUUUAAUUUUUCUUAUGUACUCAUUGUAUAGUGAAUAUGUUCUUAUUAAGAAUAUCUUUCAUAAUCUUCAUCUAGAUUGUGGUAUAUUGCGUAGAUAACUUUGUAGUUCUUUCUAAUCAUUUCAUGGAUUUCACCAACCUUUACUGCAAUGGCAGUUGGUUUUUAAGGCCAAGAUUGUCUUACUGUGAUCUAGUUAAUAGAGAAAUUUUCUAGAAAGAAAUGUGAUGUUUGUAUUUUGGUUGAAUAGAAAAAGUAAAAAAUAUUUGACUUUUUCUAUUUAGCUAAAAGUAAUAUAUUGAUAUCAAUUAACAUAAUUAAAGUGAAUUUAUUAUCAAUAGAUUCAAUUUAGUUAUAUUAGUUGAUAUGAACAAAUUACUUUUAAUUGAAUAAAAAAAAUCAAAAUAUUUUACUUUUUCUAUUCAGACUAAAAACGAGCACCAUCAAAGGUAACAUCUAUCUCUUGUCCGAGCAUGAGAAGAGAAGUAGAGAAGGGUCCAAUCCCAAUUAGGUUUUUUAAUACUUAUUUUUACACAAUGUUUGGUUCCAAAAGAUAUUAAGAAUCUUUUUUCCUUUUUUUUUUUUUCAUUUUUGGUUUUGUAUGAAAAAUAGGGAAGAAAGUAAAAUUAGCUAUAAAUUGAUGAUUAUUUUAGCAAUUUCCUAUUUUAAAUAAAUAUAUUAUGACUUUGUAAACCUUUUAAGAAACUUCAUUCUCAUUCAAAUAUUCAUUACUAAUAGAGACUUUUAAACCUCACACAAUUUAAGUUAAAAUUAUCUAAAAUUUAUUUUUCUUAUUUUUAAUAAGUAAUUGUAUAGUUUAAAUAUUUAAUAUCAUUUACUAUAUUUAUGUGUAUUUUUAAAUGAGUUAUAAUCAAAGUCAUAUUAAAAAAAAAUUGAAAUUAAUUAUUUAAAAAUAAAUAUAAUAUAGUUUUUUUCUAAAAGGGCAUUAUAGUAAAAUAUAUAUGGUUUAUUCUUAUUCCUUAUAAUUAAUUAAAAAAAACUCAAAAUCAUUAUUUUUUUUAAUUUUUGUCAUUCUCUCUUUGUUUAGUAAAUAUUUCAAUUAAAUUACUGAUUUUUUUUAUUUGGAUUUUAUCCAUUGUUUGGUUGCGAACACUCUUUUAAGCUUUAUUUCAAUUUAGCUUUACUUCAAUGGCACUUUUACUUGCCACCUUUUUUUUAAUAGGAUUUUUUUAAAAACAAUACAACAAUUUUUUUUUAAAAUUAUUAUAAUAAGAUAUUUUAAAAAAUAUUUUCAAAUUUACGACACUAUUUAUAACAUGAACUAAAAGCCAUCUUUUCAAAUGACAAUUUUCAAUUGAAUUUUUUGAAAGUAUAAUAAAUUUGAAAAUAAUUUCAAAAGUGUCAGUAUUUUAAUAAUUUUUUUUUUUAAACUUGUUACAUUUUUUCAAAAUCCUCCUUUUUGUACAAUACCUUUCACAUUUAAAAUUUAAUUUUUUACUCUCCAAAAUUACUAAAUAGUGUCACUCUAUAAUUUAAAAAUAAUAAUAUUAGAAUUAAAUUAAACAUGACAAUAAAAUAAAAUCAAAUUAAAAAUAGAAAUAAAAUAAAAAUAAAUAAUCAAGACAAAGAACAAAGAAGAUAAGAGUAUGUUUUUUUACAUAUAUGAAUCAAAAUAUUCUUAUUUUUGCCUUGAGUUAUUACUUUGAUUUUUUUUCUUAUUUCUAUUGUUUAUUUUUAGUUUUAUUUAAUUUAAUUUUUAACUUGAAUUCUAAAUAAUUUCAGUUUUAAGUUUAUUUCCAUUGUUAUUUUUUAGAUUGGUUUUUGUUCCAUUUUAAUUUUUUUAAUAACAAUAAAAAAUAAGUAAUUAAAAUAAAUGUAGAGUGACAUUAUUUAGUAAAUUUACUGCAAAUGAUUGUAUUUUUGAAUGUAAGGGAACCAAACACAAUGUCCCACAAUUUUGUAGGGGACAAAAUGCAAUGUAGAAAUCUUGUAGGGUAUAACUAGAUUUUAGCUAGGCAAGAAAAACAAAAAAAGACCUAAAAAUUCUAGGAAAUAAGGUAUAAUUAACCCUAUUAUUUAUUUUAAAAAUAUUAAUUAUAUUAUUAGUUUCACCGUCAUUUUAUUAUUCUUCAGGUUAAUUUUAUUGAGACCCCACCGAGUUUGAUGUAAACACACUUUAUCAUUAUUGAUUUCAAAUUUCAUUGAUUAUCACCCUUAUAAAUUUAUUUUGUAUAUAAAAUUUUAUUUAUAAGAGUGUUUAACAAUUCUUUAAAAAUUAAAUUUUAUUCUUUAAAAAAUUAAAUUUGGGGAUAACCGAUCAAAAGAGACAAAAGAAAUAUAAAAUUACAAAUUUGACUUUCCACUCUUUUUUAUCCAAAGAAGUACCUAUUUUAGACGAGAAUACCCUCACAUUUUUCUUAUAAAAAUAACAUUUUUUUAAAUACAUGUAAAUAGUAAAAAUAUUAAAAGAUAUUUAUAUUAAAAAUGAGUUACUCUUCAAGUUGAAAAAUGGAAAAGAUUAGUUUUAUAAAUUUGGAAUCUUUUCAGCCAUUUUAAUCAAUUAAUCUUAAAUUUAUAAAAUACAUUUAUAGGGUACUAACAGAUAAAAUUUGAAACCUGUAGUGGCUUAGUGUACUUACACUAAACCUUGAAAGUGUGUAAAUAAAACUAAUUCAAAUGAUAAUUUAUAACUAAAAAAUUAUAUUUAAUAAAAGUGAUGGGUUUCAAAACACCAUCUUUGUUUAUAUUCCUUUUCUUAACUUUUUUUUUUUUUUUCAUUUUUCCUCUCAAUUUUCUUUCUCCCGUACAUUUUUCAGGAACCAAACAGUCUUAUGAAUUUUUAAAAUCAUGAUUUCAUAUUGGGCUUGGGUCUAAAUCCUAAUUCAGGGUACCAUUCUAUGUAAUUAAAAACUAAUAAAUAAAUAAAUAAAACCCUAAAGACAUCCACUUGAAAAGUAGAGGACAUAUGUAUGGGAGUCCCACUCUACCUUCACGUAGAAGUACCUUUUGUGAGACACCAUGAUCCAUUUCCUCUCAAGAAUCAAUGGGUAACCCACCAUCCCACGUGUUGUCUAUGAAUUAAAACAAGCCAAUACAUACCCAAAUUCAAUGAAUAAUCCAAUUUUUACAACAUACAAAUUCCUUUCACCCAAAACCCAUUAAUAUAAUCAAUUGCAUCUAAUCAUGCUUUACAAGAAAAGAACCCCCUAAAAAGGACAACCAAACACUAUUAGAAAUCCCUUUUUUUUUAAUUUACAAAAAAAAUAAAAAUAAAAAGAAAAAAAGGGGGAUACAAAGAAUCUAAGCCUUGACAUGAUAAGAUAUACAUAGCUUUUAUUUGGUUUGAUAAAUUGAUAGGUGGGGUCUCUUAAAGAUAUUUUAAAACUAGAGUAGAGCUAGAUCAUCUAUCUUCCCAUGUACAUGACAUGAUGGAUGAUGACUGAUGAGCAAUAAUGAAUGUCAUCUUUUAUUGAGUGGAGAAAAUGAUUAGGUACCAAACACCUUGUUUGAGGAAUCAACAUUAAUAAUUGCAAUUUACAUAGCAAUCCUCCCCAAAAUAGAUACCAAACUUCCUUGUGUCUUCUUGUUUUGUGGUUGAAAUGAUAGGGCCCACAUUCAAGAAUUUUUCAAAAAAAUAAACCAUUUGACAAACUUUUAAUAAAAACAAAAAUAUUUUUUUUUUUGAGAAUUUGUUUUUGAAAAUGGGGUUUUUUUUUAAAAAAAAAAAGAUUAAAUAUUUUCAAUUAUUUUAUGUAAAGUGUUUGAAAAAUCCUUUUAAAAAAUCUUAUAUCAUAUAUAAAGUUAUAGUAACUUAAUAAAGAAUAAAUAAUUUAAAAAAUAUUUUUAUAUUUGAAUUUAAUUUAAACAAAAUUUUAUCUCUUCAAACCAUCAACAAAAACUAUUUUCACCCUAGAUCUCUAUUUUAAUAAUUUUUUUAAUGUUAAAAAGUGGUAUUUAAUUUUUAUUUUUUGAACUUUGACACGAUUUUACUUCUUCGGCUAAAUCUCACUCGGUUUUUAAGUAUCAUAUUUUUUUUAUUACAACAUUUCUUUACCAAUUCAAAAUUUAUCACAUCAUAAUGACAAUUUUACUAAGGGUAUGUUUGGUUUUAAAAAAAUGAUUUUUUUCAUAUUUGGUUUUGAUACGAGAAUUAUGAAUGAAGAUGAAAUAUAAUUAAAAUUAGUAAAAAAUUAUAUAUUAUUAAAUUAUUUAAUUUUUAUAUAAAAGGGUAAAAUAAAUUAAAUGGUUUUUUUUUCCUUUUAAUUUCACUUAAAGAUAUGUCUAAACCAAACAUAUGCUCAAGGUAUAAUGAAAUUUAAAUAAAGAAAUUAAAAAAAAAAUGUGGAAGAAAGCACACUCUGUUCCUGCAGAGGGCAGAGAAAAUAAAAAGGGGGUUUUGCUUUGAACAAAAAUGUAAUAAUUUCAUAGUCACCAAACUUAGAGAAUAAUGAAUUAUGCAAUCAGUCUUUCCUAUACAUUGCAUCACUUUAUUUCCUUGAAAUCCUUUUCAUGCCUUUUUGACUUUGCAAACCCUCCGUCGUUUAGGUGAAAUUUCACCAUGCAGUGUUGAAAGAUUGACAUGCAAAAGGAGAUUUCCUGGAUGUCCUUCUGCCCAAUAACAAAAAGGGACACGUACCCUAAGUUUUUUACUCUUCCACAAAAAAUAGAUCCAUUUUCCCAUCACAUCAUCCUUGUGGCUAUGGACUACUCACUAGUUUCCCUCCUCAACCAUAAUUUAAGACUAAUCUUGCUUUUAAGAAUACCUUUUCAGCAUUGUUUGGUAUCAAAUUGGAAAAAAUUUCAAAGACUAAGCACUUUUAUACCUUAUCUUGUCCCCUUGUCAUUGCUUUGUAUAAAGUAAUUUAAAGUGUAUUUUACUGUGAUUUUAGAAAGUGUUUAAAGUUUUUUUAACAUUUGAUAAUUUGUAUUUUUUAAAUAUUAGAAAUAUCUAAAACGCUUUUUAGAAUCAUUAUUAGACAUACUCUUAGAACACAUGAUAAUGUUUUUAUUAAAAAUGUUUUUCUUUGAAAAUUUUGUUUAAAAUAAUUACUUUUCAAAUAUUUUCCUAAAAACAUUAUAAGUAGUUUUUAAAAAUACCACAAGUGAAUUUUUUACAUUUUUAAAAAGUGUUUUCUAAAUUUUAUCAUAUACUUAACUUUUUUUAAACUAAAAACAUUUCAUAAAAUCAUAAUCAAACAAAUUCUUAGAGGGUGUUUGUUUUUUUAAUUUUUUGCUAAAAUAAUUUGCUUUUAGAAUUUAAAUUAUUUGUUUUUUUUAUUUUUUUUAUGACUUAAUAUAAAUUUUUGAUUGAAUAAAAAAUAUAAAAUAUUUAACUUUUUUAAAAAAAAAUAGUAUAUUAAUUUUUUUUUUUUACUUUUUAAUACUUAAUAAAAAUAAAAUAUUACAAAAACAAUUAAGCAUGAUUUAAUUUUAAAAUUAAGCAUAAAAAACAAACACCACCUUAAUCUCGUCAUUUUCUAUAUAUAUUAAUUUUAUUAUUCUUCAAUUUGUAUAAAUGAUAUUUUUAUAAAAAGUAAACAAAAAGAAUUCUUCAUACUUUGAAAAAGUGAAUCAUUGUCCUCCUUGUAAUAAAAAGGAAAGUUUCUGUAAUUUUCCAUGAGAAAAAUACAUUGUCUUACCCUUCAAAAGGGGAGAAAAAGUUCUCAUCUACCCAUAACAUCAUACCGUAAAUGAAUGAAAUUGUAGUGCAUGUGAAUGGGGCAGGUAUGAAUAUUCUUUCAACCCAGAGUUGCAUUGAAGGGCAUUGAAGCCCCCCCAAUCAUUUCAAUGGCCUCCUUUAGUAAAACCCCCAUCACUUUCAAUGCUUCCCCUUAGCUCUAGGCUUGUGAAGCACAAGGGCCUGUGCACCCUGACUGUGACAGUCUUCUCACCCAAAACCCACCUUCUUCUUUACUCUUCCACCAAAUUCUCAUCUUUCCUCUAAAUUCUUCCAACCUCUAACCAAAUAAUUUACUAAUUUCUUACUAUUUUCUCCUCUAAAAACAUUCAUGAAAAAUGGCCCUAAUCUUCAAACUAAUCAUCCAACUCCACAUGUUUACCCAAAUCCCGACACAUAUGAGAAUUUCCCAUAUCCAACCCUUUAUUAAAUUAUUUUUAAAUUUAAUAAGACUACAUUUGGACUCACAUUCUUUUAUUAAAAAAACCUCGAAACCAACCCUAACACGGAUCAUUUUCAUCCCUAUCUUUAAUAGGGUCGAGAUAUAAAAAAAAAACUCAACUCAUUAUCAUCCCGACUUGUUUUGAAUAGCUCCACCUAACCCACUUUAUGACACCCUCGUAUUUGCAUACAUUAUGAAUAAAAUCCUCUUAUUAGGCUCCAUUUUGGAGCAAUUUUAAAACAUCUACAAAACUUUUGAACUCUUUGAAAAGUACAAUAGGUCAAAGGUGUGAUCUUAUAAGUUCAGACAAACAAAGGGGGCCAAAAUUUACCCUCUUCAACAAAGUCAAAGGUGUGAUCUUAUAAGGUCAAGAAUGUAAGUUCACCCUAAAUUUACCCUUUUGAAGCUGAGAAAGCAACACGACAAGCAGAGCUUUAAACUCAAGUUUAUAAACUAUAGAGCAAAUGAACAUAUUUAAUGACAAAUGACAAAUGAACAAUGACUUAUAAAUGUCGGAGAAAUAUAACAUAAAGAGUAAGACACCAUUAAAUUUACACAAAUUUUACAGGUGGUGAGUAGCAACAACAAUGGUUUCUGUCCAGUCCACAGUCAACAAGCAUCUCCAUCCCUUGCAUCCCAGAUUGUCUUCACCAGUAAAUGUUUUGUUUUUCCAACAAUGCCACACCCAAAAACCCAAAGAACAAAAAAUAUAAAUAAAAAUCCCCCAAACUUUAAAUUUUAAAAUUAAAUGUAAAUUUAAACAAGAAAAAAGAAAAAAAAGAAAACCCCUUUUCUUAAAACAAAAGAACCCUUCUUAUUUUGCUAUUGAGAUCAGAGGCUUUUUCAAUGAAGAGGCAUUGAUUCUGAAUAGCUUAGUCACAAGGUUGAGUCUUGGACCUGUAGAGGAGCUUCUUCUUCUUGGAGGUUUGAUUGUCGAUGGUGAGAAUGACCUUGCCUGGUUCCCCAAUUUUGAAGCUGUUGCUGAUCACUGGUUCAUCGGUUGGGGCAAUUUUCCUUGCUUUCUGGACGAUUACUGUGUACCCCCCCUCGACAGUGGGCACAAACUCAGCUCCAUAGGUCACAUCCCAUCCGAUAACGCGAAGUUCCCAAAUUAGCUGGCAUGGCUGCAAUUCAACAACGCCCAAAUUACGUUUCGAAGUUGAACAUAACUUUAAAAUUCGAUACCAUAUCAUAGAAACGGCUGCAAGAACCCACCUCAGAGUAUGGGAAUUCAAUAACAUGUUUGCAUCCCGGUUUGAUGGUGACCAAUGUAACAGGGUCACAGAUGGAGAAUUCAGUGUCACCAUCCCUUUUCAGUCCACCAUAUUGCACUGGGACUUGCUCAGGUGCAAUAUAUCUGUUUUCCCACCCCAUCCAAACACGCCACAGAAAACAUACAUGUUACCGAGAGAAAUAUGAUCAAAGACAAUUGGACAAAGGCAAGAAUGAAACGAAUCUCACUCACUUGAAAAGGGUUUCAGCGGAUUUUGAUGGCCCUGCAAAUACAAACUUGCUCUUUGUCCUUUGAGUCAGGAAAGGACUGAUCAUUCUAUUGAAGGCCAAGUACCACCAUGGAACAUUGAUAAAGAUCUUCGGCCAAAUACCAAAACAUGAUUCAGAUUCCCACCAAAGCAGAUGAUUCAAUUUAAUUUCAUUCAAUGCCAAGCACCACCAUAGAACAUUCAAGUUAAAGAACUUUCACAAAAACAGAUCCCUCAUAUUAACACGCAACCACACAAUUCAAUUGAAUUUUCCCAAAAAUUAGAACUACUAUCAAUUAAUCCAAAGGAUUAAAACUCAUCAGGAAUGAAGGUUCAAAACUCAACACCUUGAAAAUUGCAGAAAGGCCGAAGCUUUUGGAUCAUUUAUCAAGCCGAUUAAAGACUAUUCAACCUAAUCUUGAUUAUGCUCACAACAAAAGACACUGACAGCAAGCAUGUAAUCUAAUGACUGCUAACGAGUUGAGAAGGGGAGAUACCUGUUUGGCAACAAACUCGGGAUAAUUGUCUUGGAGCAAGUGGAGGGCCUGGUUGGUGGAUUGUCGGAGCUCCCUCUUGAAUGGUCCUGGGGAGUUCUUGAGAUCGUUGACCUGAAUGAUAGUGUUGAUGCCAUUGGGACUGAAGUCCAGCUUCCUUAUGCUCUUCUCCAAGAACUGAAUCCGCCAUCGGAGGAAGUUCUGCCUCUUCUCCUCAUCAGAGAAGGUGUUUUGAUACAGUUCCUUGUUCAGGAAUUUUCCGUAUGCGUUGUAGCACACUGGGUGGCCUUCUUUUCCGGAUCCCUCCAUGAACACCACGCUCUCCAGGUGGGUUCCGAGGUCAUCUCCCAGAAGAGUUUCGAUUCCAAAGCUUUUUCGCCAUAGCACAGUGUUCUUCAACAUGGUUAAGGCUUCUUUAGGCUUGAAAUCUCGGGCACGGAGGAAUUUUAGGAGGACGACAUCGGUCCUGUCGUCAUCGAAGAGUUUGAUUCCCCAGAUCUCUACCUCCUCCGGCGGUGGUGGUGGCGGCGGGGGCACUUCCUCGGCCGGAGGUGGAGGAGUGACCUCCUCGACGACGGCUGCGGCCUCCUCUGCUGGAGGAGCGGGAGGUGCGACCACGAUGGUCUCUUCGAUUGCUUCAACGGUUUUGGUACCAUCCUCGUCGACCACGACGGCAGUAACUGUCUCCACCACCGCAGCAACUACCACUGGCUCAGCUGGUUCCGGCGGCGCAACCUUCUCUUCUUCUUUCUUCUCUUCUUCCUUCUUCUCUUCCUCUUUCUUCUCUUCUUCCUUCUCUUCCUUUUUCUCUGAUUCUUCCACCGGUGGUGGACACACAACCUCAGGCGCUGGUUCCGCCGGUGCCUCGGUUUUGGGCUCUUCCUCAGUUGCAGGAGCCUUUUCCUCCUCCUUGGCCGGCGGCGGCGGUGGAGGAGGGGGAGCGGUGAACUCGUGCUUCUCCAGCGCCUCCCGGACCAGCACUUUCAGCUCCUCCAGAGCCUUCCUCUGACUCUCCGGAAGAUCACCUACAACGUUGCUCUCCUCCUUGAACGACACCGACUCAGUCAUCUUCUCCCCUUCCUCCACCACCUUGGGCUUCUCCUCCUCAGCCGCCGCCACCUCCUCCUCCAGCUUCUCCACCACCUCCUCCUCCUCCUUCAGCUUCUCCGCCGCUUCCUCCGCUUCCGGAACCGCAGGCGGCGGCGCUGUCACCUCAGCCACAGCCACAACUUCUUCAACAACGGAAGCUUCAGCAACUGGCUUCUGAGCUUCCUCAGAAACCGGCUUUUUGCCGUCUUCCGCCAUAGAUGAGUGAAUUAAGAGACAGAGAGAGAGUGAUGAGAUAAAAUUAGGAAGCGUAGAGAGCUAGAAUUAGAGAAGGAAGACGAAAUGAAGGGUCUUAAAAUAAGGCGGUUGGAAGAAAUGGGGGCGACGUUUGUUGUAUGUGGGAGGGAACCAGUCUGUCAGACUCGCUUGCCAGCUAGUACGCCACUCUCUGUGGGCCCCACCUCCAACUCAUUCUUUCCACCUUAUUGUGCUUGUUCACUUUUUAUUCUCUCCCUCUCCCUUUCUUUCCCCUUAUAUCAUUUCCCUCCCCAACACAAUUUACUAUUUCCACUCCAUCCUCUCUUUUUUCCCCCAAUUUUUGUGCUAUAUAUUUAAUUAAUUCUCUAUAUUUUAAUUUUUCUAAUAUAUUUACAUAAUUACAUGACACCAAACUUAAUUAAUUCCUUAAAAUUCAUACAGCUCAGCAUUUUUUUUUCAAUCUUUAUUUAAAUUAUAAGAAAAGGAAUAAGAGUUGUCAUCAUUUUCCAAAUAAAAAAAUUAUAUUAAAAUUUAUUCUUAUUUUCAAUAUAUAGAAAUGCAAAAAUUAUAUUUUCACCAUUUUCUAAUUUCCAAAAAAAAUCAUUCUAAAUAAAGAAAAAAAAUCAAUCAUAUAAUAGUGAUAAUUACUUGUGUCAUAAUUUUUUAAUAAAUACAAAUUAAAUAAUUACAUAACAUUCAACUUAUCCUCAUAAUUCAAUGUACUUACCUAUUAACAAAAAUUUCUUAAUUUUAAAAAUAAUUUAAGCAUACAAAUUUUUUUCACCCUAUGUGACGCAAAAUGAAAAGGGUUAUUUAAUUAAAAGGGUUAUUAAAAAUCCAAGUCUUAAAAUUUAUCCGUCCAUCCUAUUUUGGUCUCAUUUAGACAAAAAUACCCUUAUUACUUUAAAAAAAAAAUAUUUUUCUAUUUUAAACCUCAUAUAUAAAUAUUUAAAAUAAUAAAGGACAUUUAUAUAAAAAAAUGAAUUAUUUUUUAAGUGAAAACACGUGAAGGGUUAGAUUCACAAAUCCAUUGAGGUAUGAUUCCAUCUCUUUGAAUCCAUUAAAUCAAAUGAAAAUGACUUAAAUGAUAAAAUUAUCGAAAUUAUAUUAUACAUCAUCAUUUUCUAAAAAAAAUGAAAACGACACCCUUUUGAAUAGUGUUUUUUCCUACCACUUCUAGAAUAUUUAAAUAAUAAUAAAAAAUAAAUAUAAAUAAAAAUAAUAUUUUUGGAUAAGAAUUGUCUUUAAUCUUAUCCGAUUAUAUCAUCUUUCAUUAUCCUAGUCAAUAUUCCCAAACAAUUAUACAGCUAAAAAAAAUAUUAAAAUUAAAUGAUUUAAUUUUUUAUUUUUUGGGUGAAAUUUGUGGAAAUCAGCAUCAAAAGCAUGAUUACAGAAUUUGAAUGAGCCCAUUCCAGAAUUUCAAAACAAUGGGCGGCACUGGAAUGGUUGUAAGAAUAGUCAAUAAAUAAAUAUUUUAUUUUAAAAAUUUAUAUAUUGUUGAGAGGUUGUCCAGGUAAGCAACAUUAUUAUCCCUACCAUUUUAUUUUUGGUUAAUAAACAGAAGACAACACACCAUGACAGAGCUGUCAUCCAGAGAAUAAUGUCAAAACAUUCUUUAAUGCUCAUGCCAUAUCUCCAUUUUCACCCUUUCAAUUUACCAUUCCUUUUAUAUUUAAAUAAAUUAUAUAUAUAUAAAAAAUUACAUGCACCAAACUCCAAAUCUUUAGGAAAUAUUAAUGAGAAAAGAAAAAAAUUUAAGGAAAUGUUUGGUAAAAAUAAUUAUGAAAAUAACGGUUUUUAAAAAUUAUUUUUGAAUUUUUUUAGAAUAAAAGUUUAUUUAGAAAUGUAAAAUGUUUUUUUUACUUAUUUUUAAUAUUUAAAAUAUAUAUAUAUAUAUAUAUAUAAUAUUUUUAAUUAUUCUAUACGUUUAUAUAAUUAUUUCUUAAAAUAAUUAUUAAAAAAGAAGUGAAAAUAACAACAAUAAAAAAUAAAAAAUAGUUUUGGAUUGUCAAAUAUGUUUCCUGUGUUUUUUUAGAAAACAAAAAAUUAUUCUAUAAAACAAAUUCCAAAACAGGCCAAAAAAAAUAUUUUUUUAUGUUUAAUUUUAUUAUAAAAUAUAAAAAUUAAAUAAAUAAAAUUAAAAUUAAUUAAAUUUCAUAUAUAUUUAAAUUAUUUAAUAUUUAUAUAAAACAAGAAAAAUAGAUGAAAUGGGUUUGAAAUAUUAUAAAGGAAAAUAAUUUAUUAAUUUAAAAUAUAUUUAUUUAAUUUUUUUUCUGUUUUAUAUUUCCUCUUUAUUCCUAUAAGAAAAAUAAAAAUAAAAUUUAAAUUAAUAAAUUAUUUUCCUUUUAUAUUUCUUCGAUAUUUUCUUUCACAUAUUUCCUGUCAAAAUUCUCCCAACAACGGAAAGAAACCUUAAAUUUUUCUAGAAUCCAAAUAAUUAGAAUUGAAUUAUUUUUUAUUUUUUCUUAGGAUACCUUAAUGUUGUGGCAGAACCCUAUGAAACAAGUAUAAAUAUCUUUCAUUUCAUAGCCGAGGAUGUUGGUAAAUAAAAUAUUUUCAUCCCAAGAAGGAUACCACCAGGAGAAUUCGGCGCCGCUGUGGGGACACGUGGGAAGCAUGGAAUUUUCCAAAGUGAAUGACCUUGUCGUGACGAGAAAACCAGAAACAUCAGCAUCUAAAAGACACAUGUCAUGCCCGAAACCUCCCGUCACUUUUGAAACCCGACCGCCAUUCACGCGACUCAGAAUCCAUUUUCAAGCUUCCGUCUUCGCCUAGGCAUAAUCGCGGCUGUACUCCACUCCUGGCCGGCCGCUAACAGUUAUUGUAACGGGCGUGUUGGGCGGCGUGGGCGCCACAAGCUUUGUUGUGCAAAAGCAAACGCAAGCUGUUGGCCUGGUUUUUCGUUGCUGUCAAAUUUAAAAAAUGUGAAAAAUAUCAUUAAAAGAAAAAAAAUAAAUAAAUAAAUAAAGGAAAAACAGGGGGGUUUACGUGCUGGGGUCAGUUUUGUCGGGAUUGUGUGGCCUGCGGGAGGACUUGUUGUCUCAAUCUUUUGCAUAUGUUUUGUCCGUUUGAUUAGUGUUUCCUUCCAUAUAUCUACGUGGGUUUCCCCUCAGCUUUUGUGAAAUUGCAAAACUUCCCCUUGUUUUUACGUAAUGCCACAUUGGAUGGACGGUGUGAUUUUUAUUUUUCCAAUAAAUUUAAGAAUUGAAUGAAUUGAGAAAAUGCUUCCUCAAAAGCUUAUAAUAGAAUUAUAGUUAUUACCACAAUGCUGGUCCUUAGAGUAAAUUUUUUUGGGUAUCUAUUAAGAAAACAUUAUUAAUUAAGAAAACAUUAUUAGUUAUAUAAUAUUACAUAUAUAAUUUAAAUUUUAUUAUUUUUGUGAUAUUUCACGUUGAAUAAGUGAGAAAAUUUUUAACAUUAUAUAUGUAUAAGUUUCUUUUAAUCUUAUAAACUUAUUUAAAAGCUGUAAGGAUCCCUUUGUGUCUAUAACAAAUAAUAUUUAUAUGGUUAAAUGUGAAUUAUUACAAAUGGUAUUAGUAUUGAUUUCUGAUCUUAGUGUUGGGAUUUAUUUGGUCUAACCUUAUAAUACAAGUUUUUCAUUAUCUUUACAUGAAAAGAUGUAAUUAUAUCACACGUGAUUUUUACUACUAUUUAUAUGUUACUUUUAUUUUAUGAUAUCAUUUAUUUACCUUUUAAUUUUUUAUUUUAUUUUAUAUGGUCAUAUAUUUUUAGUGGCUCAAAUUCAAAGUUUGAUAAGCACUAGUAAAGGAAUUUUAUUUAAAUAGUUGUAAAGUUGCUAGUGGAUUUGGAUAAGACUUUUUGUAAACCCAUGUGACAUUUGCAACUCACCAAACAUUAUUUUAAUAAUAAUAUUAGUAUUAAUCAUGUGGCUAUUUCAUAUUUUUGGAUAUAUUUACUUAAAAAUGGUCUUUUCAAAACAAAUUUUCUUCAAUUUAAAUCUAAAGUCGUCCACAUUUAGGAACUAUGAUAUCAUACGUCAUUCCAUUAUAUAUAUUAAAAUAUUGGAAUUUAUUUUUAAAAUUUAUUGUUGAAAUUUUUUUGUUGAAAAUCGUGUAGUUACGAAACUUUAUUGGUGAAAUUUAUUAGGAAAAUUUAUUUCAUGAUAUAGAAGUUUGUUGAUGAAAUUUAUUAUAGUAAUUUAUUUAUUUAUUUAUACAAUUAUUUUAUUUGAGAAAGAUUUAAAUGAAAAUUUCAUAAUUUUUUUAGAAUAUAUAUAUAUUUUUUUAUUUGCUAUUAUAUUAUAGAUAGCAAAGAAAGAACUUUCCUUUCCCAAAAGUAAUUUCUGUCUAUUUAUAAAAGGAUUCCAUGUACUAGGGAGUAGGUGUUUUUAAUUCUCAAUAAAAGGAUUUUACAAAAAUAGUUGUGUUCCAAAAUAUUGUUGUUCACUAAAAAGUUUUAAUUUUAAUUAUUUUCCUCUAAACUUUAAAUACAACAUCUUAUUCUUAAUUUUGAUUUAUUUGUUUGAGUAUUUAUGUCAAAAUGAUCAUAUUUAACCUUUAUUAAGACAAAUAAGUAGAAAAAUAACUCAUUUGACCUCAAUGGAGCUUUAAUAACUAUCUAAUGGGGUUUAAUUAUUAUUAUCAUGAUAAUGAUUUUUAUUGAAGAUGAAAACAUAAUGAUAAUGUUCUUUGAAGAAACACUCGAUACAUGAUUUUUCUAAAAACAUUUAUAAAGAAAUUACUUUCACUAAAAUUACUUUAAAUAAAAGUACUUUAAAAUGCACUCUAAAACAUUUUACGUAAAAAUGCAUUAUUACUUAACUAUAACUUUUGUGCACCUUGUGUUGUAGGUUUUUUUUUUUUUUCAAAUAUUUUAAAAUUGUGGUCUAUCUUUAUUAAAAUGUAUAGAGUGGGCUACUAAUAAAUACAAAUAUAUGGGAAAUAAUAUAACUAAGUAUAAUAGGAAAGAAUAUAAUUAUAUACAAUGAUGAUAUAAAUUAUUAUAAUAUAAACAAUUCCAAUAAAUAGUACAAGCUUGAUUUCCUUUGUUAAUAAUUCUACUUAAUUGACAUGCCAUCAUGGGACAAAUGAUGCAUUCCAUAAGGAUAAAACAUCAUCUAAUUCUCUUGCGUAUUAGAUAAUUAGAGAUAAUUAUAGGGUAAUAAUAGAUGCGUCUUCAUAUGGUUAGGCAAAGGAGAUGAUCUUUUAAUUACUAAAGGUUUCAUCCUUGUUUGGAUCCUUAGAAGGUUAGUGUUUUGUAACUAAAUAUAGCAUUUGAGGAAAUUUAGCAUAUGACAAGCUAAGAAUAGGAUCAAUGUUGCAAAUCUUGGUUUCAUUCUUGUGUUUCAUUGUUUAAUCUUUGAACCCAUGAAUAACACUAAAAGAUGCUAGGGCUUUAUUACUAUUUUCUCGAGGGAUUUGACCUAUCCUCUUGCUAAUUUUCUCAUGGUCACUCUCCACUAAAUGUUAAACUAUUUAAAAUGAGUAGAAAGGGUAACUUGUUUAACAACUUGUGAGAGAAAAUUUUUUCUAUCUUGUAUAUUAUUUUUAUCAUUUUUCCUCUCCCUCAUGCAUGGUCUUGAAUUUUCAUGCAAGCUUUUUUUCUUACUCCUUUCUAAGUAUUUUCUUUCCUUUCUUUAGUAGUGUGGUUCAUUUAGCUCUAGGUGUUAUUAUUUUUUGAAAGAAAUUUUCAUAAAGUACUCCUCUAGACAAAUAUGUUAGCUUUUGCAAAAACCACUUUUAUGUUAGAUAGAUAUUGGAAAAGCAUAAAGAAUGUAGGUAGACCCAUUUCAAAUUUGUCAUAGCCACAUAAUCAAUGUGACCUACUUUUGUAAGAGAUAGAAGCUAAACUAUUUAUCAUACUAGUAAAGGGACUUUUUAUUGAGCUUGAUCAUGCUAAACAAGGAAUUUAACAUUUAGCUUUCCUCAUAAAACACCUACUUAGACUCUGAAUUAAGUACACAUUUAAUGAAACCCCAUAUAGAUCAAACAAGGAGGUAAUAAAGCUAGGUUUAGAGUUGAUUUAUGUUGACUAGACUAGAUUGAAAGACCUCACCUAAUAGUUAGUCAUUUUUCAAUUGAAAAAUUAUAAUGAAAAUGCAUCAGGUGAUUGAGAGGAUCCCAUUCUUUUAUAGAGAUUGAGCAUUAACAUAAUGAGAGUUCUAUUCUUUAAUAACUUUUAUGCCAUUUGUGUGGUAGGUUUUUUUUUUUUUUUUUUUUUUGUGCAAUCAAUAAUUUCACUAAGCACCAACUUGUUAUUGCAUUAUUUAUUUUUUCAAGAGGUGUGUUUACUUAAUUCAUGUUUAUCCUUUUAGGGUUUUUUUUUUCCUAUUGAAUUUAGCCUUUUAUGUCUCUGACACAUUUAUAUCUAAUUAUUUUGCAUUCCCUUAAUAAGGUUUCCAACAAGGAAUAUGAGUUCGAGAAUGGACCAUUGGGACCUAUAAGAACAUGUUGGCUCCCUUAAAAUCUGUUAUGAAGUUGACUCAACAUUUGUACUAUCCACUAUAUGCAAGCUCCAAAUGAACAUCAGUUCAUAAUUUAAUAAGGCUAAUGCUAUGAACCUCUCGAGAUUGCCUCUAUAAUAUUUGAGUCUCAAGUCCCUUUGUUAUGUGAUCAACUGAUAUACACUAACUCUUUAAGAGUAUAUUUCAAAUUUCAAUUAAGGAAUUUCUAUGACCAUAUAUUUUAUGAUCAAAUGUCCUUAAUAUCACCCAAUGGGACAUGUUGUCUCAAACUUAGGAGAUAUCAUGGUGCUUAGCUUGAAUAUACCUAUUACCAUUAACCUCAAUAUAUAGUGACUUGAUCUAUAGAGAAUAUAGGGAAUAUAUGACCACAUUAGGGUCUCAGUUGUAGGUAAAAGCCAUUGAGAACUUUAACACUAACUCAAAAUUCUUUCAAGGUUGAAUGCUCAUAUAGUACUUGGUGAGAUCAUGGUUAUCUUGAUAGCCAAUAUCAUAACUCACCAUAGAUGUUGUCCAAUGUGUAACCAUACAUACUAAUGCAUUCAAUAUGGGAAAACCAUCCUAAUGAUCAACACAAGUAUUAGGAUAGAGUCCUUAAAAACAAUACAUGAUGUAACAAAGUUAGACAUGAGCUUUAACUUUCGCAUUGAUAUUAAGUUGAACAUUCAAUCCUAUAUCACUUGCAUUGUAUAUGACUUGAGUGCAUUAGGAGUUGCAUAGAAGAUACAAGUCAUAGGUUAUUUGCAAGAUGAUAAAUAGUUCAUAGUCCGUUCAUGAAUUUAAGUAAUCCAAUAAAGGUUAUAGUGCAUUACCUCCUAAUUAGAGAGACGACUUGUCUUGACCAUCAAGAUGAGUUUCCCAUUGUGAGUGCACUAGUAUAUAUAUUUAUAUAUUGAACAAAACCUAUAGUGAAUCAUGAUGUAAAGCUAUCAUAUUGUCAUGAUUCACCAAGCUAUUAUAUUGCAUGGACUCUCAACUUUGAAAGGUUAUUAAGUUUGUGCUAAAAUCAACAGAAGACUUUGAACCUAUGGGUAAGACCCUAAAGUAGUCAUAUAUUCCCUAUGAAUUGGAUUACAAUUGAUGGAAGAUGGUGACAAUAGGUAUUCUCAAAGAGACACCAUAAUAUCCAUAAGAUUGAGAUAGUGUGUCUCCUUGAGAAAUCUAAAGGACAUGUGAUUAUUAAAUUUGUGACUAUGGUAAUUCCUUUAAUAAAAUUUGACAUAUGCUUCUUGGAGCUAGAAUAUAUCAGUUGAUCACAUAAUAGGAGGAUAUAUAACUCAAGGGUUGAAGACGUAAUCUUGACGGGUUGAUAACACUACCUUAUUGGAUUAUGGACACCAAUUCAUGAAUAGUCUACAUGUAAUGCAUGGUAGGUCAUGGACCUAAGCUUUAGCUCAUUGUAAUUUCAUAGGAUAUUGUAAUGUAGUUGACUCUCUUUAAUAGAGUGUAGACUCAAUUUUAUAAUUAAAUUCUAAGGGAGCCAAUAUUUUUAUAUGGGUCCCAAUGGUCCCUACUUGAGUUCAUAGUGACACAUUUUAUUUGAGGGAUUUGGGUUUUAGAUUCAUAAGUAUGCAUAAGAGCAAUUUGGCAAAGCACAAGGUUGCACUAGAUCUUAGGAAUUGCCUUUUUGGAUUAGGCUAAUUAAUUAAUUAGAGCCCAAUAAGACUAAUUAAUUAGUUAAGACCUAGUUUUGUUCGAUUAGGUGACCUAAGUCUACAAAGAGCUCUGUAAAUAUGCCCUUAUGGUUAUGGUUUCAGACUUUUUCUUGUUAUUUUUUAAAGAGCUUUCAAAGAGAAACUUUAGCCAUUCUCUAGAGAGAAAAGCCCACUUUUUUCUUGUGUCUAGAUCUGUGUGGCAAGUGAUAAGGUGGAAUAACAUCAGGUAGCCAAGUUAUAUAGUGUUCUAUAUGGUUUUAGAAUCUUCAUUGAUAACUUCAUCGGCUUGGAAUAAUCUGGGAACAUCCCGAUUGUAGGUUUGAGUUUCUAUCUCUAGAUCUAUGUUCAUUAUUAGUUUUUGACGCAAUAUAUUUAUGUUACGAUAGAUCUAGAGAAAACUAAGAUAGAAUGCAUGCACCCCAUGAGAUCCAAGACUAGGGAAUAAAGCAAUUUGGGUUUUUUUGCAAAGUCAUCCCUCCAAUUAUAAGGUAGUGUACUACGACCUCAAAUGGUUUACCUUGAACUAGCUCUGAACAACUCAUCUACUUACAAUGAAUCCAUGACUUGGAUCUUAUGUGAAACUUCUAAUAUACCCACGUUUUGUAAAAUGCAAGAGAUGCUAAGCAUAAAUUCUUAGAAAGUAUAAUGCAUGAAUACGAUAGCUAAAUCAAAAAAUAAGAAUCAUAUUAUAAAUAAUAAAUUAGUUUAUUAUUACUUCAUGUCAUAUUUUUAAAGAUUCUAUCUUAAUAAUAGAAUGUGAUAAAAAUGAAUUGACGUAAUUCAUAUAUGAUAUUAAUAACAAAUAGUUUACUAUUAAAAAUUUUAAUAUCUUGAAAUAUUUUUUAAAGAUUGACAUUGUAUAUUAUCAAAAGGAAUUAUUGAUAAACAAAAGAAAAAUAUGUUUUAUAUUUUAAAAAAGAAUAAAAAAAAUGGUAUGAAGCUUAUCAUGACAUCGGCUAAAAAUAAUAAAACAUAGUUCUAUUGCUAACCAUGGUAGAAAAUUAAUAUAAUACAAGAAGAGGCUUUAGCUUAUGUGUAGAAAAUGGAUAAAGGAAAGAAAGAAAAGAAAAAAAUAAUAAUACUCUAGCUUUUUUAUGAUUCUAGUAGUUUAUAUAGUUUGCUACUUAGUUACUUAUAUGGUAUCAUUGUUUCUAAAAUCUAUUAUAGUUAGCUAGACUUGUUAGAGAGUUGGAUUUGUUAGUUGGUUGCUAGAUAGUUGUAUGAUUGUUAGAAUUGGUCACAAAUAUAGAUAUUGAUAAAUCUAUGCUAUAAGUUCUAAUUUCUUCUAUUAGGAACUUCUAAUAUAAGAAAGAUUUUAAAUGUAAUAUUCAUAUUAGUUUUGAUAAAUCUAUGCUAUAAGUUCAAAUUUCUUCUAUUAGGAACUUCUAGUAUAAGAGAUAUUUUAAAUGUAAUAUUCAUAAUAGUUUUUACUAGAAUUAUCAUGAAAAUAUUCUUAAUAUAAAGAAACACUCAUCUAAGGAUAUCUUUCUCAACCCUAUUCUUUCUCCCAUGGUUUUGUCAUGUUUUAGAGCUCCACUUGUUGGCUUAGAACAUUAAAUUGCUUUGAUAAUUUUUUUAUUUUUUUUGCAUAAUAUCAAUAGCUUCUCAACAUCAAAGUUCAAUAUUAGAGCAUGAGGAUUCAAAGCUCAUCAUAGUGAUGCCAAAUCUACAACUAAGAACUAGAGGAAAAGGUAGUGAAUGAUGAGCUAUGACUACUCUAAUUGCUAAACAAGAUUAAAACUAGUUGGCUAUUUUAACUAAAAAAAAAAUGAGAAAUGUUGUUAAACUAGGAAAUAAAAUCUCAAUAAUCCCAUAAAAUAUGUCAAUAUUUGCAGUAUACAAUGCAACACUUAUUGAUGGUUCUUUUAGCAUAUGGAAUGAAGAACUCAUUGUUUACUCCAUACAUCCAAAAAACAAAGGAAAUAUUAGUUAGAUUGACAAUAAGAGUCUUCUAUCAAAAUUUACAUUCUAGAAAUUUUCAGAUGCCUUAAAUUUGAUGUGUUUGUGGAUUGGUUGGAUUGAUAAUGAAUCAUUGAUUAUAUGAAGUUCCAAAGAAAAAGAAAGUUAAGUUGGUAACAAUUCACUUCAAAGGAAGGGUUUUAGUUUACUAAGAACAAUUGUAAGUUUCUUAAUAAAGGAGUGGUAAAAAUAAAGCCAUCAAUUGGAGCAAAAUGAAAAGAAGCAUGAAAGAAAUAUCUUGCUUUUUCAUUAUAUUCAUAUAAUAUAUUAAAGGUCACAUAACCUUAAACCAGGUUCUAUGACUAUGGAUGAGUUACCCAAAGAAAAAACAAAGUAUAUUAAUGAAUUCAGAACAAACUUUCAAAAUGUAUUUUUUGCAUAUUUAUGAAUGUUUUGAAGGCUCUUCAAAGAUCAUAAUAAAAAAAAAUUACAAAAAAUAAACAAUAAUUAGAGAUUUCAAGUUACUACUAAAGGUGAAAACUGUUGUUUUUAGACUCUAACUAAUUAAUCAAAAUGACAUAGCCUAAAAUCAAACAAAUGAGGAACAAAACAAAUAAGAAAGGGAAAUCCACUAGUGGAUUUUAUCUCAUUUGAACCUCUUCUAAGUGAAAAAAACAUAUCCACUAGGAUUUUAUCUCAUUUGAACCUUUUCUAAGUGAAAAAAAAACAUAUCGACUAAUGAAUUUAAUCUCAUUUGAACUAGAGAUCUAGUUGGUAUCACUAAAUCCUUUAAGGACAUUUGGAAAUCCAUUAUAGCAUAGACCAAGUCAAUGGUGCCUCUUAAGUACUUAAGUACUCUAUGAAUAACAAUUCAAUGAUCCUAAUUAGGACUUUGUGUGUAUCGACUCAAUCUUCUUAUUACAUAAGUAAUGUUGGGUCUGAUACAGUUUGUUAAGUAUAUUAAACUUCAAAUGGUCUAGACAUAUUUAGUUUGGGCAACACUAUGCUCUCUAUUUUUCCUCAAUUGUGAUCUAGGAUCAUAUGGAGUUGACACUGGUUUACAACCAAAGUGUUCAAACUUCCUUAAGAUAUUCUCAACAUAGCGUACUUGAGAAAGUUUUAGGCUAUUUAUGUGUUCUAGUUAUCUUGGUUCCAAGAAUACCUCUAUUUCUCCUAGGUAUUUCAUUUCAAACUUAGAUCUUAGGAAUUUCUUGGUCUCACUAACGACUUUUAAACUAGUUCCAAAGAUUAGCAUGUCAUUGACAUAUAAGCAAAUGAUACUACAUGUGUUAUUCUCAAACCUAUUGUAAAUACAUUUAUCAACAUCACUAAUGGAAAAUCCAUUAGAUAUAUACCAACACAUGAUCAAAUUUGUUAUUCCAUUGUUUGGGUCCUUAUUUUAACCCAUGGAGUGAUUUAACUAGCCCACAAACCUUUUUUUCCUUUCCUAGAACUAUACAACCCUCAAGUUGGUCCUUAUAAAUUUCCACUUCAAAUACCCUAUUCUAAAACAUAGUCUUGAUAUCCAUUUAGUCUCAUCAUAAGGUUGUGAAUUAAAGCUAGAGUGAUGAACACUCUAAUUGAGGAAAUUCUUGCAUAGGGGCAAAAGUGUCGAAGUAAUCAACACCAUUCCUUUAUUUAAAGCCUUUGGCAACUAGACGUGCCUUAUACUUUUCUGUGGACUCAUUUGACUUUAACUUUCUUUUAAAGAUCCAUUUAUAGCCUAUUCUCUUUACACCAAGAGGUAAAUCCACUAUCUUCCAUGUGUAGUUAUACAAAAUUGAUUUGAUUUCACUUUUAAUGGCCACCUUCUAGAAUGGUGCAUCAAGAGAAGUUAUAGCCUCUUUGUAGGAUCUAAGUUCCUCAUCUUCUAAAAAGGUGUAGAAAUCAUCUCCAAGAUUUGCUUCUUUCCUAUGUCUUUCACUUCUUAAUUCAAGUUCAGAAGGUUCAUUAGACUCAUCUCUAAUUGUUCUUUAAAUUUGUUACUUAUCACUUGGUUUUAAAGAAAAUAUAUUUUCAAAGAAGUUGGUAUUCUUUGUUUCUAUUAUGGUGUUCACUUCUACAAGGUUGCUUUUUAAUUUAAUAACCAAAAAUCUAUAUGUUACAACAUAACCUAUGAACACUGCAUCAAAGGUUUUAAGACCUAGUUUUCAUUUCUUAGGUUUAAGGAAAAAUACUUUUGUUGAACUCCCCUAUAUUUUCAAGUAUUUAAUGUUAGAAAUAUAACCCUUCCAUAACUCAUAGGGUGUUUUACUAGUCUUCUUGUAUAAUAUAUUUUUUUGAAUAUGACAAGCAAAGAUGAUAGCUUCCCUUCACAAGUUCAAAAGUGCUCUUGAACUUACCAACAUUGCAUUCAUCAUAUCUUUUAGGGUUUUAUUUUUUCUCUCAGCUACUCCAUUAGAUUCAAGGUAAUAAGGAGGAGUAGUCUUGUGAACGAUCCUGUGUUCUUCACAAAAAGAGUUAAAGGGUUGGACUCAUGCUCUCCUGUUAGCGUACUUAUUGGUUAUUUAUUUAUUUAUUUGUUUAUUGUUUAGACAGGUGAGAGAAUAAAGGGUGCUUUUUUAUUUUUUAGGAAGUUAGUAUUUAUUUAUAUCUGCCAAGUUAGUAGAAUUAAAAGAGCAGAUCAUUGCAGAUUUUUUUAAAUGGUUUUGAUGAAUAAAAUGUUGUGCUUGAGAUUGUUUUUAUCAUUUUAUUAGUUUUUAUUCAUCUCCUCCCCUAUAAGUUCUAAUUCUCUUUAUUUUUUUUAUUUAGUUGAUUUUCUACUUCAUUUUUUGUAUUUGUUGAAUGCAUUUUUUGCUUUAUCUCUAUACGUUGAGUUAGUCAAUUCAUGUAUGCUCCAACUGAGGAACACAUGGAGUUAGUUUAUAGGAUUUUAAAAUACUUGCAAAUAAUACUUAGCCAAGGUUUUUUCUUUAGGAAAUAUAGUGAAAGAAGAAUAGAAGCUUAUAUGGAUGCUGACUAGGUAGAAACUAUUGAUGAUAGGAGAUCUACUUUCGGAUUUUGUACUUUAUUUAGGGAAAUUUGGUCACAUGGAGAAACAAGAAGUAAAGAGUUGUAACUAGAAGUACUACUGAAGUGGAAUUGAGAUCAAUAGCUCAUGGGAUUUGUGAAGCAUUGUGGCUAAAAUUCCUUUAAGAAGAGUUGGAGGUAAUGGUGAAACUAAUUUUAAGAAUUUACUGUGAUAAUAAGGCUACCAUCAACAUCUCACACAAUCUAGUUCAUCAUGAUAGGAUGAAGUAUGUUGAAGUUGAUAGACAUUUCAUCAAGGAAACAAAUUGAGGAUGAUACUAUUUGCAUACUUAUGUACCUACUACAAAACAAGCUGCAAAUUUUCUCAACAAGUUGGGCAUAUUUAAUUUGUAUAGUCUAGCUUGAGGGGAAGUAUUAGCGUACUUACUCUUUUUUUAUUUUUUUUAUUUUAUUGUUUAAAUAAGUGAGAGAACAAAGGAUGCUUCCUAUUUUUUAGGAAGUUAGUAUCUAUUCCUAUAUGCCAAGUUAGUAGAAUUAAAAGGGCAAAUCAUUGCAGAUUGUUUUUUUAAACGGUUUUGAUGAAUAAAAUGCAGUGCUUGAGAUUGUUUCUCUUCUUUUAUUAGUUUUGUUUUCAUCUCCUCCCCUAUAAGUUCUAACUCUCUUUAUGUUUUUUUAUUUAAUUGAUUUUCUGCUUCAUUUUUGUAUUUGAUGAAUGCGUCUUUUGCUUCAUCUUUGUUUUUCAAAAGAUUUACCUGUGUAUAUCUUGAGUAGUCAUCCAUGAAAGUUAUGUAGAAUCUUUUACUACAUCUAGUCAUUGCAUUUUUUAAAUCUCCUAAGCAAUUAUGAAUUAAACUUAUUAGUUUUGAUUCUCUUUUUAUUAUUUACAAGACUUCUUUAUGGUUUUAGAUUCCACUCAAGAUUCACAUUUUUCAUGGUUUUCUAAGGAAAAUUUAGGAAUUAAAUUUAGAUAAUCCAUUUUCAUUAUAUAUUCACAUGCCUUAGCCUACCAUGCCAUAAACCAUAAGAGUCAACUAAGCAAGUAGAAAAAGAUGCAUUAUUAUUAAUGAUUUCCAAAACAUUUAACAUAAAGAGACCUUAAUUAAAAUAACCUUUCCCAACAAAUACAUCGUUCUUGGUUAAGACUAUUUUAGCAGACUUGAACAAAAUCCUUACUCUUGCCUUUCCAAGUAGUGAUAUAGACACCAAGUUUCAAUGGAUAUCUAACACAUGUAGGACAUCAUUGAGAGCGAGUACUUGUCCUAAGGUUAGCUUGAGGAAAACUUUCCAUUUUCCAAUCAAUGGGGAAGAUUUAGAGUCACCUAUGAAUACUUGUUUCUCUCAUUCUUUUAUCGCAAUAUAGGAAGUGAAUGCAUUUCUGUUGCCACAAAUGUGCCUCAUAGCCCUAGAGUCUACCACCAAAUCCUUUAAAUUGGUGACCAUGCUCACCUCAAAAGAGAUUAUCGCAAUGAUCACUUCUAUCUUUGCCACGUUUGUUCUUCGGUUGGACUUCUCAAUUCUUUUUUUUUAUGGCGGUACUGAGCUACAUGAUGUCCAUGUUUGCCAUAGAUAAAACAAUUACCCAUUUUCUUAAUAGUUGGGUUCUAGACGUUGUUUGUUAUGUUAAGCUUGGUCAUAUAGUUUUGUUUUAUGAACUUAUUGUUUUUGGGCUCUGGUAUUUCUUCUCCCACAUUUUCCUUGGAGGACAGUUCUUGAGCUUUCUCCUUCGUGUCCCUAUUGUGGUUAUGUUCCUCAAUUCUAAUAUGGAUUAUGACAUCUUUUAGAGACAUUUGUUUUUUUUUUUUUUUUGUGCUUCAUACUAUUUUUAUAGUAUUUCCAAGAAUUUAGAAGAGUCUCUAUUAAGUACCUAACCACAAAAGGUUGAGGUAAUUUUAUGUCUUUGCUAACCAAAUCAUUAAUAAGCAGCUAGUAGUCGUGGAUUUUAGAUGAUAAUCUUUAUCCUUAGUCAUUUGGAAUUUCCUAAAAAUUCCCUAUGAUAUAUUUCUAGGUUCCUACAUCUUUCAAAGUAUAUUUUUUAUUCAUGACAUCCCAAAUAUCUUUUUCAAUUUUGUUUUGACAAUAAACAUCAAACUAUUCAUUUGUGAGGAUGCUAAGAAUGACAUGCCUAACUUGUUUAUUUUCAAUUUCCCAAGUAGGCAAAAAUAAAGAAUCAUCUUCAAGUUUUGGGUCAUUCAAAAUAUGUUUCAAGUUCACAACAUCUAUAGUAGAAAAUACUAUUUCCAGUCAUCUCUUAAGGAAUUUCCAUUGAUGGAAUUUAUUUUAGAGGUGUCAAGAUGGAUGUGAACUAAGGAAGUCUUCAUUUAUGACAUACUUUAAGAUUUUUGUUUCUAUAGUAUAAAAUAGUUAAUCAAAAUGGCCUAGCCCAAAACUGAACAAACAAGUAACAAAACAAAUAAGAAUGGAUACUUAUUGGAUAAUCAUACUAAGGCAUGACAAGGCACCCUCUUCAAAUAUGAACUUGGUGCAAGAGGGUACUCGACGCCUUACCUCUAGAAUAUAAUAGUUAACACCUUGCCUUAGGUGCACUCCUUUGGCGAGGUGUACAAUAUAAUUCAAAAUCUUCUAAAUAUAAUUCCUCUAAUUAAUGAAAGGAUAAGAGAGUUGCAGUUAGAGAUGAAUGCAAUAAAUUAGGAGGUUGCAAUUGGUUUGCAGUAGUGACUUGGUGUAGUAUGAUUGAAUGUAGCACUUAUGGGUACAACAUCGGGUAGAUAGUUGUACUAGUGUGGGUGUUGCAAUGGUGGAUGCAGCAAUAUGGUUGCUACAAUGGAAAAUGCAACAUGUGAUUGUUGCAAUAGAAGCAAGUUGUAACAUGCACUAGUGCUUCAAGUAAUGGCUAUGUCUUUAAUAGAUAUAAUGAGCAAAUAGAGAAAAAGUUGGAGACCACAAUAUUUAGAGAGAGAAAACUUGAAAGAAUGAGAUAAAAAAAAAAAUCUUUGAAGGGACUACCUUUUAUAAGUAAAGGACUUAAAGGAACUCUCCAAAAAAAAUUGUCGAAUGACCAUAACAAAUAUUUUUUUAAAACAAAAAUCAUGUUGGUACAUGGCUUAUUCUUUCUUCUAAUAGGGAAGACUUAGUCACCCAUUGAAGAGUUAAGUCAAAACUAGGAGAUGACACCACCUAGAACUCAUGCACUCUUCCUAUAAAAACUACUAUAUUAGAGAAAAGGCAAAACCAUAUAACUAUAUAACAACAACAAAAUGUUAGUAAAAUAAAGAGCCCAAUUCUUUUUAGAAAUAAUUUAUGGAAUGGUAAUCAAAUAAUAACUCUUAGUGAUAGAGGUUAAUAACUAGUUAGGAAAAUAAAUGAAAAAUACGAAGAAAUAAAUGAACUACUAACUUUUGGUAAAGCCUUUGAUUAUGAUGUUGAGGAGAUUCAGAUGACAAGGAAUAUCUUGCACUAAUGCUAAGAAAAACCCUCUUAUUACCUGAGAGUGAAAAUGAGGAAAACUAGUUAAAGUCAUUUUUCACAAAACACACAUCAAUGAAGUUGAAAAUGUAAGAUGAUUAUAAAUAGUGUUAGCUCUAAUAAUUUUCUCACAAAACAAUUGACAAGUUUCAUCUCAAUAUCAAGAACCAUCAUUUCUUAAGAAAUUCUAAUAUUGUUUAGUCCUAUUUUCCAUAAUAUAAACACACUAUGACAAUGUUUGGUGUGAUAUGUUUCCCAUGGAUAUAUGCCGUACUUCCUUGGAAAGACCAUGUUAGUAAGACCAUUAAAUGCUAAUGAUGGAAAAAAAUGCAUAUACUUUUUGAAAAGGAAAAUGUAAAAUCACUAUGCAUUUUUAAGAAAUUCAAUCAUUGUUUAGUUCUAUUUUCUGUAAUAUAAACAAACUAUGAAAAAAAAUUGGUGUGAUAUGUUUCCCAUGGAUGCAUGUCAUACUUUUGGGGAAAGACCAUGUUAGUAUGAUCAUUCAACACUAAUGAUAGAAAAAAAAAAUACUAAUACUUUUUGAAAAGAACAUGAAAUCAACACACAUGAGAAGUCAGAGACAAAUGGAUAAGAGGAGGUUAAGGAAAAUUCUCUUACAAUUAAGGAGUUAAUUAAAGAAUCUAAAUCAACAUGUAUGAAAAAAAAUACUUAUACUUUUUGAAAAGGAAAAUGUGAAAUCACCAUGCAAUUUUUAAGGAAUUCAAACAUUGUUUAGUUCUAUUUUUUAUAAUAUAAACAAAUUAUGGAAAAAUUUGGUGUGAUAUGUUUCCCAUGGAUGCAUGCCAUUCUCCCGUGGAAAGACCAUGUUAGUAUGAUCAUUGAACACUAAUGAUAGAAAACAAAAUACUUAUGCUUUUUUAAAAGAAGAACAUGAAAUCACCACACAUGAGAAGUCAACGCAAACAAAAAAGGUUGGAGGUGGUUAAGGAAAAUUCUCUUAUCUUUAAGGAGUUAGUUAAAGAAUCUAAAGCAACAAGUAUUGGUAGCUAAAGAAAAGGUUGUGACUUUCUCAUUUUCUUAAGGGGUUAAAGCGUUGAUCUAAAUACCUAUUGAUGUGAUUCCUAGUGAUUAUUCUUUGAGUUAUCUUUUAAAUGCAAUUUAGUGUCGAUACCAAACAAGGCAUCCUAUAAAAUAACAUCUAAAAAGUAUAAGGAAUUUCAAAGACAAAAUAUAAUGAUGUUGGAAAUGAGCUAUAUUAUAGAAAAUAUUAGCUUAUGUGUAAUUUUGGCCUUAGUUACACCUAAAAAGAAUAGAUCUUAAACAAUGUUCAUUGAUAGUGGAGUUAUCAAAUAUAGAUUUCAAAUAUAUAUUUAGGCUUGAUGAUAUGUACAUGAAGAAUAGGAGCUUGAGGUUU